UGGCCAUGAACUGCCUGCGGCUCCAUUCAGAGAUGGUGCUCCAGACAUCCCGCGCCCUGGAAUCUGCAGAACAUUCCAAGGCUGGCACCAGGGCACUACCUUCUAAGCCCGAUAACAUUAUAAUACCAUUCGCAAACAUGAUGUGAUCUGAUGCAGUCUUGAAGUUGUAAAGGGAAUUUUCUUUCUCAUUUGUGUUACCGUACUAUAGAUUUUUUUUAGUCGUGCUAUAGAAUUGCUUUAGUGUAUUCUUUGUUUAGAAUAAUAACGAUUUAGUGUAUACUGCAGCAGUAUUGCUUCGGGCAUGUGGCCCAUGCAAGUUAAAAGGACGUUAGGGCCGCCUGCCUCGCCCUGUUCUCGCUCGACAUCCUCUUUCACGGCCUUGCCGUGUUUUGUUGCGGCGGCGACGCCGGUUCGUCCUUCACGUGACACCCGAUUUGGAUGCCACGGUUGCGUUGGGGGGAUGCCAGCUCCACGUGGCUCCACUUCCAUGUGGCGGAGAGGCGGCGAGGGCUGAUCCUGCUUCACACGGUAGCGCGCCGUUGAGGGCGGCUCCUUCACGAGGGCUGACGGGGGCGAGGGUGGCAUUGGAUCACGGUUAUGGAGCGGCCCUGGAGAGUGACAGCGGCGGCGCUAAGAUCUGAACCCUGAAGAUCCGGAGUCGUUGUCGCCUGCCGGUGCGGCCACGACUUUGGCAUGGAGAUGGUGGUCUGGCCUGCACCGAAGAAGAGAGCGGCGGAGAGGGUGCGAGUGGAGAGGAUCAGAGAAUGGUGUGGCGUGGACGGCGCCGGAGCCAUGCUUAUAUAGGCGCGGCCAGACCAUGCGAAGGGACGGGAAGCCGGCUUCAAUGCGGUGCAACGGCUGGAGUAGGCUUCUCGGUCGCUGUGUCCACAUUGAAGCAGCGCUGUCCCUAGUCCGGUCACGUGGCUCUGACCGCAAUGAAUGCCGUCGAGCCACGUCCGUUGAUGAGCAUCACUGACCGGCAUGAAUGCGCGACAACCACUUCGUGCAGAAAUGGUUUUUCGGGCGAAAGGGUUUUGGGUGGGUCCGGGGUGGCGGAAGCAUACGUGGCAGUGAUCCCGAAAACGAACGCCUGGACCGAUGGUGUACCAUGUUAAUGGCAAAAUGUGUCUGGACUGUUCGGCCCGAACAGUUGCGGGCGGUUUGAGAUUCUGUGUUGAAGAUGCCCUUAUACUUACUUCAUGAAAAUGAAGUUCAUAUAUGACACGCAUCUGAAAGUUGUGUGGAUCACUGACUUGAUAUGAAGAGCUUCAUAUACAAUGCAUAAACCCGGCUUCUUUUUGUUCAUUCUAUUAGAGCAUCUCUAGCAGACCUCUCAAAAGCGGUUAAAUCUGUAAAAAUUCGCGUUUUCAGUUCCGUGGUGUCAAAAAACGUCCCGAAUAGACCCUGCAAAAGCGGUCAAACCCGUAAAAAAUUUGCAGGCCCCUGGGAAUCCAUCCCCACGACCCUUUAUUUUGUGGAUUUGGAGGCAAAAUAUAAGGGGGACUGAAAACCAGUCAACGCCACGUGACAAGGAAAUUCCGCCUGCGCACACGGGCUCUGGUGACCUUCCACCACGGAACUCGCCGGAAUCUUGCCGGAAACUCGCCGUUUACCUCUGCUGCGGCGUGGGCUUGCGGAGUAGAUCACAGGAGCAGCGGCUGGGACUUGAGCAGCUACCCGGCCACGAAUGAGCUAGCUAGCUAGCAAGCUCCUGGAUUCAUCCGGCCACGAACGAGCUAGCUAGCUAGCUGGCAAACUCCUCGAUCCAGCCGGCCAUGGACGAGCUAGCUAGCUCUCGGAUCCAUCCUGCCACGGUCGAGCUAGCUAACUCGUGGAUCCAUCCGGCAACGGAGGAGCUGGCUCCUGGAUCGAUUUGGCGACUACGGUGGACGACGGAGCUGACUGUGAAACACGGGCGAGAGGAAAAAGAAGACACGGAAAAGAAUAUACGCGAAUAUUCUUUUUUACGGGUCCGUUAUGCGGGGUCUGCAUCUGCGACCGUCCGCGCCGGCCCGCAAAGCCUUUUUUCGCGAACUGCAAACACGUUUUGCGGGCCGGCGGGAUGCGGGGUCUGCUAGAGAUGCUCUUAACACGCAAGUAUGGGAAGAUGUCAUGUCAUACUAGUAUGACAAUGCAAAUGCACAGAAAUUUAGCUGCCAUGUAUUUGUGUUUGGACGUGUGUAGACACGUCCCCUUUAUAUUGAAAUAAGGCAUCUCCAACCACGGAUCACCAAACGGAACAACGAUGACAUGUCCGCGGAUAACCCGCCCCUUCGACUGUAUCCCUCAUUUUUGGGACUAUUGGCUAUGAUUGACACUACGCUAGAGAGAUCGAGAGAAUCCUAGACGUCCGGACCGGUCCGGCUUGAUUUGGUGGGCAGUGUUGGAUGCCUAAAAGUGUCCGCACCGUCAGCUCCGGCCAAUUGAGACCAAUUUGGUGAGCCGUGUUGAAGGUGUUUUAAUGGAGCAAACAUCACGUCCUAAUGGAGCAAACAUAACGGAACUCGUAAGACAUAGCUUGCUAAUAAACCAUGUAUUUAGUUGCUUUUUUUAGUGGAAAGCCUUCUUGGUGGAUUAUAUUACGUUUGAAAAUAGAGAUACACCAUCUACGAUUACAUAACCUUGAAAAUCCGGAUGACCCACAAUAUUUUGUGCAUCCACCUAUUUGCUAGCUAGAACACAAGCUGCCCUAUUAGCCUCUCUAGGACAAUGAUUAAUCAUUACCUAAGAACUAUAUGAAGGUAUAGGUAACGAUGAUCACACCAACAAUCAAUGUAGUGGAAGAGGAAGAUGUUGGUGAAGCCCGUCUAUUCCUGCAGCUAGGUUAUACCUCCCAGACAUGAGAAUCUUCAACGACCACCGAUCUAGUGUCGAAGUAGAAGAUACAUUUGAGACAUCCACACAUAAAAAUCUAGCAAAAAUAAAAUAUUAGAAAUUUAAGUAGGAGGACAGAACCGACGGAGAUUGUCGUAUGCUAGUAAGUUUCAAAGAACCGUACAGAGGCAAGUUCCGAGGGACAUAGCUUAAAGGAUGAGCUAAGUUCACGAGGAAACAGAAAAUAAGUUUGGUAGCUUGAUAGAAAAAGAACUAAAAUCGUAGGAGUAACAAUGAAAUAGAAAAAUCAUUUCGGUUGGAAGAACGAAAAAGUUGUGGUACCUGGUAAGAAAAAUUAUGAAUCAAAGAUGAAUAUUUGAGAGACAACAUCAUGUAUCAUAGGGAAAUAAAAGGUUGGCAAAAGGGGUGUAACAAUUUCCGAUGGAAAAAACGAUGGCAUGCGAAAUGACGGAACAUGACGAACUGAUGAGUUGACAUCAGGUAAAGCAAAUUAAUUGCACAAACAAAGAAAGAAAGAAGAUGAUCAAAGGAUUGAAAGGAAGAAGAUGGCUCGAAGAACUGAAAGCUCAGAGGUUCGAACAGGGUUGAACAACAAAGAAGGUAUCAAACAGAACGGAGAGAUGCGCCGCAGGCACAAAAAGAGGGAAGUAUAAGAACAGUUGGAUGAAGUAUGUACAAGAAAAACAUGUAUAUUGUCUCGUGUUGAAAUGGUACCGAAUUUGCAUCCAUUGUUUAGCCAAUUUCCGCCCGGAACAAUUUUUUGGAUCAUGGCACAUAUAAAACGGUUGGAGAAGGAUGCACAGGUGCGUGCCCUGCGAUUUUUUGCCAUUUAGUUGCUUGUUUGAUCACGUUGGGUUGGGUGUAGCAGGAAACAGAGUGAAUUGCAAAAAACAUCGACACUUCAGGCAAGGUUUGCAGGAACCACACAUUUACGGAAUUGUGCCAAAAAGCACUAAUUUUUUUAUAUUUUUUUGCAAAAAACACUGGUUGCUUGUUUGGACCGUUUUAAGUACGUUUAUGACAUGGGGGUCCCGCUUUUGCUGACGUGGCGUAACGGUUCGCAGGCGACGCCGUUAGACAGACGACUUUAUACCAACACCCUUUUUGGAAAAAGAAAAAGCAAUCGGGUCCUUGGCCCUGAAAAUAAAAGCAAUCAGGACCUUCAUCUCCCACCGGUCCGGUGGGAUUGCUUCGGUGCACGGCCGGCGCUGCGUCCGCCGCCGCCUGCUCGCGCCCGUGCCUUGCCUGCUCGCGACCGUGCGCCGCUGCUCGCGCCCGCCGCUGCCUGCNNNNNNNNNNNNNNNNNNNNNNNNNNNNNNNNNNNNNNNNNNNNNNNNNNNNNNNNNNNNNNNNNNNNNNNNNNNNNNNNNNNNNNNNNNNNNNNNNNNNNNNNNNNNNNNNNNNNNNNNNNNNNNNNNNNNNNNNNNNNNNNNNNNNNNNNNNNNNNNNNNNNNNNNNNNNNNNNNNNNNNNNNNNNNNNNNNNNNNNNNNNNNNNNNNNNNNNNNNNNNNNNNNNNNNNNNNNNNNNNNNNNNNNNNNNNNNNNNNNNNNNNNNNNNNNNNNNNNNNNNNNNNNNNNNNNNNNNNNNNNNNNNNNNNNNNNNNNNNNNNNNNNNNNNNNNNNNNNNNNNNNNNNNNNNNNNNNNNNNNNNNNNNNNNNNNNNNNNNNNNNNNNNNNNNNNNNNNNNNNNNNNNNNNNNNNNNNNNNNNNNNNNNNNNNNNNNNNNNNNNNNNNNNNNNNNNNNNNNNNNNNNNNNNNNNNNNNNNNNNNNNNNNNNNNNNNNNNNNNNNNNNNNNNNNNNNNNNNNNNNNNNNNNNNNNNNNNNNNNNNNNNNNNNNNNNNNNNNNNNCCUGCUCGCGACCGUGCGCCGCUGCUCGCGCCCGCCGCUGCCUGGUCGCGUCCGCCGCCGCCUGCUCGCGAUUGUGCGCGUCGGGAUUGACAGCCUCCCGCGGCUGCCGUGGGUCCCUUCUACGGCGACCCGAGGUGCCGGUCAGCCGGUCCGUGCUCAGCUCCACCGGUGGCAGCAUGCUUCCAGCGAGAGGGUGAGCUCCUCGCACUCUCGAGCGCGCCGGCGUGCGCGCCAACAACAGCUCCGGCCACGCCUCCCUACGCCGGCCGGGGCACGAGCAGCAGCAGCUCCACGCCUCCACCGCGCCUCCCGGCAUCGGCCGGGGCACGAGCAGCAGCAGCAGCUCACCACGCCUCCCUACGCCAACCAUGCCCCAGCACUGAUGCAAGUUGCAGCAGCAGCACCACCAGGCCCGCGCGGCUGCGGCCAUGGAAGGAGAGGUGGGAGUGCGACGCGGCGGUGGACGGUGGAGGCACGGCUCCGGCGUGGAGCACGGCGGAGUUGGCUCUUUCCUAAAAAAAGGAGGGAACUUUUGGUAAAUAUAUAUCUCUAACUAUGUCUAGUGUGAACCGUUACGCCACGUCAACAAAAGCGGGACCCCAUGUCAUAAACGUACUUAAAACGGUCCAAACGAGCAACCAGUGUUUUUUGCAAAAAAUUAUGAAAAAAUUAGUGCUUUUUGGCACAAUUCUGUAAAUGUGUGGUUCCUGCAAAUGUUGCCUGAAGCGUCGAUUUUUUUUGCAAUUCACUCCAGGAAACAUAAAUGCAGUGUGUUUGAGCUGUGCUCGGAUUCAGACCGGAGACACGUCGCUGCGUUGCGUCGAGGGGGAGUGCGCGCCAUGAAAAAAAAGAAGGGAGACCGCGUCGCCGCGUUGCGUCGAGGUACAGCAGGAAAGAAACUCUUCGUAUCCUGGUAGGAGUCGGACCCGAUCGAGUCGGCGGAACAAAUGCAGUGGAACUAUAUAUACAUACACAUAGCGGCGUAUAGGUAUAGCGUUACAGACGCCAGCCCCCCUUCCUCCUCCCAUGCCACCAACACCGUACCCAGCGCACAAUCAACAAUCCAUCUUCCCUCCCUGCUCCCGGCGAUCGAGAUGAUGCAGUACGCCGUGGAUCCCUACGCGGGCGCCUUUGCUCGACCUCCGCCUCCCGGCUUCUUCGGCGUCGGAUCCUGCGCUUGGGUCGCCAACAGGCCUGCUCGGCGACCUCCGCCUCCCGCCUUCUUCGGCAUCGGAUCCUGCUUUCGCCCGGCUGCCGACGUGCCAGCUCGUCGACCUCCGCCUCCCGGUUUCUUCGGUGCACGCCGUCCCAGGGUGCUCCCGCCAGCGCCGUGCGAGGUGCCCAUGCCACCAAAGUUCUCAAAGCCCACGACACCGGCACCAGCGCCGGUUUCCUGCGUCGCCGCCGCCUCCACAAAGCUUCAGCGGCUGUGCCCUGACUACGAAGACGACAUCGACCACAACCUCCGGUUGACAGAGAAGAACGCCGAGGAGCGGCCGCUACCGGACUACCUGACGAAGGUGCAGCAGGAUCGGGUGAGCGAGUCAGCGCGCGCCUCCCUCGUCGGAUGGAUGGACAAGUUCGUCCGAGACCAUGAUCUGGCCGACGGCACGCUCCACCACGCCGUCGCCUACGUCGACCGGGUCCUGUCUGUGCGAGCCCUGACGACUGACAGCGGCUACGAGCUACGCCUCCUGGGUGCCGCGGCCAUCUUUGUCGCCGCCAAAUACGAGGACCAAAAAGCCGUGUGGAAGCUGAAGGCCGACCAGAUCGCCAGGUACGGCGAGUUCGCCGCGGGCAAAGAGGUGCUCGACAUGGAGUGCGAGAUGGUGGAGGCGCUCGGAUACCAGCUCGGCGGCCCCACGGCGCACACGUUCCUGAGCCACUUCAUGAGGUACGCCGAGGGGGAGGACAAGACCAAGAUCCUGCCAUUGGCGACUCGCCUCGUUGAUCAGUCUCUGCUCAACUACACGUGCCUCCGCAUCUUGCCGUCCCUCGUGGCGGCGUCCGCGAUCUUCCUCGCGAGGCGGACCCUGAAUCCGCCCGACGUCCUCGCGUGGAACAGGGAAUUGACGGAGCUGACGGGCUACAACUGCUCCGACAUGACAGCCUGCGUGCUUAAUAUGUUCUUCUUCUCGCGGUCGCUCAUCUGUAACCCUUCUUCUUGAUCAUCGAGGAGACUCACCAAGACAGAGCAGUUUUGUACUCGUCUUGUAAUCUUGUGGAAGUUCCUUGUAAUGUUCAUGUAUACCAGUCUGAAAUUAAUGUAUGUAUCAUCUUAGUUUUGUCAUGCAUGCGUCAACUGGUGAUGAACACACUGUACCGGGCUUCUGAUUGCCGGUUCUUUUUUCCUCCAAAACUCUUUUUUUUUGCGCAUCAAAACACUAAAUUAAGCUUUAACAGGAGGAUUACAAUCGUUCCUUAAACAAGCAUCAAGAAACCCUGGCACGCAAUUUAACCAUAAGCAUCUCCUUCUACUACUGCUAGCUAGCCUGCCCAGCACACAGAUGUGCGACCAUUUGCCUCUCUCCCGAUACUAGUAAUGUCAGAUCGUCCCUCUUCUCUACCAAUCCAAAGGCCUAUGACCAGCUGGGCAUACCAGUUUCUUAGGUCACAUGUUGCAUGCGAAGAUCACAAGCCAAACGGACACCAUUCCGUACCGCAUAUGCCUCCAUUACGAUGACGCUCGCUGCGUUGUCAUACCACAACGCCUGUGCCCGAACUAACUCCCCUGUGUGAUCUCGAAUACCAACACCCGUUGCUCCUAUAUGAAGCUAGCAUCAACAUUAACCUUCAUUACCCCUGGUGGUGGUUUAGGCCAAUGCAUCAACAAUUUCUUGUGUUGUUUCUUCUCCUUGCCACUGAUUGCUAAAUCUAUUGCUACAUCCAGAGUCCAUCUGACAGAACUUGUAACAGAGUAUCGUGACUCUUUUUCACCAUGUUUCCUUGCAUUUCUAGAGGACCAUACAGACCACACACCACACAUAAUAAUCGUAGCUUCAGACCUAGGUAUAAAAUCUUCGAACAAGAUAUCAAUCGACCAUGAAGGCAUGAGUUGCGGGAUUUUAACACCUGCAAAAAUCUUAAUCUCUUUCCAGAAUCUUUUGGCCCAAAUGGACUUGAAGAUAGCAUGUACAAUAUAGUCUCCUCCCUGCCACAUUCAAGAUGGAAUUCCCUAGGCUCAAUAUGUUUCUGAUGGAGCACCGACAAACAAGGUAUAAAAGAGUCACGAUACUCUGUUACAAGUUCUGUCAGAUGGACUCUUGUAACCCCGGUGAAGAUGUGCCUCACCAGAGUUUUUCAGUAGGCAUGAUAAACCUUCAGCACAAAUCAGGAAUAAGUAGCAAUGGAUCACCUUGUCUAUGCCUAUGGUUGGUUUAAAAAUUUCUGAAAACACCCCAUUCACUCUCACAGAGAACGAGACUGUUUCCACGCACUUCAUAACUAUAUUAAUCCAUCCAUCUGCAAAACCCAGUUUGGGUUUGGUCAUGAUGGCUCUCAAAUAGCUCCAUUCUACUCGAUCGCAGACUUUAGCCAUAUCUAGCUUCACCGCACAAGCUCCAGACUUGCCUUUCCUCCUCUUCAAAUAAUGAAUACAUUCGUAAGCAGUUAAUACACUAUCCGUUAUUAAUCUUCCUGCCACAAACACUAUUGCAGAAAAAAACUACGUAGAUGAUUUUCUUCAAGGGGAAGCCACAUGAUAACUUUAUUUGUUUUAAAGGAGACAAAAUAUUUGCCUUGUCCAUUAAUUAAUCAAAAGAGAACGACCCAUUUAAUUAGAUAAAAACCAAAACAAUAAGGAUCAAACAAGCCCACACCGAACAUUGAAACACAUAGUGUCAAGGCCAUUCUCGCAAAUGGCGUGCCGAACACAACAACAGACGCCAACCACACGAACACACAACAAUGUGAGAACCCGCUCUGCCGAUCAAGCCGACCAUCCACCACUGUCGGUGUGAAAUCCGGCAGACCUCGAGGUAGGGGGUCCCGAACUGUGGAUCUUAGAUCGUGGGUAACAGAAACAGGGAGACAGUGUUUGCCCAGGUUCGGGCCCUCUUGAUGGAGGUAAAACCCUAUGUCCUGCUCUUGUUUCUAUUGAUAGAGAUGUAUCGAGUACAGAGUUGAUCUACCUCGAGAUCGUGAGAUGUGUUCUAACUCUAGGCUAGGUGAAUGAGAUUGCGUUAAUGUGCCCUCCACGGGCUAAACCCUCUAGCUUAUAUACAUGCCAGGUAGGGCAUCUAAGGUUACAAGAUCGGUAUCUUGGCACAGAGGUCGUAGGAGAAAUCUUGGAGUGUAAGACAAGUCUUGGGUAGAUGUAGUCUCGAUCACGCCUCCAGCAUGUGCCUUACGGAGUCCAUCGUGAGAAGAAUGAGGGCUCACCAGCCCAUCCCAAGGAGUAGGCCGGCUAGGUUAGACCCCCUAGUCCAGGACACCGUCAGUAGCCCCCGAACUGGUCUUCCACGCCGAGGACGAUACCCUUUAUGAAGAUAACCUUGGAUCCGGAGUCCUUGAUUUGAUAAACGAGUCCCCCUUUGUGACUUCAAUAACCCUGAACUGUUCUUCAAAGAGGUAGUGUCUUACAAACAAGACUUAGCCGAGCUCACGCCUUGUACGAGGAGGCGGGGUAACUUAGCCUCGAAGGCCGACCACGUAGGUGUGAAUAGUGCCCCUAGCCUGACAACUUUAUCGAAGCGGCGUGAGCCAUGAAGGGUCAAGCAGUUACUGCUUACCACUAAUCAUGGCCCGAGGCAGCCCUUUUAGUGGUGCGUCCCAUCAAAAUGGAGAUCGUGCCUGUUUUCUCAGGGACAUUAUCAAGAUUUUGUUUCCCCCCAUGCGCACAACGACAUCUUUUGAGGGGGAGUGGCAUUUUUACCGGCGUAGCGAGAAGGACUCUUGGCCUUUUCAUCAGCCUAUAAGAGUAAGAAACCAACAAUGCAAACAAGCACACUCUCAUUUCCCCCGUCUGCUGCCUUCUCUAGCUCUAGCGCCCAGAUCCAAUCUCGCUUUCUUCCUCCUCAGUCGCAUCCAAGCUUCCUCACCCAACCAUGUCUGACACCCUCAGAGGGCAUUGGGUGGUUCCACCAUGACAGAGGUCACCAUCAUGGAGUUGCGCAGUGCGGGAUACAUCCCCGCCAACAUCGCCGCCCGCGCUCCCAACGCCAACCAGCAAGUGCCUGCUCCCAACCCAGGGGAGCGGGUAGUCUUCGUCCCCCACCUCUUCAAAGGUUUAGGGUUCCCGCUGCACCCAUUCGUGCGCGGGGUAAUGUUCUAUUACGGGCUCGACUUCCACCACAUGGCCCCGAACUCCAUCUUGCACCUCGCCUCGUUCAUCACGGUCUGCGAGGCCUUCCUCUGCAUCGAGCCGCACUUUGGCUUAUGGCUGAAGAUCUUCGGCGUUAAGCCGAAGUCUAGCGGCUCCGAUCUGGCGGAGUGUGGAGGGGCCAUGGUCAGCAAGAACCAGAAGGCCGAUUGGUUCGAGGGCACCUUUUUCAAAACGGUCAAGGAAUGGUAGCAGGAGUGAUUUUACAUCACCGAGCCACUCGCAGCCGUCCAGGCCGAAGUCCCAUCCUUUUCGGUUGGGCCCCCGAAGAAGCUCAGGUCCUGGAGGGAGAAGGGCAUCGCCUGGGGGAACCUAGAGGAGGUGGAGGCACUGAUCAAUAAGAUCAAAUAGUGGUCCAACAGAAAAACCUCUAGCUAGCUGACGUAGUAAACGUCAUGCUCCACCGCCUCCUCCUCCCGCUCCAGCUUCGAGCUUCCCUGACGCGGGAGCAUAAGCCCGAUGAAACGGGGCCCUUCCUCAACUUCUUCCACACCACCUUGUCUGGCAUGUGGAAGCGUCUCUUCAAGAUAUCCAAGGACGAGAUCCCCAAGGAAGGGGAGGACCUCGGCACUGGUAAAUGUUUGACACACACAGUUACAUUCUUCCUUUUCUUGUUAAGUGAGACAGAUUUGAUGAAUCGCCUCGCUUCAUAUUCGUAGAAAUGGGCAUCCAAGGCGCAACAAAUGUUGUGCCCGACCCCACCGCCAGAGGGGGAGAGAAACCCCUGCUCACGGCACUCCUAGUCGAGGAGCCGCACAUGGUGAUCCCCAAGGGGCCGAAGUCCCAGAAGGGAAAGGCGGGCCUUAGGACUAGGGACACCUCGGUCACCCAGUCCGUGGAGACCCACACCUCCUCCACCCACGAGGGCGACAUGGGGGAGGAUAAGGAAGAGGCGAACCCUUCCCUUAAAGGUAAGAGGGCGGCGUCAGAGGACGCCAAGGCCGGAACGCGGCCCAAGGGCCAAAAGAGGAUGAGGAGAACCUCGGCCGGGGCCACUGGCAAGUCGUCGGAGAAGAUCAUAAUCUCCGACAAGUUAGAGGACGAUCCCCUCGCUAUGGGAAGGAAGAAACCAGCACCCCGAGGGUACGUCACUAUUCUUUUCUUCAUUUUGCAACAAGUACUCUUAGCAGGAUAAAACUCACAAGAGCAUUUUCCUAUAGUUCGCCAAAGGUGGGCCUCAUCGAAUCCUCAAGCAGGUUGCCAUCUGCCAGCAGGAUACCAGAUCCCGCUACUCCUCCCCAGCUCAAGACGGGCCGACGGAAGCAACGCCUACUCUGGCCCCCCACGUUGACGCGACGGGGGCUGAAGAGUCGGCUUUCAUGGCCGGUGUUGAGACCUCGGUCCCACAAGGCCAAGGGGACAGAGUCCCCGAGGUCGACAAAGAGGGGCUGGGCCAAUCAUCGGCCCAGCCGAAGUCCGCUCCGGCUCCACCGCCGCAGUUGGAGACCCUCAUGCCCAGUACUCCGGUGCCGGGCUCUGAGGUUCUACCCCCUCCUUCCGCCCAAGGGCGGUGAGGGAGUUAUGGACCGAGGGGUCCUCAGGAUGCCAACCCAUGGAAUAUGGGCCGGACUGGUGAAGCCGUAUAGUGAUGGGAGAUCUAUGAAGCUAUGGUGUGCCCUCCAAGUCAAGGAUAGGUAGGAUCUCUUUAUUCCUUAUUGUAAUCUAUCUCUAGUAACCCUAACCCUACAGGUGUCUAUAUAAGCCGAGGGUUGUAGUCUUUAGUGUUAGAGCUAUAUUCAUCACCUCAUCACCGUAGGGUUUAGCUCAUGCUGAUCUCGAGGUAGAUCUACUCUGUAACCAUACUAUACAUCCAAUAUAAUCAAGCAUGACGUAGGGUAUUACCUCUUCGAGCGGGCCUGAACCUGGGUAAAACAUUGUGUUCGUCGUCUCUUGUUACCCAUCGAUCCCAGAUCGACAGCUCGGGACCCCCUACCCCAAGGUCUACCCGUUUUGACACCGACAUUGGUGCUUUCAUUGAGAGUUCUGUUGUGGGGUCGCUUGAAGGAUCGAUGGCUCGCCUGAUCAUAGGAGAAGGCAUCGAAUCCGGGGACUUCUUUGUCCCCGGUCAACUCUUCACGUUCGGCAGCAUCGUGCUGCACGCUAAUCCGACCGGUCAUUUAGGUCGGAUCGACAACUUUGCUCCGGAACACCGAAUUCGAUUUGGCAAUCUGGAAUAUGUUGCGGACAUACGGGGCGAUCUGGUCUUCACCGGAUUCACUGCCCCCGUCCGCACCCUUGCCGGCGCCGCCACGCCCGCUCUGGAGUCUCCCUCUGAUCCGAUGUGUAGAUCGGCCUCCGCCCUUCGAACAGCCUCGAGCCAGGAGGGCUCCGCUCCAAGCGGGGGACAGGCUCCACCUUCGGCCGGAUCCGCCAUGUCUGCGGAGGGCCUGUCCUCGGCCUUCGAGGCGGAAUCAGGAGGCGGAGGCCAAGAGUCAACCUUGGCCGAACCUUCCUGUCACAACGUUCCUCUAAGCCCUUGCGACGAGCCGGCGGCCGAUGGCCAGGGGUCACCCCAGCCCAAAGCAGCUUGAUCUCGAAUCCCAGCGUGGAAACCACACGCAAAAACCAAGGCCCGUCCUUAGUCCCCACUGACAAUCCGGGCCCUCUCAAGGAUCCGACACUGUACCCUGAGUUCAGCUCAGCCUGUGGAAACCAAGGACCGGCCGGGGCAUUGAUUGCCCCUCACCCCAUUACAACGGAAUCUGGCCUAGAGCCCUCAAAUUCGGCGACCCUUGCUAUGUUGAACGAGGUGCUAGACCGAAUCCAGAAAAUGACCAUCCAGGAGGACCUGCCUCCGCCCGCAACCAUCGACCCUUCGAGGCAUACUACGGGGAAUUUUACGUCCCACCCACCACCCACCUGGUAGCCACUGUUGAUGAUUUAACCGAUAUGCUAGAUUAUAAUUCAGAAAACGCCGAAUACAUGGACGAGGAUAGGGGAGCCACGGCUGAAACCGAUGUUGCCCCCCGUCACCGGCCGAUGGUCGACCACGUCCACCAACGAUAUUUACAUGGUGGACACCCCCAAGGACGGCGAUGGCACUCCCAAUCAGGACCGAGACAAACCCGGAGAUGAGCCGCCCAAACGGCUAAAAAAACGUCGUCGAUCAAAGCCACGUCGAAGCCAUACGAGCAAUGUGGACUCUGCGGAGAACGGCACCGCGAAUAGUACGGAUGACCUCGCAGGAGCCGCAGCUAAUGAACAUCAUCGGGAUGACCCCGCAGGGCAGGAGGACCCGUUCAACCCAGAUGACUCCGAGGACAGCAACUACCUCCUACUAUCUGAAGAGGAGGCCAGUCUCGGCGAUGACGAUUUCAUCGUCCCCGAAGACCCGCUGGAGCAGGAACGGUUCAAGUGGAGGAUUCUAGCCACCGCCCGCAGCCUGAAGAAACAAAAGAGAAAAAUCAAGGCGGAGCAGGACACCUCAACAAUCGAUGGACCAUAGUCCUAGCCGCUGAAGAAGGGUACGACCACGAGCAGCCAAUCAAAAGCUAUCCCAAGCGAAGACUGCUGCCGCAAUUCGACGACGAGGCCGUAGAGACAAUACGUCCGACAUACACAUGCGCCAAACAGACGGACCGCCCCCUAGAGGGCGGGACAGAAAAGCUGACGAGGCCGAACACCCCGCCCCCACCUCGUUGUUACGGCAAGGAUCAAGUGCGGCCCGCCUACGAGUACGACCUCCGUCAUGAUCUAGACGCUCGAGGAGGCCGUACCAGGUCCAUCUACGGACCCAGGGAAGAUCCGCCCACUCAAUGGGAAGGAUAUUAUGAUUGGCCGAACCGAAACGACAGAAUCCGGGAGCAGCAGCAGACUCGGAUGUUCGAAGACCUCCGACGUGAUGUAGCCCGAAUUCGGGGCACCACACACCCCUUGUGCUUCACAGAGAGGGUAAUGCAACACCAAUUCCGAGAAGGCUUCAAGCCUGAGAACAUUGAACCAUACGACAGAACCACAGAUCCGGCCAUAUGGAUAGAGGAUUUCCUCCACCACAUUCACAUGGCGCGAGGAGAUGACCUCCACGCUAUCAAAUACCUGCCACUAAAGCUUAAAGGUCCAGCUCGACACUGGUUGAAUAGCCUUCCCGAAGACUCUAUAGGUUGUUGGGAAGAGCUUGAGGACGCGUUUCGAGAGAACUUUCAAGGCACCUAUGUCCGGCAUUCGGAUGCUGACGACCUAAAUCGCAUCACACAACAGCCCAGAGAAUCCGCUCGACAAUUUUGGAACUGAUUCCUGAGAAAGAAAAACCAGAUUGUCGACUAUCCGGAUACCGAAGCCUUGGCCGCUUUCGAGCAUAGUGUCAAGGAUGAAUGACUCGUUAGACAGCUCGGCCAGGACAAGCGAAGAACUAUGGCAGCCCUUACUUCUCUCAUGACCCACUUUUGCGUGGGUGAAGACAGUUGGCUCGCUCGAAAAACCCCGAUACGCCCGAUACCUCUGAGGUUCGGGACUGAAAUGGAAAGCCCCGACGCAGCAAGAGUAAACGUCGCCACAUUGACGGCGAGGGAGAGGACACGGAAGUAAAUGCCGGAUUCCGAAAUCAGAAGUCCGGACCCCGAAAGAAGGCCCCUAAAGGCAAUGACGAUGGCCCAUCCAGACUAGACGCAAUCCUAGACAGGACUUGCCAGAUCCACGACACUCCAGAGAAGCCCGCCAACCACUCCAACCAUAACUGUUGGGUGAUAAAGCAGUCCGGCAAGCUCACAGUCGAAGACUCAGGCAGAAGCCCACAGAGCGAGGACGAUGACGAGCCCGCAGGCUGAAUAAUGGAGGCCAGAAACCCUUUCCUUCCAAGGUCAAGACGGUGAAUAUGAUCUACGCAAUCCACAUACCAAAGAUGGAAAGGAGGCGAGCACUGCGAGACGUAUAUUCUGUCGAGCCCGUAGCGCCAAAGUUCAAUCCAUGGUCAGCCCGCCCGAUCAGUUUCGAUCGCAGGGAUCACCCGACCAGCAUACCCCAUGGAGGAUCCGCAACCUUAGUACUGGACCCCAUCAUCGAUGGAUUCCACCUCACUAGAGUCCCAAUGGACGAGGGCAGUAGCCUCAAUCUGAUAUAUGCAGACACAGUGAGGAAGAUGGGGAUCGAUCCGUCAAGGAUCAAACCCAGUAACACCACCUUCAAGGGGGUCAUCCCUGGAGUGGAGGCCCGCUGCACAGGCACGGUGACGCUUGAAGUAGUGUUCGGCUCUCCGGACAACUUCCGAAGCGAGGACUUGAUCUUCGACAUUGCACCUUUCCGCAACGGCUAUCACGCCCUCCUCGGCCGAACGACGUUCGCCAAGUUUAAUGCCGUUCCACAUUACGCGUACCUCAAGUUGAAGAUGCCUGGUCCUUCGGGUGUCAUAACCAUUAACGACAACACAGAACGCUCACUUCGGGUGUCAUACUCUGUAAUUUUUUGCUUUUUUACAACUAAUGCCUUCGUAGUUCGAAUUGUACGGUUAGACAUCUUGAGCCUAUGAGAAAUAAUAAAAAUGCCCUUUAUGGUGCUCGGAUAUCCGCAUCUUGUGAUUGUCUAUUUCCUUUCCGAUCCCCCCCGCUCUUCGAACAGUCCGACAUGAAAACAUGAUCGGUUAACUAAUCUAGAGCUCGAUUUCCAUAUCAGCUCGGCACCCAAAGUACGACACUGCUUUCUGCUGAGUGUUCGACAUCUCGGAUAUUGCACUAUAUGCAUAACGUUCCGAACUAUGUCUUAGGUCAAUAGUUGGGUUGCCCAGCUCCUGUGCUUUCCCCUUAUGUUUCACAUGUUCGGCUAAUAGGGCAAAGAAAGAACCCCUGCGAUUGUACUUCUGGCUCGCCCGGUCAAGUACAUCAGGAGGAGAAAGCCGAAAACUGACCGUCAUAGUAAGCGCGAACUGAUCAGCGAUCCGAUGACGAGGUUUGACUCUAAAAAUCAUUGGCGAUUUUGCGUGUCACACGAAGGGUUCGUCUUAACACAAACCACGUGAUCAGAAAGGGCAGGCAUUUACCCCAAAGUACAUUGCAAAACACAAGGGGCUAGUCCUUAGCCCCCACUGUCAAGCUCCUAAGGCUAAGUGAAAGCAGUAAAACCGAAUAGUCUGAUUGUCUAGUUUUGCUCACACGCUACCGCCUCCGGGUACCAAGACGUUGGCUAAGGGUAACAUCGCGGAGACAAAGCACCCCUCGUGACAUUCACCUGGGGGCUGAAGCCUACAACUGGUAGCUUUCAGAAUAAACAUACGGCCGAAUAGGAGUCAAAAUUAAAAUCAUAACAAUAUAAAAUAAGUCAGGUGGACGCAUUAUAAAGCAUAAGGUCCAACUAGUAAAAACUUAAUACAAUCAUUCAAGCAUUACAUCUUUUUAACACUAGCCCUCUAUCGCCCGCGUGCCACCCAUCACCUGUGCAAAGUAUUGCUCAGGGCGGCAAUGCUCUUUUCCUUUGGCCAGACGACCAGUGGCCAUGUCCAUUGAAUUAAUCUUUGGCCAAUGCACCAUUGUCUUUGCAAACGCAAGCCUCGCCUCCUCAAGGCACGCUGAGCGCUUCAUGGCGUCAAUCCGGAGUGGUGCCUCCCGCAGCUUCUGCACAAGGCCGAAGUAGGUGUCUGGAAUGGGCUCGGUGGGCCACAUACUGACACAAAGGUCCUUCACGGCCAGCUCGGAAAUCCGAUGCAUCUCCAUCAACUACUUCAUUUGAUUGCUAAGGAGGGGAGCACGCUCAGAAUUAGAAACUGUGACCAGAAGAGCAGUUGCGUGAAGUCCUCCCCGUGAGUAGCAUAGUGCUUCGCCGCGGCCGCCACAUUCUUCGGAAGUUAGGCGAAGACGCUUGCGGAGCGCCAGACCCGCGUCAGUAGGGUGAAUCUAUUGCCUCUGAACACACUCUGUAUUAAGUAUUUCUUACCAUUUGCAAUUCGCCCGACUUGGCGGAGCUCUUCCCGGACACCUCGCACUUCAGUCCUUGCCUCCUGGAGCUCUUUCUCCACCUUGGACAGCUGGGAGGAUCGCUCCUCCUACUCCUUCUCAAGGACCUCCAGCUUCUUGGCGGCAUUCUGGAGCUCCACUUGAACUUCGGUCACUCGAGCCUCGUGCUGCUCACCAGCGAGCUUGGCCUUCUCGAGCUCGGCCACCGCCUUGUCAAUGGCCGUUUUCUUUGCUACCGCCUCUGCCUCGGCUUUCUUCAGGGCCUCUCCCAAGCCCUCGACCUCGGCGGCGGCAGCUACAAGAUCAUCAUGAUAGCAGAUCAGCAUACAGUCCGGAUCAUCAAUAUCCGACAUCAAGCAAAUAUACAUCUUAUCAAAAGGCUUACCUUGCGCCUCGUCAAGCCGUUUGUUGACAAGGUCAAGCUCUUUAUCAGAAUGCUUGAGCUUCUGAUCCAUCUCCUCCAGUGCUGCGGCAUUAGCAGCCGCAGCAACGGAAGAUGCCUGUGUCAGCAAAAGAAAUGUUGACAUUAUUAAUCGGCCUACCAAAUUUGAUCCUCUGCAGGCUUCUCCGAAGUCCUUGUAGAGUCUCGGGGGCAUGUACACGGCCUACCCAAACUAAAGGUGACAACCGCUUUAUGAGAAAAUAGCAUUACUUGACUUACCUCAAAGCCUGUUAGAAGGCCCUGGAUAGCGUUGUUCAGUCCGGAUUGGACGGACCGAACACCUUGCAUGACCGCACUCAUAAGAGUGCGGUGCCCAUCAACGAUGGCAGAGUUGUUCACCAACUCCUCUAGCGCGUCCGGCCAGCCAGCUGUCGCCCGUUUGGAGGUGUUCGGCGCUGGCAUCGGCUUCCCGACCCCUUCUCCACUGGGAAGAGGAACCUGUGCCGUCGAAGGCCUUGGGGGCUUAGGAGCGGACGGCUGAUGGGGUCCGGACGGUCCGGACUCCCUUCCCACAUCAGCCAGGAGGAACACGCCCUCCUGGUCUUCAGUGACCGAGGUGUUAACCUUGGCCAUCAUGGCGUCAACCUCCCCCUCUGUGUUCGGAGGAGGAGGAGUCCUUCGGGACCGCACCUCCCCGACCUCUUCAGGGAUUAGAGGAGGCGUGGAAUGCGCCAUAGACCCACUGUCCGCCAGUUUGGCGGGUGGGGACAUCCCCUCCGAGGUCUGCUCGACGGGGCGGUUGCGUGGAGGACUGCAAUUUUGAGGAGUUAGCCUCCGACCAGAAUGAAUUGCUGAAAAAUGAGGGUAGCUGAAAAUACCAGCCCUAUACCUGCUGGCCGGGGGCUUGAGCCUGGGACCCUUCUUCGGGAUCUCCUCUGACACUUCAGACUCCUCGUCCGAGCUAUCAGACAGGACCAGUUUGGGCCGGUGCUUCCUCUUUAGACCUUGAGGGUGCUAAACCUCUUUGGCCCUCGGACGUCGCCCUCUUCUUAGAGUGCGAGGAGGCACUCUCCUCCUCGUCCUCAUCCUCGCCCCCAUCCUGUACGGAUGAGGCCGCUGUCGGAUUCGGGGCUCCGCAGACCCAAGAAAGGUUCGAACUCUUGUGCGUGUGCAAAGAACUCAACCUCUUCAGCCAACUGGUUCGUCGCCCCCACGGCCUAGCCCGAUGAACAAGCAAGAAGAUGGACACAACCGUUUAGCCAGGUUUGGGCCACCUUGCGGUGUAAUACCCUACUCCUGCUUUGGGUGGAUUAGCCUCACGAGGGGCUGUGGAUGAACUAGUACAGAGCAAGAACAACCUCGCGAGGUCUGCUCUGGUGAAGGGGUGGUGUGUUGCGGUGUGGAAGGAUCGGAUCCCCCUUAUGGUGGUGGCUAGCCUAUAUUUAUAGUGGCCUUGGUCCUCUUCCUCCAAAUGGAGGCGGGAAGGGAUCCCAUAGUGGCCAAUUUUGAAGGGGGACAAGAAGUACAUCCUAUCCUAACGAAAGGUGGUCUUCGCCUGCAAAGCUUCUAGUCGUGACACCGUGGUGGUAUCGGUGAUGACAUCCGUCCUGCCGUCCUGGUGGUCUUGGUCUUGUUGCACGGGAAUGGAAACCUUUGGCUGAUUCCUCGGGACCCCGCACCUGCAUCUGCCUCCUUAGCACCAAAGAGGAAACCUGCUGCUCUGUGCCCGCUGGCGCCCGCCUGGCCUUGGUCGUCUCGGCUUGCGUCACCUCAACCUCAUGAGGUGGGCACCUGCAUAGAAUCUCCGCUCCUCGGGAGCACACCUGAGGAGGCCGCUCCCUCCAGAGGACUUGGCGUCGUCCGCCUCGCGAUGCUUGGCCCCUCGCGAGGGUCAUGUUUUGAAGAUGCUGAAGAUGGGCUGUACCAGGCCGCCGACGGAGCCACGCCGUGGGCCUCAGGCUGGCAAGUCUGGGUACCCUGGUUCCUAGAACGCCGACAGUAGCCCUCGGGCCCAAGGCGCGCUCGGACUUGGCUUCGAGGCGAAGCCAAAGGGCAAGGGCGAAGCACCGCAGGCCCCUAUCGCCUGCGGACCGAGUCGACGCGUGGCACUUGAUGGGACGUGGGCGUCUUGAUGUCUACUACACAACCUUCUUCUUGUAGACGUUGUUGGGCCUCCAAGUGCAGAUGUUUGUAGGACAGUAGCAAAUUUCCCUCAAGUGGAUGACCUAAGGUUUAUCAAUCCGUGGGAGGCGUAGGAUGAAGAUGGUCUCUCUCAAACAACCCUGCAACCAAAUAACAAAGAGUCUUUUGUGUCCCCAACACACCCAAUACAAUGGUAAAUUGUACAUGUGCACUAGUUUGGCGAAGAGAUGGUGAUACAAGUGCAAUAUGGAUGGUAGAUGUGGGUAUUUGUAAUCUGAAAAUAUAAAAACAGCAAGGUAGCAAGUGGUAAACGUGAGCGUAAACGGUAUUGCAAUGCUAGGAAACAAGGCCUAGGGUUCAUACUUUCACUAGUGCAAGUUCUCUCAACAAUAAUAACAUAAUUGGAUCAUAUAACUAUCCCUCAACAUGCAACAAAGAGUCACUCCAAAGUCACUAAUAGCGGAGAACGAACGAAGAGAUUAUUGUAGGGUACGAAACCACCUCAAAGUUAUUCUUUCUGAUCGAUCUAGUCAAGAGUCCGUAGUAAAAUAACACGAAGCUAUUCUUUCCGUUCGAUCUAUCAUAGAGUUCGUACUAGAAUAACACCUUAAGACACAAAUCAACCAAAACCCUAAUGUCACCUAGAUACUCCAAUGUCACCUCAAGUAUCUGUGGGUAUGAUUAUACGAUAUGCAUCACACAAUCUCAGAUUCAUCUAUUCAACCAACACAAAGAACUUCAAAGAGUGCCCCAAAGUUUCUACCGGAGAGUCAAGACGAAAACGUGUGCCAACCCCUAUGCAUAAGUUCACAAGGUCACUGAACCCGCAAGUUGAUCACCAAAACAUACAUCAAGUAGAUCACGUGAAUAUCCCAUUGUCACCACAGAUAAGCACAUGCAAGACAUACAUCAAGUGUUCUCAAAUCCUUAAAGACUCAAUCCGAUAAGAUAACUUCAAAGGGAAAACUCAAUCCAUUACAAGAGAGUAGAGGGGGAGAAAGAUCAUAAGAUCCAACUAUAAUAGCAAAGCUCGCGAUACAUCAAGAUCGUGCCGAAUCAAGAACACGAGAGAGAGAGAGAUCAAACACAUAGCUACUGGUACAUACCCUCAGCCCCGAGGGUGAACUACUCCCUCCUUGUCAUGAAGAGCACCGGGAUGAUGAAGAUGGCCACCAGUGAUGGAUCGCCCUCCGGCAGGGUGCCGGAACGGGGCCCCGAUUGGUUUUUGGUGGGUAUAGAGGUUUGCGGCGGCGGAACUCCUGAUCUAGGUUUAUUUUAUAUUUAUAGGGAUUUUUGGCAUCGGGAACAAGUCAGGAGGGGUCUCCGAGGCGGCCACGAGGUAGGGGGGCGUGCGCAGGGGGGUAGGGCGCCCCCACCCUCGUGGGUGCCUCGGGACUCUUCUGUCCCAUCUCCGAUACUCCGUGGGCUUCUUCUGGUCCAAAAAUAAUCUCCAUGAAAUUUCAGGUCAAUUGGACUCCGUUUGGUUUUCCUUUUCUGCGAUACUCAAAAAACAAGGAAAAAAAACUGGCGCUGGGCUCUAGGUUAAUAGGUUAGUCCAAAAAAUCAUAUAAAAUAGCAUAUAAAUGCAUAUAAAACAUCCUAGAUGGAUAAUAUAAUAGGAUGGAACAAUCAAAAAUUAUAGAGUGGAGACGUAUCACGUCUCCACUUCCCCACACUGCCUCGACAACUUCCCGACCUGACAACACCUUGAUGCAUGCAAGAAAACCAUCAUCACUUGGAACCGCGAGAGGCCGGCGAUUGGCCUUCCUUGGCUAUAAAUGCGAGAGGGGGCGGAACCCCCCGGCUCAUCUUCGUCUUCUUGUUGCUUGCUCCUACUUUGUCCCACCGUCCUGAUAGAGCGUCCAUGGCGCUAGUGAGGGGGUUUUCCGCCAUGGAGAAGGGAAAAACCCCUUAGGUGGAACCUGAGCUACUCGCGCCGAAGAAGAGGCUUGAUUGCUCUCGUGACAUUGCCGCGGCGCCCGUGGUGACGCGGCCUUGGGACGAACGCGCUCCAUCGGGCUUCCCGGUCCCCGUGUACGCUUGCGCGCGGAGCCCCACCCAUGGGAGUGGUGCCAGACGCCGCGAGGAACAGAGCCGCGGAGGAGAACAAGCGGUGGCAGUAUGGCCACCCUGCUCGCGGACCCAUGCUGAAGGCACGGCCCACGAGUUCGUGGUGUGGGUGGCAAUGCCGCCGCGCACCUGGAUCCGGCUCCCGCGGUCCUUCGCGAGGGAGAUACCGCCGAGAGGGCCUGUCGAGUUGUGGCUGCUACGCGACGGAUGCUAUGGCCAGGCUUCUGAAGUGGAAGUCGAGGUCAUCGACUCCGGCGAUGUCUUCAUGACCCGGGGAUGGGGGGCGAUCGCCCGCGCCUGCCGCCCGGAGGGAGGCCACGCCAUCCAUUUUGAGUACGACGGAGCCUCGAUGCUCUCCUUCAAGGCCUUCGGCGAGGAAGGCUGGCACCUGGAAUGCUGCCCCAGGGGAGGCGGCCAAGGCGGCUAGGCCACUGGUGGUGAACUUGCCCUUGGCCUUGUUCGCGACACCUCCGACAGUAGCGGCGCCUCAUCCGGACCGGAAUUGAGCGACAACGAUAGCUACGAGCCACCGCGCCGCUGCGGCCGGACCUAGGGGGAGGAAUAACGCUAUCCCGGUGUUGUUGAUGAUGUCGCCCAGGCUAUGGCUCUUAGGGGUUUUUUUCAUUUUGCUUCACUUCUGCAUAAAACCAUAACGAGCCCCGUGGGGGUAUGUAAAAAAACUAUGACACUCGCACUUUAAUGCUAUCAUUUCUGGUUCGAUGUCGUGCUUGCAUCUCUCGCUUUGGCAUGGUUCCCCCUUUCGUUCCUGCGAUAGCUUAGUGCUCUACGCCGACAUGACCCAGUCCACAGGCAAGCUUCGGCCGUCGCUGGUAUGCCAGGUCAUGAUGCCAUGGUCAAGGCCAGGAGGUAAGCAGCCCGAGGUCCAGUAAGAGCCCCUGAGGCGCGAUGCUCAGGAGGUCCACUUUGGCGCGCAAGCGGCUCUUGAAAGGAUGAACGGGAAAUGUCCUUGCUCGAGCGAGAUCGCUAGAGACAAAACGCGGAUUGUGAGGUUCGUGCCGUCAUACGAGAGGUGACUUAUCUUGGCGGGCCUGCGGUAAUUUCUUCUUUGCAAGGACAAUCUUCUUGCCUGGCGUUAAGUUAUGUCUUCCUCCUGAUGGCGCCUCUGGGCAGGGCUCGUGCCAACCCCAUCUCUCUCGCUCGUCUGGGUGCUCUACAUCGUCGGGUCCCGACCCUCGAGCAAGGCUUUGCCGCCGCUGGUAUGCCAGGUCGCGAUGCCGUGGUCAAGGCCAGGGGUUGAGGGCCCGAGAGCCAGUAGGAGCCCUUGAGGCGCGGUGCUCAAGCCCCCCCUUUAACGUGCAAGUGACUUGCGCGAGAGAAGGAAUGGCUGGCUCUGAGGGGGUGCUCCAGGAGGUGUUGCGCCCCGAGAGGCGGGCGAAGCUGCUAGUGGUCCCCGCUCCGGAAGUUCCUACGAGUUAGCCAAAAAUAGGAAAAUACGGCAUGCAGCCGCGCUUGCCAUCCCGCCGAUGAUCUUUCCGGAAGAGGACGAAGGCACUAAGGACCCGGUGAGGUGACGUGCGCUGGCCGGGCCGCGAGCCAGAGCUUAGUCUCUUAGGUUUAUCAGCACUACAGGGACAUACCCGAGCACAGGCGCCGUGCCAGUAGCUCCCGUUGCGGGAUGAGCAAGAGGCCGGUUUAGCAAGGCGCAGAGGCUGCGAGUGGUGACUCCAUAGAUAACGAAACGGUAGGAGAAAUACCAACAACCAUGACAACUGGAGCAUGCAUAACUGGUUCGGAGCACAUGAAUCGAAAUGGUGCAGCUACAGGGGCCGGCCCUGACAGCCCGAGGAUAAUGCAGCUCGUGGGGCGCCCUCAAUUGAACAAACCAAAAAGUCACCUAGCAACGUCGCUGUAGAAGUGUUGCAGUGGCUGAAGACGCGCGCUGCAGAACUCGCUCCUCACAAGCCGACUGGCUCCUGAGCCCCAGGGGGCUCUGGAGGUCCGGCGGGCUCACGAAGUUCCGGCAUCUCCAUUGUCAGGAUCGCCUGGCGCGUGGCCUCGUGAGCUGCCAGAAUGCUCUGCAUGUGGUGCUGGUGCGAGGCAGCUGCGUUCGGCAGGACAAACGACAUGCGGACGUAGCUGUGGGGGCGGCCUUCACACUGACCGACGCGGGACGGCAAGAAGAGCUCCUGAGGAGCGGCCCUAUUGAGGCCUGGGAUAUUGACGCAGACGCACAGCUCGCCGCCCACGUCAGAGGUGGCAGCUGCACUGGGUGUUGUGGAGCGACGCUCGCCACGCAUGGCUCUCGCCCCGUGCCUUGAUACGUCUCCAACGUAUCUAUAAUUUUUGAUUGCUCCAUGCUAUAUUAUCUACCAUUUUGGACAUUAUUGGGCUUUAUUAUUCACUUUUAUAUUACUUUUGGGACUAACCUAUUAACCGGAGGCCCAACCCAGAAUUGCUGUUUUUGCCUAUUUCAGAGUUUCGGAGAAAAGGAAUAUCAAAUGGAGUCCAAACGGAAUGAAACCUUCGGGAACGUGAUUUUUAGGAAGAAUAUGAUCCAGGAGACUUGGACCCUACGUCAAGAAACAAAAGAGGAGGCCACGAGGUAGGGGGCGCGCCUACCCCCCAGGGCGCGCCCUCCACCCUCUUGGGCCCCCUGUUGCUCCACCGACGUACUCCUUCCUCCUAUAUAUACCUACGUACCCCCAAACGAUCAGAUACGGAGCCAAAAACCUAAUUCCACCACCGCAACCUUCUGUACCCACAAGAUCCCAUCUUGGGGCCUGUUUCGGAGCUCCGCCGGAGGGGGCAUCCAUCACGGAGGGCUUCUACAUCAACACCAUAGCCUCUCCGAUGAAGUGUGAGUAAUUUACCUCAAACCUUCGGGUCCAUAGUUAGUAGCUUGAUGGCUUCUUCUCUCCUUUUGGAUCUCAAUACAAUGUUCUCCCCCUCUCUCGUGGAGAUCUAUUCGAUGUAAUCUUCUUUUGCGGUGUGUUUGUUGAGACCGAUGAAUUGUGGAUUUAUGAUCAAGUUUAUCUAUGAACAAUAUUUGAAUCUUCUGAAUUCUUUUAUGUAUGAUUGGUUAUCUUUGAAAGUCUCUUCGAAUUAUCAGUUUGGUUUGGCCUACUAGAUUGAUCUUUCUUGCAAUGGGAGAAGUGCUUAGCUUUGGGUUCAAUCUUGCAAGGCACGCAUUGUAUUGUUGCCAUCGAGGAUAACAAGAUGUUUUUUUAUCAUAUUGCAUGAAUUUAUCCCUCUACAUCAUGUCAUCUUGCUUAAGGCGUUACUCUGUUUUCAUGAACUUAAUACUCUAGAUGCAUGCUGGAUAGCGGUCGAUGAGUGGAGUAAUAGUAGUAGAUGCAGGCAGGAGUCGGUCUACUUGUUUCAGACGUGAUGCCUAUAUACAUGAUCAUACCUAGAUAUUCUCAUAACUAUGCUCAAUUCUGUCAAUUGCUCAACAGUAAUUUGUUCACCCACCGUAAAAUACUUAUGCUCUUGAGAGAAGCCACUAGUGAAACCUAUGGCCCCCGGGUCUAUCUUCAGCAUAUUAAUCUUCCAACACUUAGGUAUUUCCUUUGAUUUUUACUUUGCUUUUAUUUUACUUUGCAUCUUUAUCAUAAAAAUACCAAAAAUAUUAUCCUAUCAUAUCUAUCAGAUCUCACUCUCGUAAGAGACCGUGAAGGGAUUGACAACCCCUUAUCGCGUUGGUUGCGAGGAUUUAUUUGUUUUGUGUAGGUGCGAGGGACUCGCGCGUAGCCUCCUACUGGAUUGAUACCUUGGUUCUCAAAAACUGAGGGAAAUACUUACGCUACUUUGCUGCAUCACCCUUUCCUCUUCAAGGGAAAACCAACGCAGUGCUCAAGAGGUAGCAUGCCCUAUUCAUGGAAGCGCGCAUUGAAGCACGCCUCCACAUGGUGCCUGAAUGCCUCCCUCGUGACGCUGGUCAGGUCAGAGGCCCUCCAGAGGAGAGCCCCCGAGCCCGUCCUAAGAGGGGCGCCGGGCGCGCCUCCCUAUGCGAGAGGGGAAGGCGCCCCAGCGGUGGGCGCAGGACCUGAGGUUCGAUCGUCAACCGCCAUGCCUCCAGGUGGCCCCUGAGGAGCAGCUGAUAACCCACAAGUAUAGGGGAUCAAUUGUAGCCUCUUUCGAUAAGUAAGAGUGUCGAACCCAACAAGGAGCUAAAGGUAGAACAAAUAUUCCCUCAAGUUCUACCGACCACCGAUACAACUCUACGCACGCUUAACGUUCACUUUACCUAAAACAAGUAUGAAACUAGAAGUACUUUGUAGGUGUUUUUGGAUAGGUUUGGAAGAAUAUAAAGAGAGCGUAAAUAAAAGCUAGGGUCUGUUUUAAGUAAAGAAGCAAUACAGUUAGUAUAGCGAGUGUGGAAAAGUGGUGGUAGGAGUUGUGAAAUUGUCCCUAAGCAAUUGACUACUUUACUAGACCGAUAGCAAGUUUUAUGUGGGAGAGGCCACUACUAGCAUGUCAUCCCUGACUUGGAAUUCUAUGCACGUAUGAUUGGAACUAUUAGCAAGCAUCCGCAACUACUAACACUCAUUAAGGUAAAACCCAACCAUAGCAUUAAGAUAUAUUGGUCCCCCUUCAAUCCCGUAUGCAUCAAUUUCUAUGCUAGGUUGAAGCUUCUGUCACUCUUGCCCUCCAAUACAUAGUCCUAUCAACAUACAACUAACCCUAUAGUGUGAUCCACGCGCGUGCUCAUAUGAUGGGCACCAAAGGACAGCAACAUAACCACAAGCAAAUUAAACCAAUCAUAGCAAUUCAUCAAUCACCGAAAGGACAACGAAAAUCUACUCAGACAUCAUAGGAUGGCAACACAUCAUUGGAUAAUAAUAUGAAGCAUAAAGCACCAUGUUCAAGUAGAGGGUACAGCGGGUUGCGGGAGAGUGGACCGCUGUAGAUAGAGGGGGGAAGGUGAUGGAUAUGUUGGUGAAGAUGGCGAUGAUGAUGGCCGCGGCGGUGUUCCGGCGCCACCGGAAGAGAGGGGGAGAGAGCCCCCCUUCUUCUUCUUCCUUGACCUUCUCCCUAGAUGGGAGGAGGGUUUCCCCUCUGGUCCUUGGUCUCCAUGGCGUGGGAGGGGCGAGAGCCCCUCCGAGAUUGGAUCUGUCUCUCUAUCUCUCUCUGUUUCUGCGUUCCCAGAUCUGGCCUUUCACCGUUUCUUUUAUAACCGGAGAUCCGUAACUCCGAUUAGGCUGAAUUUUGGACACGAUCUCUAUCCGGAAAUUAGCUUUCUUGCGGCGAAAGAAGGGCUCCAACCGCCUUACGGGGUGGCCACGAGGGUCCAGGGUGCGCCCCCUGCCUCGUGGCCCCCUCGGGCAUCGUAUCGCGUUGAUUCUUCUUCCCAAAAAUCACAUAUAUUCCAAAAAAAAAUCUCCGUCAGUUUUUAUUCCGUUUGGACUCCGUUUGAUAUGGAUUUUCUGCGAAAGAAAAAACAUGCAACAAACAGGAACUGGCACUGGGCACUGGAUCAAUAUGUUAGUCCCAAAAAUAGUAUAAAAAGUUGCCAAAAGUGCAUGAAAGUUGUAUAAUAUUGGCAUGGAACAAUAAAAAAUUAUAGAUACGACGGAGACGUAUCAGCAUCCCCAAGCUUAAUUCCUGCUCGUCCUCGAGUAGGUAAAUGAUAAAAAAGAUAAUGUUUGAUGUGGAAUGCUACCUAGCAUAAUCUUGAUCAUGUAUCUAAUCAUGGCAUGAAUAUUAAGACACGAGUGAUUCAAAGCAAUAGUCUAUCAUUUGACAUUAAGACAAUAAUACUUCAAGCAUACUAAUAAAGCAAUCAUGUCUUUUCAAAAUAACAUGGCCAAAGAAAGUUAUCCCUACAAAAUCAUAUAGUCUGGCUAUGCUCCAUCUUCACCACACAAAAUAUUGAAAUCAUGCACAACCCCGAUGACAAGCCAAGCAAUUGUUUCAUACUUUUGACGUUCUCAAACCUUUUCAACUUUCACGCAAUACAUGAGCGCGAGCCAUGGACAUAGCACUAUAGGUGGAAUAGAAUAUGAUGGUGGAGGUUGUGUGGAGAAGACAAAAAAGGAGAAAGCCUCACAUCAACGCGGCUAAUCAACGGGCUAUGGAGAUGCCCAUCAAUUGAUGUCAAUGUGAGGAGUAGGGAUUGCCAUGCAACGGAUGCACUAGAGCUAUAAGUGUAUGAAAGCUCAAACUGAAAACUAAGUGGGUGUGCAUACAACUUGCUUGCUCAUGAAGACCUCAGGCAUUUGAGGAAGCCCAUCAUCGGAAUGUACAAGCCAAGUUCUAUAAUGAAAAUUCCCACUAGUAUAUGAAAGUGAUAACUCAAGAGACUCUCUAUAUGAAGAACAUGGUGCUACUCUGAAGCACAAUUGUGGUAAAAGGAUAGUAACAUUGCCCCUUCUCUCUUUUUCUCUCAUUUUUUUGUUUUUUUGUUUUUUUUCUCUUUUUUUGUUUUGUUUUGGUGGGCUUCUUUGGCCUCUUUUUUCUAUUUGGUCUUGUUUGGCCUCUUUUAUUUAUUUUUAAAGUCCGGAGUCUCAUACCUACUUGUGGGGGAAUCAUAGUCUCCAUCAUCCUUUCCUCACUGGGGCAAUGCUCUAAUAAUGAUGAUCAUCACACUUUUAUUUACUUACAACUCAAUAUUACAACUCGAUGUCUAGAACAAAUAUAUGACUCUAUAUGAAUACCUCAGGUGGCGUACCAGGAUGUGCAAUGAUCUAGCAUAGCAAUGACAUCAAAAACCGGACAAGCCAUGAAAACAUCAUGCUAGCUAUCUUACGAUCAUGCAAAGCAAUAUGACAAUGAAUGCUCAAGUCAUGUAUAUGAUGAUGAUGGAAGUUGCAUGGCAAUAUAUCUCGGAAUGGCUAUGGAAAUGCCAUGAUAAGUAGGUAUGGUGGCUGUUUUGAGGAAGAUAUAAGGAGGCUUAUGUGUGAUAGAGCGUAUCGUAUCACGGGGUUUGGAUGCACCAGCGAAGUUUGCACCAACUCUCGAGGUGAGAAAGGGCAAUGCACGGUACCGAAGAGGCUAGCAAUGAUGGAAGGGUGAGAGUGCGUAUAAUCCAUGGACUCAACAUUAGUCAUAAAGAACUCACAUACUUAUUGCAAAAAUCUAUUAGUCAUUGAAACAAAGUACUACGCGCAUGCUCCUAGGGGGAUAGAUUGGUAGGAAAAGACCAUUGCUCGUCCCCGACCGCCACUCAUAAGGAAGAAAAUCAAUAAAUAAAUCAUGCUCCGACUUCAUCACAUAGCGGUUCACCAUACGUGCAUGCUAGGGGAAUCACAAACUUCAACACAGGUAUUUCUACAAUCCCCAACUACCCACUAGCAUGACUCUAAUAUCACCAUCUUUAUAUCGCAAAACUAUUGCAAGGAAUGAAACAUAUCAUAUUCAGUGAUCUACAAGUUCUAUGUAGGAUUUUAUGACUAACCAUGUGAAUGACCAAUUCCUGUCAUCUCUCUAAAUAGAUAUAAGUGAAGUAAGAGAGUUUAAUUCUUUCUACAAAAGAUAUGCCCACACUCUAACAAGUAUAAGUGAAGCAAAAGAGCAUUCUACAAAUGGCGGUUUUCUAUGUGAAGAGAAACAGGCAAUCCAAACUUCAAAUGAUAUAAGUGAAGCACAUGAAGCAUUCUAUAAAGCCAUACUCAAAAGGUAUAAGUGAAGUGCAAUGAGCAUUCUAUAAAUCAACCAAGGACUAUCUCAUACCAGCAUGGUGCAUAAAAGAAAAAUGAAAACUAAAUGCAAAAGACGCUCCAAGAUUUGCACAUAUCGCAUGAACGAAACGAAUCCGAAAACAUACCGAUACUUGUUGAAGAAAGAUGGGAUGCCUACCGGGGCAUCCCCAAGAUUAGACGCUUGAGUCUCCUUGAAUAUUUACUUGGGGUGCCUUGGGCAUCCCCAAGCUUGAUCUCUUGCCUCUCCUCCUUAUCCUCAUAUCGAAACAUCCUCGAUCUUCGAACACUUCAUCCACACAAAACUUCAACAGAAAACUCGGUAAGAUCCGUUAGUAUAGUAAAGCAAAUCACUACUCUAAGUACUGUUGCAAACCAAUUCAUAUUUUGUUUUUUCAUUGUAUCUACUGUAAUAUAACUUUUCCAUGGCUUAAUCCACUGAUAUAAAUCGAUAGUUUCAUCAAAACAAGCAAACUAUGCAUAAAAAACAGAAUCUGUUUUAAACAGGACAGUCUGUAAUAAUCUGAACAUUCACCAUACUUCUGAUACUCCAAAAAUUCGGCCAAAAUUAGGAAAAAUAAAAAAUUUGUAUAGAAAGACAGUGCAAAAAGUUUCAGAACCAUUUGACAUUCCAGUAAAAAAAAUGUAAAAUCGCUCACUACAGCCAAAGUUUCUGUCCUGCACCGUACAAACCAACAAGCAUUGUAAACAUCCUAAAGGCAAACCUUGGCACAUUAUUUUUAUAAUACAAUGGAAUUGUACAAGGGGAUAAUUAUUUUUGUUGAAAAGUUUCUGUAAUCAAGAUUCACAAAGUUUCCGUGAGCAUGAACAAAGUUCAAGGAGCUCCCCCACUUCAACAAUGCUUGUCUCUCUCACUUUCACUUUCCUUUUUGAAAAAGUUUUGGGUUCCCCUCUUUAUUUUUUUGUUUUUAAACUAUAUAAAAGCACUCAACAGAAAUAAAUGACUCUCUAAAACUUCCGGGUUGUCUCCCUAGCAGCGCUUUCUUUAAAGCCAUUAAGCUAGGCAUCUAGUGCUCAAGUAAUGGAUCCACCCGGAUCCCAAGGUAUAUCAAAGCCAAUUUUAAUUAAUAAUGAUUUGUAAUUUAGUAGUGAGCACAAAGUAACGUAUAUCAUGUAAUGACGAAGUCUAACUCUCUUCCUAUGCAUCGGCAUGUCAUAGAAGAACAAUUCAUGCACACAUAGUAAAGGCCAAUGCAUAGUAUAAACAGUUUCUUGCAAUUUUAUCGUGUUGGAAACAUGGAGAGGCGGAGAUGUAGUUCCUCUCUCAUAAUAAUUGCAAGUAGGAGCAGCAAGCAGCAAGCACAUGCAUAUUAUAUCUAUCAAAAUCAUCAUGUGCAACGGUAGAAGGCAACCCAUCAAUAUAAUCCUUAAUAAGAGCAAACUUCUCCGAUAUAGUGUAGUUUGGAGAAUUCAAAAAGAUAAUAGGACUAUCAUGCGUGGGUGCAAUAGCAACAAUUUCAUGUUUAACAUAAGGAACUACAGCAAGUUCAUCUCCAUAAGAAUAAUUCAUAUUGGCAUCUUGGCCACAAGCAUAGCAAGCAUUAUCAAAAAGGGAUAUUUCAAGAGAAUCAACGGGAUCAUAAUAGUUAUCAUAGCAAUCAUCCUUCGGUAAGCACAAAGGGAAAUUAAACAAUGUAUGAGUUGAAGAGUUACUCUCAUUAGAAGGUGGGCACGGGUAGCUAAUCUGCUCUUCCUCCUUUUGUUCUUCGCUCUCCUCCUCAUCUUUUUCAUCCAAUGAGCUCACAGUUUCAUCAAUUUCUGCUUCCAUAGAUUCCUGCAAAAUAUUAGUCUCUUCUUGGACAGCGGAGACUUUCUCAAUAAAUGCAUCAAUAUCGGAAUUGAAUUCAUAAUUGGCAUAACAAUAUUUAAGGAUAGCUAAAUUUUUAGGUCUAUAAACAGCAUCAUAAAGAUUUUCAAACUCUUUGAACAUAGAUUCAAUUUCAUAAGCACCCAUAAAAGCAACAAAUUCUUCUAUUUGUUCCACAUCAUAGUAAUCAUAUAUACCUCUAGCAUAAGAAGCUAAGGUUUUAUUAUCAUUAAAUUUGCAUGAAAAGGGAAGGUGUGGAGCCUUCAUCCUAGAGCAACAAGUAUAAUCAUAUCUCAAGCAUAGUUGCCUAGCAUACCACUUCAACAUAUGAGUUUGAUCCCAUAAUAGUUUCCCUUUUUGAGUCAAGCGAUAAUCCCUAAAGUAUUCACGUUGAUCCAACAUGUCUCCCAUUACAUAAUUGAAUGGGGUUUUCUCGGGAUUAUCAGAGUAGUACAUAAUAUCUUUCACAUAAUGAGCAUCGAGGGUUUUAAGAGGUUCCCCAUCUCCAUGAGUAGCAAGUAAACCUAUUUUUUGGUAUUUCGUGUUCCAUAUCCAUAACUAAAGAUAAAGAACAACUAAGAACAGCAAAUAAAAAUUACUUAGUGAUAAAGCAAACAAGCACACACGAGAAUAUUCACCCCACGCUAUGACUCCCCGGCAACGGCGCCAGAAAAAGGUCUUGAUAACCCACAAGUAUAGGGGAUCAAUUGUAGCCUCUUUCGAUAAGUAAGAGUGUCGAACCCAACGAGGAGCUAAAGGUAGAAAAAAUAUUCCCUCAAGUUCUACCGACCACCGAUACAACUCUACGCACGCUUAACAUUCGCUUUACCUAAAACAAGUACGAAACUAGAAGUACUUUGUAGGUGUUUUUGGAUAGGUUUGCAAGAAUAUAAAGAGAGCGUAAAUAAAAGCUAGGGGCUGUUUUAAGUAAAGAAGCAGUACAUGUAGUAUAGCGAGUGUGGAAAAGUGGUGGUAGGAGUUGCGAAAUUGUCCCUAAGCAAUUGACUACUUUACUAGACCGAUAGCAAGUUUUAUGUGGGAGAGGCCAUUGCUAGCAUGUCAUCCCUGACUUGGAAUUCUAUGCACGUAUGAUUGGAACUAUUAGCAAGCAUCCGCAACUACUAACGUUCAUUAAGGUAAAACACAACCAUAGCAUUAAGAUAUAUUGGUCCCCCUUCAAUCCCGUAUGCAUCAAUUUCUAUGCUAGGUUGAAGCUUCUGUCACUCUUGCCAUCCAAUACAUAGUCCUAUCAACAUACAACUAACCCUAUGGUGUGAUCCACGCGCGCGCUCAUAUGAUGGGCACCAAAGGACAGCAACAUAACCACAAGCAAAUUAAACCAAUCAUAGCAAUUCAUCAAUCACCAAAAGGACAACGAAAAUCUACUCAGACAUCAUAGGAUGGCAACACAUCAUUGGAUAAUAAUAUGAAGCAUAAAGCACCAUGUUCAAGUAGAGGGUACAGCGGGUUGCGGGAGAGUGGACCGUUGUAGAUAGAGGGGGGAAGGUGAUGGACAUUUUGGUGAAGAUGGCGGAGGUGUUGGUGAAGAUGGCGAUGAUGAUGAUGGCCGCGUCGGUGUUCCGGCGCCACCGGAAGAGAGGGGGAGAGAGCCCCCCUUCUUCUUCUUCUUCUUCCUUGACCUUCUGCCUAGUUGGGAGGAGGGUUUCCCCUCUGGUCCUUGGUCUCCAUGGCGUGGGAGGCGCGAGAGCCCCUCCGAGAUUGGAUCUGUCUCUCUAUCUCUCUCUGUUUUUGCGUUCCCAGAUCUGGCCUUUCACCGUUUCUUUUAUAACUGGAGAUCCGUAACUCCGAUUGGGCUGAAUUUUGGACACAAUCUCUAUCCGGAAAUUAGCUUUCUUGCGGCGAAAGAAGGGCUCCAACCGCCUUACGGGGUGGCCACGAGGGUCCAGGGCGCGCCUGACCCUCUGGGGCGCGCCCCCUGCCUUGUGGCCCCCUCGGCAUCGUAUCGCGUUGAUUCUUCUUCCCAAAAAAUCACAUAUAUACCAAAAAAAAUCUCCUUCAGUUUUUAUUCUGUUUGGACUCCGUUUGAUAUGGAUUUUCUGCGAAACAAAAAACAUGCAACAAACAGGAACUGGCACUGGGCACUGGAUCAAUAUGGUAGUCCCAAAAAUAGUAUAAAAAGUUGCCAAAAGUACAUGAAAGUUGUAUAAUAUUGGCAUGGAACAAUCAAAAAUUAUAGAUACGACGGAGACGUAUCAGCAGCCGGUGCACCUGAAGAUGGUCAGGAGUUUCAAGUUCAUCAUUCUUCGUCCUUUUUUCUUCUCCGGUGGAUUCAAGUCAAGUUUUCGGUAUUGAUCAUAUUCCCUUCCUUGUUUCAAAUGUUUUCUCAUGCCGGUGCACCUCUUAAUCAUCCACCUCUUGCUAUUCAUGUUUAUCUGGAGUGCUAAAGAUAUCCCAGAAGAUUCAAGUUUCUAUUCAUAAUCCUUUCAAGCUAUUUCUAGGUCUUACCUUAUUCAAGCCAUUUAAUUCAACCGGCGCAAUCUCUCUUAUAAAUCGUUCAACGGUGUCUCUUUUCAGUGGGCCCUAACCCACAGGUCUUUUCCAGGAUCUUACCUGACUCUUCUAAUUCUUCCCGGAGCUAUUCCCAAAUUCAUUUCAAAGUUUGACGUAAGAAUGAGUUAUCAUCAGUCAAAUGUCUUUCUCCAAGAUCUUUCAAUUCUUUUCAUCGUUCGUUCAAUCUUUCUAAUUUUCAUUCCGGAGUGCCUCAACAAUUCAUAGUGGUGUCUCUUGUCGUGAUUCUCUGCAUUUGAAAACUGAAGAAGAUUUUCUCUUAAAUCUUGCUCCGUUCUCUUAAAGAUGCAUAGUUCAAGCUUGAUGCCAUCCUCUCAUAAUUGUUUUUCGAUUGUGAGAAUUCUUUUCACCCAUCCGGUGCAAUUCAGGAGUAUUUUCAGUUUGAUUCUCCGGGACCCAUCAUCUCAGAAUUAUUCAUUCCAGCUUUCAGCUCUUGUUCCCCAAAUCUUACCGGUGCAUCAUUCAAAUAUCCUCUAAUCAGUUCACGAUCUCUUCGUUCUCAUGUAUCUAAAUCCCCUCAAGUAUCUUCUUUCGUUUUCUAAUUCUUUCCAGUGAAUUGUGCCCUUGCUACUUUCAUUUUCAAUUCUUACGGUGGUUCGUUCAAGAUUUCUCUUCCUUCAUUAUCAUAUCAAUUUAUUCGUUGUUUCAAUCCUACCGGUGGUUCGUUGAUGUAACAUCCCAAAUUUCCAAUUUGGAAUGUUAUACAUAGAUCAUCAUUGCAUAUCAUGUUUUAUUGCAUUUUGACAAAUCCUCGAUAAAUCCUAAGCAACUCAAGGACCCUCGGAGAGAGUUGGGGAUUUUCUUAAAUUUUCAUAUUUGAUUUUCAUCAAAUAAUAAGACGAGGAUUUUGGGUUUUAAUUAUUUUCUCUCCGGAAAAAUAUUUCAUUUUUUAAAAAUAAACGAGAGGAGAAAAUAUGACUUCUCAAAAACAAGUGAAAUACUGGAGAAAAAGUGUUAAAAUCAUUUAUUGGAUUUAUUUGGAUUUUAUUUGCAUUAAAAAUAUUGCAUGUUUUCAAAAUAUUUAUUUUGUGUUAAAAAAUGUUCACCCUAUUCUAGAUUUUCUAACUAGACGGGGAAAAUUUAUUUUUUAUUUUUCUGGUUUUUAUUUAUUUUUCUACGAUUUAUUUACCGCGGAACUUAUUUAAAAAAAAACGCGCGACGCCCGCUGGGCCGCAGCCCAGCCGAGCGCCGGCCCGCCCGCGCCUCUCUCCUUCUCCCGCACGGCGCCCGCCGCCGGAGUCCGCCAUGGCCACGGAGCUCGCCUCCCGCUCGGCCACCCCCUCCCCCAAGCCACCCUGGACCCCCCCUCUUUAAAUACCCCCCUCUCUCUUUCCUCUCAAGCCGCCGCCGCCGCACUCAUCGCCGCCGCCGCCCGCACUUGCCGCCGCCGCCNNNNNNNNNNNNNNNNNNNNNNNNNNNNNNNNNNNNNNNNNNNNNNNNNNNNNNNNNNNNNNNNNNNNNNNNNNNNNNNNNNNNNNNNNNNNNNNNNNNNNNNNNNNNNNNNNNNNNNNNNNNNNNNNNNNNNNNNNNNNNNNNNNNNNNNNNNNNNNNNNNNNNNNNNNNNNNNNNNNNNNNNNNNNNNNNNNNNNNNNNNNNNNNNNNNNNNNNNNNNNNNNNNNNNNNNNNNNNNNNNNNNNNNNNNNNNNNNNNNNNNNNNNNNNNNNNNNNNNNNNNNNNNNNNNNNNNNNNNNNNNNNNNNNNNNNNNNNNNNNNNNNNNNNNNNNNNNNNNNNNNNNNNNNNNNNNNNNNNNNNNNNNNNNNNNNNNNNNNNNNNNNNNNNNNNNNNNNNNNNNNNNNNNNNNNNNNNNNNNNNNNNNNNNNNNNNNNNNNNNNNNNNNNNNNNNNNNNNNNNNNNNNNNNNNNNNNNNNNNNNNNNNNNNNNNNNNNNNCCUCGCGCCCCCCCCGAGCCCUCGCCGCCCCUCGCACCCCGCCGCCCGAGCCCGGAGCCCCGCCGGAGCCCUCGCCGGAGCCGCCCGACGAGGUACUGCCGCUGCCCGUUCGUCGUUGCCGGUUUUUGUUAAAAAAAACCCUUCGUUUUAAAAAAAAACCCUAGAUCGGUUUUUUUCGGUUUUAUUAUUUUGCGAGCGUUCACCGAAUCGUUUGUUUUAACGGACGCGUUCGUCGGUUUUUCUCUGUUAACGAACGUCCGUUCUUUAACCGUUCGUCCGUUUUUCUUUUUCGUCGGAUUUUUCCGCGAUUUUCUCAGAUUCGAUUUCUGAUCGAAUUUUCGAUUCUGUUUAACUUCUCGCUCGUUUAUCGGAAUUAGGCGAUUCAAGCUCCUAGAGUUUCGUCUCGAAAUUCUCUUUCCGUUUAACCUACUCAAACAAGGUUUUUUCUAUAGUAAAAUUUGACCUAGAUCCAGAUUAGUAAACGAAGUUUCUUUCUUUCGCCGUUUGACUUUCGUUGCUUCUUUCGAGUUGAUUCUUUUUGCAAACCGGAGUUCUUAAGCUGAACUUUCUGGUUGGAUCUUUCUUUCGAGUUUUACCUGUGCAUUAGAUGAGUACUGAUUGUAUGCUUGUUUGUUUGCGAUAGAGUACCCGGAGUGUGCCGCUUGUUACUUCGAAUCGCUAGGUUUUGCGGAUCAUCAGCAAGGCAAGUAACACUUUGAUCAUAUACCUUCCAUACCCAGUUUUUAUUGCAUUAGAUCUGUUUUCCUCAAACACUUGCAUGAUUAGGACCUAAUUAAAUUGUGGGAAUUGGGAAGUAGAUGUGGUAGUACCUAUUACCUGUUUUCUAUUCAAACCCUUGGGAGUUACUUCUACGUUGCUAUUAUAUUGCCAUGCUAUGCUCGUAGACGUGGAUUGGGUUUGAGUGAAAUUCAUGACAGAUGUGAGAUUGUUAAUUAAUGGUUUACUUAAGGUGGCAACUAAAACUCACAUAUGGGUGGAUUGAGGUACCUGGGUAUUCCAGGAUUGCCUGUUUUUUUUCUUUUGGACCGCCACCCAGGUUCAAAGGGAUCAUAAGAUUAUUCAUGCUAGAAACUUCCGUGUGCAGCCGCAAGCUAUUAUGGGCUCUAGCAUAGUUGACUAAGUUUUGUGAACUCUUACAGUGGUAGACUAGCAGAUGUAGGGGAAAGUAGGUGUAACUGUCUACCCAUACGUAAGGUGCAAACACUUCUGAAAGACUGUGUCUCGGUCAUCCGUUUCUCAAACAUCAUGUAGUGCGAGAAUCAAGCGGAGGCGAUCGAGUCUUGUGGGGAAAAGUGCACAAAGCUCUGCAGAGUGUAUAAACUAAUCAUGGUUAGCCGUGUCCCCGGUUAUGGACAACUUGAGUAUCUAGUACUUGGAUUAUCAUGUGAAUCUCAUCACUAUGUUACUACUAAUUAAUUUUGUUGGGUUAUUGAUGACAUUUAAUUGGGAUUGAGAUGCUGUCAACCAUCUCAAUGUUUCACAACCACCAUGAUAGUUAAAUAAAAUUUAUUCCUUUGAGGUAGGAUAAAAUUGGCUUUUCGCAAAAUUGUAACCAUAGAGCUUUCCACCAGCCAUAUAUGCAUGUAGUAUAGCAUUGUUGUUGUUCAUUAUUCUCUAUGUGUUACAUUGCCAGCAUAUUCUAUGUGCUGACCCGUUUUCGGGCUGCAACGUUUCAUGUUGCAGAUUUUUCAGACGACGAGUAAGGUGCCUUAGGUCAUGGUCUUAUACUCAGUGAUGCCGCUGGAGUUGAUGGACUCACUUAUCUUCCAAGUCUUCCGCUGUUAUCGUUAUUAGAUGGCCUUAAGCCAUGUUUAUCAUACUUAAUCUCUUCGGAGAUAUUCGAUGUAAUAAGUGUGUGAUUGUUACUCUGUUAUAAAUCCUCCAUUUGUACUGUGCGUGUCAGCAUUACUGAUCCAGGGAUGACACUGGUGCACAGCAGCACAUGCCAUUUGAGGUCUGGUCGCUACAGUUGAAGACCUUCCCAAGUUGAGCUAUAUCUCUCUUAAUCCUUUCUAUGAGAAUAAGUAGUAUGCCAAAUCCGUUGCUUGUCAUCAAUGUAAAUUGGUGAAGGGUACACAUAAUGUAAUUCUUAUUAUUGUUUCAUCCAAGUGAUCUAGUUUCUUCUUUCCAGAGUUGUUCAUCAUGUCACAUUUCUUGGUUUGAGAUGCUUCAUAUUUUCUUUUCCGGAGUUCCAAGUUUUCCGCUUUAUCUCGUCGCGAAGCUCCAUCUAAAUCACCGCAAGGCUUCACCUUGUGCUCUCAACUUCUCUUUCUUUUUAUCAUCCUUUCAUUACCGGAGUUCUUCAUGGAGGCUCUACAUGGUGGUUCGUCAAGGAUUCUUUUCAUUCUUCAAUUGGUCUUCAAGUUUUCGCUUGAAGUUAAGAUCCGCCAAGCUAUACUCUCAAUAAACAUGGUGCUCAACACAUGUCUUGUUUUGAGGAGUUCAAGCAUUCUUCAUCUUGCAUUCCGAAAUGCAAUUAGUUCCACCUUAUCUUUUGAGGUGGUGUUAUGUCACUCUUGACAAUUUCCCUUCGUGUGUCAUGAUUCAACAGUUGUCAGGAGUGAGAUAGUUAAACCCAUCAAUUUCUUCGAGCAUGAGCCCUUCUCAAUCCAUUGAUUUUUUCAUUGGAGUUAUCUUGGUAUAGAUUCAGCUAAAGCCUUCCAUUAGGAAUGUCGCUACUUGUGGUGCUUAUCAAUGAUCCAAUCUUCUCCUUCUCAUCUCGGUGAAUAUGUUUUCAUCUCCUUGUUGAUCUCAAUCCAAUCAACUGUUUUCGUUAGUGGUCGGUUGUCACCUCAUAAUUUUGAUAUGUUAUCCAUAAGCCCACAACAAGCUUAUCCUUUCAUUAUUGAUAAUCCAACAACUCCGUUCUAGCAUUUCCUGUAAGCGUGCUCUUUCAAGAUCUUGUUUCCCUCCAUUCAUUCCAUUCCAUUCUUUCAUUUCUUCCGGAGACAUUGUGAUGUUACUCUCUUCGACCCAUCAUCUUGUUUUGUCACGAUCAUGUUCUUUUAUUGCUUAUCCAUUUAACCGGUGUUUUGUGUUUUCUUUUCAAGUUCUUUUCAUCUAAUCAAGUCUUGCCUCUCUUAUCAAUCGGAGUGCUGUCCAAGUUCUGGCAUUCGUAUUCUUUGGCUAUCUCAUGAUAUCGGUGUGGCUACAUAUUCUUUUGUUUCGUUGAGCUCUUGUUUCAUGUCUUUCAACCUACAAGGUUCUCAUGGUGUUCCUUGUUUGCGUUUACUACGGAGUGCUCUCAAUUCGCUCAUCUCCGUUGUGUCAUUUCUUUCGAGCUGUUCAACUUCCAAGGUUCUUUGGUUUCACUCGUUUGUCAAGAAGGAACUUUGUUUUACCUCUUCCUCUUCCAUUUCUCUCCGGCGCCAUCCUAGAUCUCGGGACGAGAUCCUCCUGUAGUGGUGGAGUGUUGUAACGCCCCAAGACCGAUGCUCCAGAUGCCUUCCUUGUUUUGCGAGACAGCUGUGUUAUUUAUUUCUUUGUUGCAUCUCAUCUCAUGUCAUCAUUUGCAUUGCAUCGGCACUCCGGUGCCGUCAUGUUUUAAAACUUGCAUUCGUUCGUCGUUGCUGUUUCUUCCUUUGCCUUCAUCACCUUCCCUCGGACCGCUUUGCCUUCGUUGACCGUUCCAGAUCAAUCGAAUUUUCGCUUCCCUCUUGACCUUGACCGCCUAACCCCUCUUUGCGCAGUGCAUAGACCCCUCUCGCGCGUCCAACAGCUGUCCCGAACCCGACCCGCUCAGUCGUCACUGUUGGAUCCAAAUCAUCUUCCCUUUCCUAUAUAUAUAUAUAGACCCUAGUCCAUUUUAGACCAAACCCUAAAUCCUAGGACAUUUGUCCCCCCCAGCCGCCGCCACUGUCUUCCUCGGGAUCUCAUCCCGAUCCAAUCCACCAACCACGCCGCGCCCCUGAUCCAAAAUUCCUCUCGGUCUCCCCACCUCGAGCUCCUCCCAGAUCACCACGCCGCCUUCAUGAGCCUUCCCCUCGAUCCACCCAUCCACCUCGAGCACUCGUAGGUGCCUCCGUUCGCUCGCCACCGGGGCCCCGAGCCGCCACUGCGUCGUCCUUCGUCCUUGAAGCCGUCUUCACCUAUGACCACAGGAGCUUCCCGCGCCAUGGCUGCAGCCCGAGUCCUCCUGCCUCGCUCGAUCUGGACCAGGAGGGUCCCGAGCAUCUCCACCGUCGCCGUCUCAGUUGAGCGCCGCCCUGGUUCCCUUUCUCUCCUUCCUCCGGUCCCCUCAUCUCAUCCCUCUCUCUUUUGUGUUGCGACGCCGCUGUUUCUGCAGAGCCACUGCCGCCAUGGAGCUCCAACUCCGGCCACCUCGUCUCGGUGGUGAUCUGACGCCUCGGGUUCCGUCCGACCGCCGGCGUUCCAUCCUCGCCUCUGCUUCAAACACACACGCGCGCCUGCCUCCCUCGUCUCGCAAGCCUCGUCGCGGGUCAACCGCGUCCGCCGCCAUGGGCUUCCUCAUGGAGCACCACCACAGCAUCUCCUCGGAUCUGUCGGGUCCCGACCAUCCCCGUUGUUGCUAGACUUCUCAGCUCGCCGGAGCCCCAAGACCCUGCGCCAAGUCCCUCUGCUGCUCCCCUGCUUCGCGUCUGCUGCCUCCUGCAUCGGGCGAGGGGACGAACUCCUCCUCGGCCAGCCGCAUCGUCCGCCUGCGUUGACCGCGUCUGCGCCACGUCAGCCGGUGGGCCCACCUUCCUGCCUCCUCUCCAGCGUCGCGCCCAAGUCCCACGUCGCCGGCAGCCGUUCCCGUCGUCCGUCACCGUGAACUUGCUGCUGUUGUCUCUGUUCUUCAGUAACGAGAAAGAGCAGCUCGCUCGCCUCGCUCGCGUUGACUGACCCUGCCUCGCUGACCCGCUCGCUCGCCAGCCACAGCAACCGCGUCCUGGGCCUCAAGCCAGGAGCAGCCUAGGGACCGGCCUCCUCCAGCCCUUUGCAUCGAACGGGCUUUGGCCAUGGUGAGAACCCCGGCCCAGCACCCAGCAGUUUCAGCCUAGUGUUUUUUUUCCGUCUGUGAAUUUGUCUAAUUUUCCAGAGAUGACAGAUUUGCAGAAUAACCCUCAUGUUCAUGCAUUUAAUAUCUCACAAACCAUGCAUCGGAUUAAAACAACUUAUAUAUGCAAAAUGCAUAGUUUUUCAUCUAGUUUCAUAAUCUGCUACUUUCAUCUAUGUUAAAAAUGUUUAACAUGCUGUUUGUGUUUAUUUUGCAUAAUGCCAUGCUAAAAUGAUUUAUUUCAUAACUAAAUAACCGUAGCUCCAAAUUUAAUAAACUUUACAUGCAAAUGGGGUAAAAAAUGCAUAGUUUAAUAUGGUGCCAUUACUUUGCAUGUUUAACAACUCUAAAAUAUGGUUUAGGGCAGAACAGUACCAAAUUAAUAAUAUGGACAUGAGGAUUUUCCGGAAUUGUUGUUUGUUGUUACGGCCUCAUUUAAACUUGCCUAGGUAAGUAGUUUUCAUAUGCUUCACCCCUUGCCAUGUUUAAUAACAUUUAAUAUUGUUGGGUACAUAAAUGAGAGAGAACUAAAUAAUUGAUGUGGUGUUUUAUCAAUAUGCAACUCGUUGCAUAUUGAGCUCCACUUAAUUUGUAGUAUUGUUUGUGCACUUUGCCAUGUCAUGCCUCAUUAAACUGGACAUGCAUCAUGCUUGAUUGUGCAUCAUGCCAUGUUUAUGUGAUGGUUGUUUACCAUGAUGUUUCCUUCUUUCCGGUUUGCUUCUCUCGUUAGCUUCGGUUUCGUUCUGGAGUUGUGAGGAUUUGUUCGACUACGUCCGUUUGUCUUCUUCAUGGACUCGUUCUUCUUCCUUGCGGGAUCUCAGGAAAGAUGACCAUUACCCUCGAUAUCACUUCUAUCUUUGCUUGCUAGUUGUUCGCUCUAUCGCUAUGUCACGCUACCUACCACUUGUUCAUCAUGCCUCCCCUAUUGCCAUGUCAAGCCUCUAACCCACCUUCCUAGCAAACCGUUGUUUGGCUAUGUUACAGUUUUUGCUCAGCCCCUCUUAUAUCGUUGUUAGUUGCAGGUGAAGUUGAAGAUUGCUCCAUGUUGGAACAUGUUUAUGUUGGGAUAUCACAAUAUCUCUUAUUUUAAUUAAUGCAUCUAUAUACUUGGUAAAGGGUGGAAGGCUCGGCCUUAUGCUUGGUGUUUUGUUCCACUCUUGCCGCCCUAGUGUCCGUCAUACCAGUGUCAUGUUCCUUGAUUUUGCGUUCGUUACGCGGCUGAGGUUAUGGGCCCCCCUUGACAGUUCGCUUUGAAUAAAACUCCUCCAGCAAGGCCCAACCUUGGUUUUAACAUUUGCCACCUAAGCCUUUUUCCCUUGGGUUCUGCAAACUCAAGGGUCAUCUUUAUUUUAACCCCCCGGGCCAGUGCUCCUCUGAGUGUUGGUCCAAACUAGAGCCCUUUGCAGCGCCACCUCGGGGAAACUUGAGGUCUGGUUUUAGUUGUACGGAUUGCUCAUCCGGUGUGCCCUGAGAACGAGAUAUGUGCAGCUCCUAUCGGGAUUUGUCGGCACAUUCGGGUGGUCUUGCUGGACUUGUUUUACCAUUGUCGAAAUGUCUUGUAACCGGGAUUCCGAGUCUGAUCGGGUCUUCCCGGGAGAAGGAAUGUCCUUCGUUGAUCGUGAGAGCUUGUGAUGGGCUAAGUUGGGACACCCCUGCAGGGUAUAAACUUUCGAAAGCCGUGCCCGCGGUUAUGUGGCAGAUGUGAAUUUGUUAAUGUCCGGUUGUAGAGAACUUGACACUUGACUUAAUUAAAAUGCAUCAACCGCGUGUGUAGCCGUGAUGGCCUAUUUUCGGCGGAGUCCGGGAAGUGAACACGGUUUUGGGUUAUGUUUGGACGUAAGUAGUUUCAGGAUCACUUCUUGAUCACUUCUAGCUUCUCGACUGUUGCGUUGCUUCUCUUCUCGCUCUUAUUUGCGUAUGUUAGCCACCAUAUUUGCUUAGUGCUUGCUGCAGCUCCACCUCAUUACCCUUUCCUACCCAUAAGCUUAAAUAGUCUUGAUCUCGUGGGUGUGAGAUUGUUGAGUCCUCGUGACUCACCAGAUACUAUCACAACAGUUGCGGGUGCCGAUGAAACCAGUGCAGGUGACGCAACCGAGCUCAAGUGGGAGUUUGAUGAGGACCUUGGUCGUUACUACGUUUCGUUUCCUGAUGGUCAGUAGUGGUGCCCAGUUGGGACGAUUGGGGAUCUAGUAUUUGGGGUUGUCUUCCUUUUCAUUUGUAAUCGUCCGUAGUCGGACUAUGUGUGUACUCUGAUUGAUGUAUGAUUAAUUUAAGUAUUGUGUGAAGUGGCGAUUGUAAGCCAACUCUCUUUAUCCCAGUCUUGUUAUUUACAUGGGAUUGUGUGAAGAUGACCCUUCUUGCGAUAAAACCUACAAUGCGGUUAUGCCUCUAAGUCGUGCCUCGACACGUGGGAGAUAUAGCCGCAUCGUGGGUGUUACAAGUUGGUAAUCAGAGCCAUCCCCGACUUAGGAGCCCCCUGCUUGAUCGAAUCGCUGACAUUGUUGAGUCUAGAACAAAAAUGUUUUGAGUCUUAAGAUUAUAUAUAUCGGAGAAUAGGAUUCUUUUUACUCCUCAGUCCCCUCGUCGCUCUGGUGAGGUCUCUUGACGUAGAUGUUUUGACUUUCCUCUCCUCAAAUUUCACUAAAUUUUUUUUAGGAUCACGCGGGUAUCUUGGGAUCGUUCCGAUAUUCUUGUGACGAAAACAUUGUUCUUGGUGCCUCCUGACAUUUAGGGGUUGUGGCAGUGUCCCGGGGAGUUGACCUCCGAGGUGUUGUCGUCACAAUUUUAUUGUUGCAGUUCUGGAAUACCUGAGUUUCGCCGACAUCGAAAAUCUCUAUUAUGCAGUUGUUGGUGAGAUAACCUCGACGCCACCCAGUACUGGGGCGGGAGUUCGGGAGUAUUGCCAUAACUCGUAUAACGGAUGCUUUUCGAAGGUUGAGGUACACGAUUUCCGAAGGUUUCUUGGUUAUGUGUUGACGGAUGGAUACAACUGGAUGUAGGGAUUGUUAGUUUGGGUGAGAUAUUAUGCUUCCCCUGUAUCCCCAACACCAGAUUGCAUAACCAGAAAGUUUCGGGAGUUAAUAGGUGGGAAUUCAAGUAGCUCCUAGAAUAUCUUUUCGAUGGAUGUAUGAUUUGAGAUUGGGGUCCAACGUCUAGUGGUUCGCUUUUCAUGGUCGAUUUACAAUGGUCGCGAGGCGUCUUAAAGAAUCCUUGGCUAUGCCGAUUCGGGGACGUCUUGUUUUUCAUUCGUGAUGUCCGCUGUACGUCAUGCCCGUGGGGCCUCAUCACGACCACUUUGGGCAAAAUCUCUAUCCUUUGUUUUAUUUUGAGUUGUCGUAUUUGUCGUGGAAUUGUCACGGCAGAUGUCCUCGAGCUAGGACUUAGUCGUGGAGCCAUCGCAGCUAGGAAGCUUAAAGGGGUUAAACGGGACAAGGAACACGGAGAUUAUACUGGUUCAGCCCCUUACGGUGAAGGUAAAAUCCUACGUCCAGUUGAGGUGGUAUUGCUUAUGGUUUCGAUGACCAGGGAGCUUAAUUGCUAUGCCCGGCUCUCGACGAGAUCUUACUUGUCCCUGAACCGCCGCCGGGUCGUCCCUUUAUAUAGAGAGGUUGACGCCCAGCGGCUCUCAGAGUCCCGGCCGGCUCAUAAGAGUGUCCGGCUCGGACUCUCAACUAUUCUUGCCUUACACUACAAGUCUUGCCAUACGGCGGUUUAUAACUACGGGCCUUAAGCCAUCUCCGGGUCUUAGGCCCAUCAUCGACCCGCCGUCUUCAAGCUCGGUACUGGGCUUCGCGUGAUGACCAUUAUGAGUAACCCGGCCCCUCCUGGCGGGUGACUCUAAGGAUUAUAUCCUCAACAUUAGGCCCCAGAUUGAUUUGAACCGGUUCAUGUCAAUCUUCAAUCCCCUUGAAAGAAAAUUUUCCGGCUUACAUCUGUGCGAAGGUUUUAACCCGCCGUGACGUCAUCUUCUGGAUUCCUGAUAACCCGCCAUGACGUCACCUUCUGGAUUCCUGAUAACCCGCCAUGACGUCACCUUCCAUUAAGUUCAUUUCUUUAUUCCGUUAAAUCCCAACGGAUCUUAUCUUUAAUGGUCAUCCCGAAAAUCGAGGCGCCUCUGGGGCGAGAUAAUCACGCCGUGACCUCCUCGUUUCUCGCGCCCACUUAUGAGCUUCACCUUAUAAAUAGCCCGGCCCAUGAGCCUCCAGUCACUCGUCGCCUCCAUCUUCUUCCUCCUCUCGCCACUGUGCUACCGCCCAAGCUCCGCCGCCGCCGCCGCGGGUUUCCUCAUCUUCACCAACUCAGGCCGCUGCAUCAACCUGACGUGACCAGAGAAACGCGACGAACCCCCGCCAUAACUCCGCACCUGUAAGUCCCUGCACCUCUCCAUCGUUGAUCCGCAUUAGGGUUCCACUGUUCUUCCUCUGUUCUUCGCUGUUCUUCUCGAAUUCUCUAUAGUUCUUCCACUAUAGUCAUGUUUGAUCCAAGAGUAGUACAGAGCUCCUGCGGUAGUUGUUGCACAUCCAUUUUUCCACUAGUAGAUCCCCUUUGUUUGAAAUAAGAUCCCGCUCUGAACCCAUGAACUUCUUCUGCGUCAGUUCUAGGUCUAGAAAAUUUUCUCUUUAGCCGACCGUUUUGAUCCAAAAUAAUCACUGCGAUCUGUGAAACUUGUUUUCACCAUACUUAGUCAAAAAUUGCAUCUGUUUAGUUACGGCGGCUCACAUUUUCGGCUUAAAAGAAGCCACGCGCCGUAAAAUUUCUGGCUCAAUUAUGAUAAAGCUGUAGACAAUUUUGAAUUACUCACGAUACCUGCAGCGGCUUAAUUAACCCGAUGCACUUUUAACCAUAUGUCAUUAGGCCCCUCUCAUAAGCCGCCAUCUAAGUAUUAAACUGUAGACGUCUGCCGGCUUAUAAUUGAACCGAACAUUUUCCUUUUGUCAUAGGCUUCAUCUUUCACAAUGCCUCCCAAAGCUUCCAAGGCACCCAUCACAUGCAACUGGAUGAGAUCCAAUGUCACCGACGACACUUUAGCUGAUUUCAUAAAAACGGGUUAUUUGCGCAAGAAGGAAAUCAUGUCUUAUCGUGCCCCUGACCCGUCGGAGGAAAGACCUCAACCAAGAGAUGGUGAGGUGGUGAUAUUUGCUGAUCACAUGAGCCGGGGCUUCGCACCGCCCGGCUCAAAAUUCUUUAGGGAUGUUCUGAACUUCUUCGAUCUGCGGCCGCAAGACAUAGGACCCAAUUCCGUGUCAAAUAUAUGCAACUUCCAAGUAUUCUGCGAAGUCUAUCUUGGAGAAGAGCCCAGCCUGCUGCUCUUUAGAGAGCUAUUUUAUCUGAACCGCCAGAAUGAGUGCGCUAACGGGCCGAGCCAGGAACUUGGUGGAAUCUCCAUUCAACGCCGGAGAGACUGCCUCUUUCCUUAUGCUGAGCCGCCAAGCCAUCCAAAGGACUGGAACCAGACGUGGUUUUAUUGCCAGGACACUUCUCCGGCUGACGAGAGCCCUCUGCCCGGCUUUCGUGCCCUGCGUCUGGAGCCAAAUCAUUCUUUGCCAGACAAACUCUCUCAAGCUGAGCGUCAACCUCUGAUCCCCACCAUCAAUAAGAUCAAGGCUCUCCUGGGAAACGGCCUCAGCGGUAUUGAUCUGGUCCGGGUUUGGAUCUCUUGGCGGGUGAUCCCCUUGAGCCGCCGCCCCUGCUUAAUGUGUGCUUACACGGGCCGGAAGGAUGACCCUCUGCGGCACAGCCCCAACGAUCUUCCUGAGGACGUUGUGGACGAUAUGACCAAGUCUCUCCUGAAUGAGAGCUUAGCCGACUGUGGGAGAACCGGCCUGAACCCCUUCUGCCAAGCUAACCCGGCUCCGGCGGUAAGCCACUGACCUGAACACCUUGGUUUUCUUUUUAAUAGUUUCCAUCAGAACCUUAAGAAAUCUUUGCUGUAUGUUUUAGGCUAAUGACAAGUUCUGGAAGGUCAAAUAUGACCAUGAAGCGGCCAAAAAAUCCAGGAAGGCUAAGAAAGCUGCCAGGAGAGCCGCUCCCCGCAAGAAGGGAAGCCGGCCUACUGCCUCAGAGCUGCUUCAGCUAAGUGACAGCUCCGAGUCAGAGGUAAUCCCUGAAUCUGUAGGCUCUUGUUUUAUUUCUGCUUUUCAUCUGUCUUUUAACCACCUUAUUAACUUGAUUAUCCGCAGGAUGACACCGGAGCGAGUAACCCGGUAACUGAAGAGGUAACUAUACUUUCCUCCGACUCGGACCCCUUGCCAAGGCUGAAAGUCCGAAGAGUAACCCGGAAAGUAAGCUUUUCGCAUCCUUUAGCUUAUCAAGAUCCUCAAUUUCUUUUGAAGCAACAGAUUCAUGAGAACCGGAGGCAAACCCGGGCCAGCAAGGAUGCAGACCUCUCCUCCGGCUUACCCGAGGCAUCAAGAAAGCGCCGGACUGAGGUUAUCUCCAACUUAUAUCCUUUUCAUUCUUUGGCGGGCGUUACUCGUCAACCGCUCAAUUCUUCUGAUUCAAAUUAUCAGGAAACUUCACCUUCCUCUGGUGAUUCUAUGCAAUCUAACCUGCCGGCUUUCAAGACCGCACCCGGGUAACAAUGAUCAUCUUGUGUUGUGCUUAUCUCUACUCAUGCUUUUGUACUAACCUUUUGUCCUUUCAGUGCCCAGGCAAAGCUCAACAAGAGGGCGAAAAAGAAUAAACCAUUCGAAGAGCCGGGCUUGACUGAGCCGGAGGUUUCAACUCAAGAGCCGCCAGCUGCCUCUGCUCCUGAAGCCACCACUCCAACCGACGAGCCAGUCAUAGAGACUUCUACCAAUCCGGACAUCUCCAGCCUGGCUCAGCCGACUGAUGACCCGGACGUGGUAAUCACCCGGACGGAGUUUGUCGAGCCGGGGAGACCCACUGCGCUGGCUAAGUGCUCUGCCAAGGAAGAGUUGCUAGAGCGCCACAGGGCCAAGCUGGACAUCACCAACUACGCUAACUUGAGCAUUGGAGAUAUCAUCUCCGGCUAUGUCAAUCAGGUGCACAACAGCCGGGACCUGGAGAUUGACAUGGUGAAGCAGAUACAGCAGAAAUCUGGGGUACCACUCUCUUGCGUACUGCAUAGUCAUCUUUACCAUACUUAGCCCCCAAGUCUACUACUUAUGAUAGAAUAUGUUGUGGACUUAAUUUCCGGCUUACUUUUAUGAACCGGCAAUUUGUAGAUAGAACCUUUCAGCAUACAUUAGCCCCCAAGUGCCAAGUGUCUUUGCUUGGAAAGUGCUUGGGACUUUAAAGUUGUAUAAUAAUUAUUCAUACGAUAACCCGGAAAUUGUACAGGCUGCUUGCAAGAAAUUUGAGGCUGAUAUCUCUGAGCUGAAGAACCGCCUGAAGACUCAGGAAACUGAGACACGGAAGGCCAACGCUAAAUUUGAAACCAGUGUUGCUGCUCAAGAGAAGCUGAAGAAGAAGUUUGAAACCGAAAGGAAGACUUGGGCCGAAGAGAAGGCUGCUCUGGUCAGCCGGGCCGAACAGGCAGAGGCGGCUCUGACGGAGAGAACCGCCGAACUCUCCGGCUUAAAGCGCCAUGUGUCACAGAUGGUCGCCGCAAUCUUCGGUAAGUCAUUCUGCAGACUUUCAACAAGUUUACAUUCUCUAUGUCUCAUAAUUCCCAUCAUUGCUUGCGGCUUACCUGACGUUGUAAAAUAGGUCCUAGAAGCGCCAACCUCAAUCAAAAUGUGCUGACCAAACUGAAGGCCGUGUACACUUUGGGUGGAGCAACUCUACACCGGGUCACAGCGCGCCUUGGCCGUUGUGGCCCUGUCCAAUGAGGUUCCGACUCACCUGGCGGACGUACUUCGCCGGCUUGCCGUUCUUCCUCGGCGUUUCCAAGAGCUGCGACGGGCCUCUGCAAGAGCCGGAGCCAUAGCCGCUCUGAGCCGGGCCAAGGCUUUCCUUCCAGAGCUAGACCCGGCUGACAUCGCACUUGGAUACCCCAGCCUGAAGGAAGACGGCACCCCCUUCGACCAAAAAGACUUUGCUGCCUGUGUGAAGAUCGUGCGCCCGGUGGCCACCCUGAUUGGGAAUGACACCGACCUUACCAAGUACCAGCUGGGCUACGACGCAGAGAAUCAGAGGAUCCCCACUCCGCGUUAUGAAGCCAUCAGCUUGGUCCCGCCGACUCGUAAGCACACCUUUGCCCCAGAAAUUGACCCGGCCGGGUUAAUUGACGAGGAGGCUAAAUUUGAAGCUUUGAGCGGCAUUGACUGGAAAUCGUCAACCUUCCAGGUCAUGGGAACAGCCGGAGGAGCGGAGAGGGAUGAGCCGGAAGCUUCGACCCAGCAAGCAUCUUGACUCUUAGGCGGCCCAUGGUUAUACCUUUAAAACAAUGCCUCAUCUUUUGGACUCGGGGAGUCUUGUAAUAGAGUAGGACAAACAUGUUAAUCUUGUCGUGCCAUCGUGCACAUGUUGAAUGCGUAGCUCCGUUAAAGUUGCUUCCUUAUAUUCCUCCGGAUCAUAAUUGACCAUUUGUUGUUCUCAACCAUCCUGCAUAGAAAAACAAGUCACAAGUCUCUAGGCGGCUUACCGCACUGAGAACCAUAGACCUUAUAUAUAUAACCCGGAAUAUGAAUUAAAAAUCACCGAAGACUGGCCCUUAAUUACAUCUUUGAUGUAACCAUAAUAGCAUACUUACGAGCCGUCGAGUAUGGUUCCGGCUUAUGCAACCCGAAUAAUGAGGUGAAGAUCUCAACUCCGAUUCACCAGCGUCAAGAAUACUUAACAUAUGUUAUCAACAUCGUGAAUCAAAAUUAAGUCGGCAAAGGAAAAGCCGCCCUUGCACACUGUUGAUGUGACCAACAGAACUUGUUGUAAGUCAGAAGAUCAAAAACUUUAGGGGCUUCCGGUUCGAAUACGACCAGAGAACCGUCCCAAAGGGGUUAAGCUAAGAUUCGAAUGCGAUCAUAUAGCCCCCAGUGGCUUUGGCGAUGCCAAUCAAGAGGGUACCGACAGCUAUGUCCUCUUUGGUUCGAAUACGACCCAUUUUUGAACAGGAAGCCCCCAAAUGACCUUAAGAGUUGUUUAACGACGCUGAUUCGAAUACGAUCCACGUCGGUUCCCAAAAGGGGGUUGAGCUAUGAUUCAAAUAUGAUCAAAGAAAACUCCCCAAUGAGCUCGGCACUUUGCCAAUCAAGUGGGUAUCGACAGCUAUGUUCUCUUUGGUUCGAAUAUGACCUAUGUUUGAACAGGAAGCCCCCAGGUGAUCAUAUUGCGUACGGCUAGAUUCGAAUACGAUCAUAAGCCAGAUCCACCUCCAAGUGACCAUGUGAUAGUGUAAUGGAAAUAACACUUUUACCUUUGGAGGAGAAAAGGACAGAGGUCCUGCUUUAUUAUUUAACAUAAUAUAUACAUGGCUAUAUAAAUAUGUACAUUACGAGAGCCGGUGGCUCAAGUGUAAUAAGGCCGAAGCUGAGCUAUGUUCCACGGCCGACGGGUCUCUUCCUCCGACUUACGUGAAUCUUUAUGCUCCCGAACGUCAAUAAGGUAGUAUGACCCGUUGUGCAAGUUCUUGCUGACCACAAAGGGCCCUUCCCAAGGCGGGGAUAGCUUGUGUGCAUCUGUUUGAUCUUGGAUGAGCCGGAGCACCAGGUCACCUUCCUGGAAGACCCGGGACUUAACCCGACGACUGUGAUAACGGCGCAGGUCUUGUUGGUAAAUCGCUGAACGAGCUGCUGCCACGUCACGCUGUUCGUCCAACAAGUCAAGAGCAUCUCGGCGCGCCUGUUCAUUAUCCGCCUCAACAUAAGCCGCCACUCGAGGCGAGUCAUGACGGAUGUCACUGGGGAGGACUGCUUUCGCUCCAUAAACCAUGAAGAAGGGAGUGUAACCCGUAGACCUGUUAGGAGUAGUAUUGAUGCUCCAUAACACGGAGGGUAGCUCCUCCACCCAACAACCCGACGUCCGUUGCAAAGGGACUAAAAGCCGGGGCUUAAUGCCCUUCAAGAUCUCCUGAUUAGCUCUCUCAGCUUGACCAUUGGAUUGAGGAUGAGCCACUGAUGAAACAUCAAGUCGAAUAUGCUCUCGUUGACAAAAUUCCUCCAUGGCGCCUUUAGACAGAUUGGUACCAUUGUCAGUUAUAAUGCUGUGUGGAAAGCCAAAGCGAAAUAUCACCCUUUUCAUGAACUGAACUGCCGUGGCUGCGUCACACUUGCUAAUUGGCUCUGCUUCAACCCACUUUGUGAAUUUGUCAACUGCCACCAAGAGGUGGGUCUUCUUAUCCUUGGACCUUUUAAAAGGCCCAACCAUAUCAAGCCCCCAGACCGCAAAUGGCCAAGUAAUUGGAAUCAUCCUCAGCUCCUGAGCCGGCACAUGAGCCCGUCGCGGGAACUUCUGGCAACCAUCACAUUUACUGACCAAGUCCUCCGCAUCAGCGUGAGCCGUCAGCCAAUAAAAACCAUGACGAAAAGCCUUGGCCACAAGGGAUUUUGAGCCGGCAUGAUGGCCACAAUCCCCUUCAUGAAUCUCACGCAAGAUUUCUUGACCCUCCUCAGGGGAUACACAACGCUGGAACGCUCCCGUAACACUGCGGCGAUGUAGCUCACCAUUGAUAACAACCAUUGACUUAGACCGCCGGGUUAUUUGUCUAGCCAAAGUUUCAUCCUCAGGCAAAUCUCCCUGGGUCAGGUAAGCCAAGUAUGGCACCGUCCAGUCCGGGGUGGUGUGGAGAACCGCCACCAACUGUGCCUCCAGGUCAGGGACAGCCAAGUCCUCCUCUGUAGGUACCUUAACAGAAGGGUUAUGCAAGAUGUCCAAGAAAGUAUUAGGCGGAACCGGUUUUCGCUGAGAGCCCAGCCGGCUUAAUGCGUCAGCCGCCUCGUUCUUCCUGCGAUCGAUGUGCUCUACUUGGUAACCCUGAAAGUGUCCAGCAAUGGCAUCAACUUCACGGCGAUAAGCCGCCAUGAGAGGGUCCUUGGAAUCCCACUUGCCUAAUACUUGUUGAGCCACUAGAUCUGAGUCGCCGAAGCACCUUACCCGGCUCAAGCUCAUCUCCUUAGCCAUCCGAAGGCCAUGGAGCAAGGCCUCGUACUCAGCCGCAUUGUUGGUACAAGGAAACAUCAACCGUAGCACAUAAUGAAACUUGUCACCUUUAGGGGAAGCCAAUACAACUCCAGCCCCCGAGCCUUCCAAUUGCCUAGACACAUCAAAGUGAAUAGUCCAAUACGUAUUAUCUGGCUUUUCUUCAGGCACCUAUAGCUCUGUCCAAUCGUUGAUGAAAUCCACCAAAGCUUGAGAUUUAACAGCAGUGCGUGGUACGUAUUUCAGACCAUGAGGCCCAAGUUCUAUAGCCCACUUAGCCACUCUCCCUGUGGCUUCUCUGUUUUGGAUGAUAUCUCCAAGGGGAGCAGAACUAACCACCGUAAUGGGGUGACCCUGAAAAUAGUGCUUAAGCUUCCGGCUUGCCAUGAACACCACAUAAACAAGCUUCUGCCAAUGUGGAUACCGCUGUUUGGACUCGAUGAGCACUUCACUGACGUAAUAAACCGGCUGCUGAACCGGAUAUUCCUUACCCUCUUCCUUGCGCUCCACCACCACAGCCACACUGACGGCUCGUGCGUUAGCAACUACAUAUAGUAAUAAGGGUUCUUUGUCAACCGGAGCGGCAAGGACUGGGGGCUCAGCCAGCUGUCUCUUCAAAUCCUCAAAAGCAGCAUUAGCAGCAUCAUUCCAGAUAAAGUCAUCAGUUUUCUUCAUCAACUGGUACAGCGGCAUGGCCUUCUCACCCAAACGGCUUAUAAACCGGCUUAAAGCAGCGAUAUGACCCGCCAGGCGCUGGACGUCGUUUAUACACGCCGGCUUAGCCAGAGAGGUGAUUGCCUUGAUUUUUUUCCGGGUUAGCUUCAAUGCCCCUGUUAGAAACCAGGAAACCCAAGAGCUUGCCUGCAGGAACACCAAAAACACACUUGGCCGGGUUAAGCAUCAUCUUGUAAACCCGGAGGUUAUCAAAGGUUUCUCUAAGAUCAUCUACCAGGGUCUCCUUCUCCCUGGUCUUAACCACGAUAUCAUCCACAUAGGCGUGAAUAUUGCGCCCAAUCUGGUUAUGAAGACAAUUCUGCACACAACGCUGGUAAGUUGCCUGUGCACUCUUGAGUCCAAAAGGCAUAGACACAUAACAGAAGGCUCCAAAGGGAGUGAUGAACGCCGUCUUCUCCUGGUCCUUAACUACCAUUUUAAUCUGAUGGUAUCCAGAAUAUGCAUCCAAGAAACUUAAGCGCUCACAACCCGCGGUGGCAUCAAUGAUUUGAUCAAUACAGGGGAGGGCAAAAGGAUCAGCCAGACACGCCUUGUUUAAGUCCGUGUAGUCCACACACAUCCGCCAGGUGCCAUUCUUCUUGAGCACGCGCACCGGGUUAGCUAACCAUUCUGGAUGAAAGACUUCGACAAUAAACCCGGCCGCCAAGAGCCGGGCCACCUCUUCUCCAAUGGCUUUCCGCCUCUCCUCAUUAAACCACCGAAGGAAUUGCCUGACCGGCUUGAAUUUCGGAUCAACAUUGAGAGUGUGCUCAGCGAGUUCUCUAGGUACACCUGGCAUGUCAGAAGGUUUCCAUGCAAAAAUGUCCCUAUUCUCACGGAUGAACUCGAUGAGCGCGCUUUCCUAUUUUGGAUCCAGAUUCGCACUGAUGCUAAACUGCCGAGAUGAGUCACCUGGAACAAAAUAAACAAGUUUAGUCUCAUCAGCUGACUUAAAUUUCAUUGCCGGCUCAUGCUCCGUGGUCGGCUUUUUCAGAGAUGUCAUAUCUGCUGGGUCAACAUUAUCCUUGUAAAACUUCAGCUCCUCUGUUGCACAAACAGAUUCUGCAUAAGCCGCGUCACCUUCCUCACAUUCCAAGGCUAUCUUUCGGCUACCAUGAACCGUAAUGGUCCCAUUGUGACCCGGCAUCUUGAGCUGUAGGUAUAUGUAACACGGCCGUGCCAUGAACUUGGCGUAAGCCGGCCGUCCAAAUAUGGCAUGAUACGGACUUCUUAUCUUGACCACCUCAAAGGUCAAUUUUUCCACCCUGUAGUUCUACUCGUCUCCAAAGGCCACUUCGAAUUCGAUCUUACCAACUGGAUAAGCCGACUUACCAGGUACCACGCCAUGGAAAACAGUAUUGGACUGGCUGAGGUUCUUAUAAAUCAACCCCAUACGACGGAAGGUCUCAUAAUAGAGGAUGUUGAUGCUGCUGCCUCCAUCCAUGAGCACCUUAGUGAACUUAUAUCCUCCCACCUGAGGAGCCACCACCAGGGCCAAGUGACCCGGAUUAUCAACCCGGGGAGGGUGAUCCUCCCUACUCCACACAAUAGGCUGCUCAGACCAUCUUAAAUAGCGUGGAACCGCCGGCUCAACAGCAUUUACAGCCCUCUUAUGAAGCUUCUGAUCUCGCUUACACAGACUGGUGGUAAACACGUGAUACUGUCCAUCGUUAAGCUGCUUUGGAUUGGUCUGGUAACCCCCCUGCUGCUGUUGAUGACCCUGGCUGGACUGCUGAUUAAAGCCCCCUUGAGCAUUCUGAGGAUUAGGAUUUGAGCCGCCGCCCGGGCCAUGAAAGCCGCCCGCGCCUGAGCCGCCACCCGGGCCAUUGUUGCCAUUAAAGGCAUUGGAAUUCUUAAAGGCCUUCAUGAUUGCGCAAUCUUUCCAUAGAUGAGUAGCUGGCUUCUCCCUAGAACCAUGCCUCGGACAAGGCUCAUUCAACAACUGUUCGAGCGUCGGGCCUGACCCGCCAGCUCGGGGAGGUGGCCUCCCCUUACGCCGCUGGUUGUUACCCUGUGAGCUGGCAUUGGCCACAAAAUCCAUGCUGCCAUCAGCCUUACGCUUGUUACCUCCUUGGUUUGCCGGGUUAUGCUGAGGACCCUUGCCAUUGCCGUUCUUCUUUCCCUUCCCUGUCCUUUCAUCAUCUGACGCGGGGUCCUUGGUACUAUCAGAGUCGGCGUACUUGACGAGAGCCGCCAUCAGCGUACCCAUAUCAUUGCAGUCGCGCUUGAGCCGCCCGAGUUGCAUCUUCAGGGGCAGGAAACGACAAUUCUGCUCCAACAUCAAGACUGCAGAGCCGGCAUCCAUCUUAUCAAAUGAAUGUAUUAUCUCUUUGACCCGGCGAACCCAAUGUGUCGUAGACUCACCCUCCUGCUGUUUACAGUUAGUCAAAUCCACAAUUGACAUAGACUGCCUACAGGUAUCUUUGAAGUUUUGGAUGAACCGGGCUUUCAGCUCAGCCCAAGACCCGAUAGAAUUCGGUGGCAGCCCUUUCAACCAAGUGCGGGCAGUCCCAUCCAACAUCAUGGUGAAGUACUUGGCCAUCGCCGCUUCGCUGACCUCCAGCAAUUCCAUGGCCAUCUCGUAACUCUCGAUCCAGGCUCCGGGUUGUAAAUCAGCCGUGUAAUUAGGCACCUUCCUAGGCCCUUUGAAGUCCUUGGGUAAACGUUCAUUGCGGAGAGCCGGUACUAAACAAGGGACACCUCCGGUCCUUGUAGGGAUACCCACGUCGACGGAAGCCGUCGGAUAAGCCGGGGGUGUCUGGUAAGCCGUCAACUGAGGCACCUGCCCCGCCUCUUGCCAUGCUCUGUCUUGGUCUGCUGCGUGAAAGGCUCCGUUAUGAGCCGGGCCAUGGCCAGGUGGCAAGUCAUGGCGUCGGACAUUACUUGAGCCGGUCGCUGAAACCAUGUGUCUGCUAUAACUCGGGCUCCGUCCUGGACGAGGGGUUGAAUGGAUCCUGUCCCGGCUGUAAGAGUAUGCCUCUUGCUGCGCCAGAGCUGUUUGAAGGAGCUCCCUAACCCGGCGGGUUUCAACCGCCGUUGGAGAGUCGCCAUCGAUUGGGAGAGCUGCCAGCCGUGCCGCCGCGGCGACCAUGUUUUCCAACGGGUUGGCAUAAUGACCCGGUGGUAUUGGCACGUAGUGAGGCGGGGCAGGGUUCACCCGGGGUGGUCCCAUUACUUGGGGCUGAAUUGGUGUCCCAGCCCCUGGCACUAUGAUCUCCGGCGGGUUACUAGACCCUGCACCUGGUGUGUUGAAGAGGUUUCGAGGAUCGUAAACCGUAGGGAGUCGAGAUUGGGCCUUUUGAUGCCUCCUUCUCAUGACCUCAUCGGAUGCGUUUUGAUCCAUCGUGAGCCGAAAGGACUGUGCCUGAAUCAGCUGAGUCUGGGCGUCGAGAGCCGCCCUCUCUGCAGCCAUCCUGAUCCCCUCCGCCGCCAGGUCCUCCUUGGCCUUUGCUAGAUCCAACCUUAACUGUACCACCUCCGCGUCAUGUUCAACUUGAUCCGCCGGAGCCACCGUAGCGGUCAACAGGACCGUCAGCUUGUCUGUGAGAUCCAUCAGCACCUGAGCCGGUGAAGGCACCGGGCUUCCUGACCCGGAGGCGGGGUUUUGAACAGGUUGCGCGCCGGCCAUGAAGAUUCCAACCUGGCUCGGCGGUUCAAAAGGGUUCGGAAUGCUGUCGCCAUCGGAACAACCCCUGAGCCUGCCAUCCUGAAGUUGAUACAACGAGUUUGACUCAUCCGUAGACGACUCGCCGUCAGAGCCGGCGGCCGUCUCAUCGCCAGAUCCAGAUCCAUCAGAGAGUCCUCCAUGAACACAUCCCACAAAAGCAUGCUUCAAGGCAGGUAGGGCCCGGGCGGGUCGUGCGCGCUGAGCCGUCUCGAUGAGAUCGGCGCAGAGAUCCGGCUCAGGGCCCGGCUCACCGAUCUUGCCAAUGAAGACAUGAAUUCCGCCAAAGGGGACCCGGUACCCGUACUCAAUUGAGCCGGCCUCGGGGCCCCAAUUUGCAUCGUCGAUGUAGAGCUUGCCGCGACGACUCUUGGUCAUCCGGCCCACAGCGUAUCCCUUGAGCCUUCGAAGCUGCCCUUCAAGAACUCAAAUCCACCGUGCGCUGGCCCCACGGUGGGCGCCAACUGUCGUGGAAUUGUCACGGCAGAUGUCCUCGAGCUAGGACUUAGUCGUGGAGCCAUCGCAGCUAGGAAGCUUAAAGGGGUUAAACGGGACAAGGAACACGGAGAUUAUACUGGUUCGGCCCCUUACGGUGAAGAUAAAAGCCUACGUCCAGUUGAGGUGGUAUUGCUUAUGGUUUCGAUGACCAGGGAGCUUAAUUGCUAUGCCCGGCUCUCGACGAGAUCUUACUUGUCCCUGAACCGCCGCCGGGUCGUCCCUUUAUAUAGAGAGGUUGACGCCCAGCGGCUCUCAGAGUCCCGGCCGGCUCAUAAGAGUGUCCGGCUCGGACUCUCAACUAUUCUUGCCUUACACUACAAGUCUUGCCAUACGGCGGUUUAUAACUACGGGCCUUAAGCCAUCUCCGGGUCUUGGGCCCAUCAUCGACCCGCCGUCUUCAAGCUCGGUACUGGGCUUCACGUGAUGACCAUUAUGAGUAACCCGGCCCCUCCUGGCGGGUGACUCUAAGGAUUAUAUCCUCAACAGUAUUCGAGUUGCUUCAAUGUCAAGUGUGAUUCCAUAUUUUUUCUAAGCGGCGUUCUCAUAUUUCUAUGGGAGUGUUAAUCCUUCUUAAUUAUCGAGAUUGUCAUCCCAAUUCUAUUUCUAACCGGUGUGCUUCUCUUCGAGAUGAUCCCAUCAUUCUCCCCAUCCGCAAGAUCAAUUCUAAGUUUUCUCAACAGUGUUUGUUCCAUUUCAUCCCCAAGUUGCCUUUGUUUUUCCCGCCCUCCCACCCUUUUUCUUCAAGGACUCAAAUUUCUUAAUCAAGUAUCCAUCUUAUGGAUGUGAAGUCUCUUCAUUCUUUUCUUUCAAUGUUCUUCUCCGGUGAUUUCCCAUGAAGAUGGUCAGGAGUUUCAAGUUCAUCAUUCUUCGUUCUUUUUUCUUCUCCGGUGGAUUCAAGUCAAGUUUUUGGUGUUGAUCAUAUUCCCUUCCUCGUUUCAAAUGUUUUCUCAUGCCGGUGCACCUCUUAAUCAUCCACCUCUUUCUAUUCAUGUUUAUCUGGAGUGCUGAAGAUAUCCUAGAAGAUUCAAGUUUCUAUUCAUAAUCCUUUGAAGCUAUUUCGAGGUCUUACCUUAUUCAAGCCAUUUAAUUCAAUCGACGCAAUCUCUCUUUUAAAUCUUUCAAUGGUGUUUCUUUUGGGUGGGCCCUAACCCACAGGUCUUUUCCAGGAUCUUACCUGACUCUUCUAAUUCAUCCCGGAGCUAUUCCCAAAUUCAUUUCAAAGUUUGACGUAAGAAUGAGUUAUCAUCAGUCAAAUGUCUUUCUCCAAGGUCUUUAAAAUUCUUUUCAUCAUUCGUUCAAUCUUUCUAAUUUUCAUUCCGGAGUGCCUCAACAAUUCAUAGUGGUGUCUCUUGUCGUCAUUCUCUGCAUUUGAAAACUGAAGAAGAUUUUCUCUUAAAUCUUGCUCCGUUCUCUUAAAGAUGCGUAGUUCAAGCUUGAUGCCAUCCUCUAAUAAUUGUUUUUUCGAUUGUGAGAUUUCUUUUCACCCAUCCGGUGCAAUUCAGGAGAAUUUUCAGUUUGAUUCUCCGGAGCCCAUCAUCUCAGAAUUAUUCAUUCCAGCUUUUAGCUCUUGUUCCCCAAAUCUUACCGGUGCAUCGUUCAAAUAUCCUCUAAUCAGUUCAUGAUCUCUUUGUUCUCAUGUAUCUAAAUCCCCUCAAGUAUCUUCUUUCGUUUUCUAAUUCUUCCCGGUGAAUUGUGCCCUUGCUACUUUCAUUUUCAAUUCAUACGGUGGUUCGUUCAAGAUUUCUCUUCCUUCAUUAUCAUAUCAAUUUAUUCGUUGUUUCAAUCCUACCGGUGGUUCGUUGAAGACCUUCCCAAGUUGAGCUAUAUCUCUCUUAAUCCUUUCUAUGAGAAUAAGUAGUAUGCCAAAUCCGUUGCUUGUCAUCAAUUUAAAUUGGUGAAGGAUACGCAUAAUGUAAUUCUUAUUAUUGUUUCAUCCAAGUGAUCUAGUUUCUUCUUUCCAGGGUUGUUCAUCAUGUCACAUUUCUUGGUUCGAGAUGCUUCAUCUUUUCUUUUCCGGAGUUCCAAGUUUUCCGCUUUAUCUCGUCGCAAAGCUCCAUCUAAAUCAUCGCAAGGCUUCACCUUGUGCUCUCAACUUCUCUUUCUUUUUAUCAUCCUUUCAUUACCGGAGUUCUUCAUGGAGGCUCUACAUGGUGGUUCGUCAAGGAUUCUUUUCAUUCUUCAAUUGGUCUUCAAGUUUUCUCUUGAAGUUAAGAUCCGCCAAGCUAUACUCUCAAUAAACAUGGUGCUCAACACAUGUCUUGUUUUGAGGAGUUCAAGCAUUCUUCAUCUUGCAUUCCAAAAUGCAAUUACUUCUACCUUAUCUUUUGAGGUGGUGUUAUGUCACUCUUGACAAUUUCCCUUCGUGUGUCAUGAUUCAACAGUUGUCAAGAAUGACAUAGUUAAACCCAUCAAUUUCUCCGAGCAUGAGCCCUUCUCAAUCCAUCGAUUUUUUUCAUUGGAGUUAUCUUGGUAUAUAUUCACCUAAAGCCUUCCAUUAGGAAUGUAGCUACUUGUGGUGCUUAUCAAUGAUCCAAUCUUCUCCUUCUCAUCUCGGUGAUGAAGUUUUCAUCUCCUUGUUGAUCUCAAUCCAAUCAACUGUUUUCGUUAGUGGUCGAUUGUCACCUCAUAAUUUUGAUAUGUUUUCCAUAAGCCCACAACAAGCUUAUCCUUUCGUUAUUGAUAAUCCAACAACUUUGUUCUAGCAUUUCCUGUAAGCGUGCUCUUUCAAGAUCUUAUUUCCCUCCGUUCAUUCCAUUCCAUUCUUUCAUUUCUUCCGGAGACAUUGUGAUGUUACUCUCUUCGACCCAUCAUCUUGUUUUGUCACGAUCAUGUUCUUUUAUUGCUUAUCCAUUUAACCGGUGUUUUGUGUUUUAUUUCCAAGUUCUUUUCAUCAAAUCAAGUCUUGCCUCUCUUCUCAAUCGGAGUGCUGUCCAAGUUCUGGCAUUCGUGUUCUUUGGCUAUCUCAUGAUAUCGGUGUGGCUCCAUAUUCUUUUGGUUCGUUGAGCUCUUGUUUCAUGUCUUUCAGCCUACAAGGUUCUCAUGGUGUUCCUUGUUUCUGUUUACUACGGAGUGCUCUCAAUUCGCUCAUCUCCGUUGUGUCAUUUCUUUCGAGUUGUUCAACUUCCAAGGUUCUUUGGUUUCACUCGUUUGUCAAGAAGCAACUUUGUUUUACCUCUUCCUCUUCCGUUUCUCUCCGGUGCCAUCCUAGAUCUAGGGACGAGAUCCUCUUGUAGUGGUGGAGUGUUGUAACGCCCCAAGACCGACGCUCCAGAUGCCUUCCAUGUUUUGCGAGUCAGCUGUGUUAUUUAUUUGUUUGUUGCAUCUCAUGUCAUGUCAUCAUUUGCAUUGCAUCGGCACUCCGGUGCCGUCAUGUUUGAAAACUUGCAUUCGUUCAUCGUUGUCGUUUCUUCCUUUGCCUUCAUCACCUUCUCUCGGACCGCUUUGCCUUUGUUGACCAUUCUAGAUCAAUCGAAUUUUUGCUUCCCUCUUGACCGUGACCGCCUAACCCCUCUUUGCGCAGUUGUAACACCCCGGAUGUAACUUUCCAUAUUUGUAACUCCAACCCUUGCCAUUUUCGGCUAUGUGUUAUGAUAUUCCCUUUGUGGUCGGGUUUUGUUUUUCAUUUUGCAUUUUGUUCAUGUCAUGCAUUUCAUAUCAUGUCAUCAUGUGCAUCUCAUUUGCAUACGUGUUCGUCUCAUGCAUCCGAGCAUUUUCCCCGUUGUCCGUUUUGCGAUCCGACACUCCCACAUGCACCGGCGCACCCCUCUUGUUUCUUUUCGUGAGCGAGUGUUGAACGUUCUCGGAAUGGACCGAGGUUUGCCAAGUGGCCUUGGUAUACCACCGGUAGACCACCUGUCAAGUUUCGUUUCAUUUGGAGGUCGUUUGAUGCUCCAACGGUUAACCGGGUAACCGCAAAGUCCUUUUGUGUGUUGCAGCAAAAACCCCCUCCAAACAGUCCAAUAACCCUUCUAAGUCCCCUCCAUGCUCUCGGUCGUUCGAUCACGAUCGUGUGGGCGAAAACCGCACUCCAUUUGGAGCCUCCUAGCUCCCUCUACCUAUAAAUAUGUGUUCCCCCUCCGAAAUCCGGGUCCCGAAACCCUAGCCCCGCUCCCUCCGCGCGCCGGACACGUCCGCCCGGCGCCAGACGAAAGCCGCCGCCGCCCGCAGCCAACCGGGGCGCGACACGUGGCAGCCGUCAGCGCCGCCGNNNNNNNNNNNNNNNNNNNNNNNNNNNNNNNNNNNNNNNNNNNNNNNNNNNNNNNNNNNNNNNNNNNNNNNNNNNNNNNNNNNNNNNNNNNNNNNNNNNNNNNNNNNNNNNNNNNNNNNNNNNNNNNNNNNNNNNNNNNNNNNNNNNNNNNNNNNNNNNNNNNNNNNNNNNNNNNNNNNNNNNNNNNNNNNNNNNNNNNNNNNNNNNNNNNNNNNNNNNNNNNNNNNNNNNNNNNNNNNNNNNNNNNNNNNNNNNNNNNNNNNNNNNNNNNNNNNNNNNNNNNNNNNNNNNNNNNNNNNNNNNNNNNNNNNNNNNNNNNNNNNNNNNNNNNNCGCCCGAGCGCGCCCGGCUCCCCGUCGCCCGCGCUGCCGCUUCCCUCGCCGACGUCCGGCCGCCUCCCGAGCUCCUCCGCCGCGCCUCGCCCUCUUCUUCUCCGGCGCCGAGCUCCGGCCGCCUCCUCUCCCGCGCCGAUCCGCACCGAACCCUAGAUCUCGCAGGUUGACUUUCUGUCGUGGAAUUGUCACGGCAGAUGUCCUCAAGCUAGGACUUAGUCGUGGAGCCAUCGCCGCUAGGAAGCUUGAAGGGGUUAAACGGGACAAGGAACAUGAAGGUUUAUACUGGUUCAGCCCCUUACGGUGAAGGUAAAAGCCUACGUCCAGUUGAGGUGAUAUUGAUUAGGGUUUCGAUGACCAGGGAGCUUAACUGCUAUGCCUGGCUCUCGGCGAGAUCUUUCUUACCCCUAAACCGCUGCCGGGUCGUCUCUUUAUAUAGAGAGGUUGACGCCCAGCAGCUCUCAGAGUCCCGGCCAGCUCAUAAGAGUGUCCGGCUUGGACUCUCAACUGUUCUUGCCUUACACUACAAGUUCUACCAUAACCACAGUUGUAACUAUGGGCCCUAGCCAUCUCCGGGUCUUAAGCCCAUCUUUGGCCCACCGUCUUCAAGCUUGGCGCCGGGCUUCAGGUGAUGACCCUUAUGAGUAACCCGGCCCCACCGGGCGGGUGACUCUAAGGUUUAUAUCCUCAACAUUAGGCCCCAGAUUGACAUGAGCCGGCUCAAAUCAAUCUUCAAUUCUUUCGACAGAAAAUCUCCGGCUUACAAUUGUGUGAGGGUCAUAACCCGGUGUGACGUCAUCCUCUGGAUUCCGGGUAAUCCGCCGUGACGUCAUCUUCCAUUAAGUCCAUUUUUUACUCCACCAUAUCCGCAACGGAUCUUAUCUUUACUGCCAUCCCGAAAAUCGAGGCGUUUUUAUGGUGAGAUAACCGCGCCGUGGCCUCCUCGUUUCUCGCGCCCACUUAUGAGCUUGCCCUUAUAAGUAGUCCGGCCCGAGGAGCCUUCAGCCACCCGUCUUCCUCCUCGCGCCACUGUUCUUCCGCUCGAGCUCUGCUGCCGUCGCCGCCGCGGGUCUUCUCGUCCUCACCGACUCCGGCCGCUGCAUCAACCUGUUGUGUCCAGAGAAAAACGGCGGCGACCUCCGUGACUCACCAGCACCCGUAAGCCAUCGCCACUCCAUAGAGUAGAUCCACAUUAAGCUCCUGCCGUUCUUCCCGUGUUCUUCACCGUUCUUCGCGAGUCCUCAGUAGAUUUGAUUUUUACCACCUUUCUUGAUCUUAGACUGUAUAGAACUGCUGCGGUAGUUGUUUCACGCCCGUUUCCAGUGUACAUAGAUCUCCUUUUUACUGCAUAGAGGCUCUGUUCGAAUCCGCAAACUUCUUCUGCGUCUGUUUUAGGUCUAGACACUUUCCUCUUUAAUCGACCAUUUUGAUCCAAAUUAGUUACUGUGAUGUGUGAAACCUGUUUUCACCACACUUAGUAAAAAAUUGUACCUGCUGAAUCAUGGCGGUUUACAUUUCCGGCUUGAAGAAGCCACGCGCCGUAAAACCUUCCGGCUCAAAAGAAGCCAUGCGCCGUAAAAUUUUCCGGCUCAUCUGCGACAAGGUCGUAGACAAUCGAAUUACUUUCAAUACCUCCAGCGGCUUAGAUAACCUGAUGCACCUAGAUAUAUGUCAUUAGGCCCCUCCAUAAGCCGCCACUUUAAACAUUGAACUGUAAAUUUCCUCCGGCUUAUAAUUAAACCGGACAUUGUUCCUUUUACCAUAGGCUUCCGACUUUCACCAUGCCUCCCAAAGCUCCCAAAGCACCCAUCACUUGCAACUGGAUGAGGUCCAACGUCACCGACGAGACCUUAGCAGAUUUUGUGAAGUCGGGUUACCUGCCCAAGAAGGACGUCAUGUCCUACCGUGCCCCCGACCCAUCAGAGGAAAGACCACAGCCAAGGGACGGGGAGGUGGUAAUUUUUGCUGAUCACAUGAGCCGGGGCUUCGCACCGCCCGGCUCAAAGUUCUUUAGAGAUGUGCUGAAUUUCUUUGAUCUGCGGCCACAAGACAUAGGACCCAAUUCUGUGUCCAAUAUAUGCAACUUCCAAGUGUUCUGCGAAGUCUACCUUGGAGAAGAGCCCAGCCUUCUGCUCUUUAGAGAGCUAUUCUAUUUGAACCGCCAGAACGAGUGCGCCAACGGGCCGAGCUUAGAACUUGGUGGAAUCUCCAUUCAGCGACGGAGAGACUGCCUUUUUCCUUACGCCGAGCCGCCAAGCCACCCAAAGGACUGGAACCAGACGUGGUUCUACUGCCAAGACACUUCGCCGGCUGACGAGAGCCCGCUGCCCGGCUUUCGUCCCUCGCGUCUGGAACCAACUCACCCUCUGUCAGACAAGCUAUCUGAGGCGGAGCGCCAACCUCUGAUCCCCACCAUCAACAAGAUCAAGGCUCUGCUGGGAAAUGGCCUUAAUGGCAUUGAUCUGGUCCGAGUCUGGAUCUCGUGGCGGGUGAUCCCCUUAAGCCGCCGCCCCGGCUUAAUGUGUGAGUACACAGGCCGGAAAGAUGACCCCCUGCGACACAGCCGCAAUGAUCUUCCUGAAGACGUUGCUGAAGACAUGACCAAGGCCCUUUUAAACGAGAGCUUGGCAGACUGCGGGAGGACCGGGUUAAGCCCGUUCUGCAAGACCAACCCGGCCCCAGCGGUAAGCCGCUGAUCUGAACAUCUUAUUUUCUUCUGUAGAUAGCUUUCAUCUGAAUCUUUAAGAAAUCGUCAUUGUAUUUUUCAGGCUGAUGACAAAUUCUGGAAGGUCAAAUAUGACCAUGAGGCGGCCAAGAAGGCCAGGAAGGCUAAGAAAGCCGCCAAGAGAGCCGCUCCCCGCAAGAAGGGAAGUAGGCCUACUGCUUCAGAGCUGCUGCAACUAAGCGACAGCUCCGAGUCAGAGGUAACCCCUGAACCUGUAAGCUCUUGUUGUGUUUGUUGUUUAUUUCUGUCCACCUUAUCAAUACUGUUCAUCAACAGGAUGACACCGGAGCAAGUAACCCGGUGGUUGAAGAGGUAAUGACACUUUCCUCCGACUCGGAGCCCUUGCCAAGGCUGAAAGUCCGAAGGGUAACCCGGAAAGUAAGAUUUUCACAUCCUUUAGCUUAUCAAGAUCCUCAAUUUCUUUUGAAGCAGCAGAUUCAUGAGAUCCGGCGGCACACCCGGACCAACAAGGAUGCUGACCUCUCCUCCGGCUUACCUGAGGCAUCAAGGAAGCGCCAGACCGAGGUUAUUUCCAAUUUAUAUCCUUUUCAUCCUCUGGCGGGUGUUAUACGUCAACCUCUCAAUUCUUCUGAUUCAAAUUAUCACGAAACGUCUCCUUCCUCUGGUGACUCGAUGCAAUCGAAUCUGCCAGCUUUCAAGACCGUACCCGGGUAAUGAUGAUCAUCUCUUGCUGUGCUUUAUCUUUACUCAUACUUUUGUACUAACCUCUUGCCCUUUCAGUGCUCAAGCCAAGCUCAGUAAAAGAGCAAAAAAAAUAAGCUGGCGGAGGAGUCGGUCGUGACGGAACCGGAAGUUUCCGCUCAAGAGCCGCCAGCCGCCUCUGCUCCUGAAGCCACCGCUCCCACCGACGAGCCAGCCGUGGAAACUUCCACCAACCCGGAUAUCUCCAGCCCGGCUCAGCCAGCCGAUGACCCGGACGUGGUAAUCACCCGGAUGGAAUUUGUCGAGCCGGGGAGACCCACUGUGCUGGCCAAGCACUCCGCCAAGGAAGAGUUGCUAGAAUGCAGCCGGGCCAAUCUGGACCUCACCAACUACACGAACUUGAGCGUCGGAGAAAUUGUCUCUGGCUACGUGAGUCAGGUGCACAAGAGCCGGGAUUUGGAGAUCCACAUGGUGAAUCAGAUACAGCAGAAGUCUGAGGUACCAUUCUACUGCUUACUGCAUAGUUAUCUUUACCAUACUAGCCCCCGAGUCGACGACUUAUGAUUGAAUAUGUUGUAGACUUAAGUUCCGGCUUACUUCCAUGAACCGGUAAUUUGUAGAUAAAGACUUUCAACAUGCAUUAGCCCCCAAGUGCCAAGUGUCUUUGCUUGGAAAGCACUUGGGACUUUAAACUUGCAUAGUAACUGUUUAUAUUAUAACCCAGAAAUUGUGCAGGCUGCUUGCAAGAAGCUUGAGGCUGACAUCUCUGAUCUGAAGACCCGCCUGAGGACGCAGGAAACUGAGACCCGGAAGGCGAACGCCAAAUUUGUGUCCAGUAUUGCUGCUCAAGAGAAGCUGAAAAAGGACUUUGAAGCUGAACGGAAAGCUUGGGCCGAAGAGAAGGCUACUCUGGUGAGCCGGGCCGAACAGGCGGAGAAAGCUGUGACGGAGAGAACCGCCGAACUCGCCGGCUUAAAGCGCCACGUGUCACAGAUGGUCGCCGCAAUCUUCGGUAAGUCAUUCCACCGGCUCUCGUCCAGUUUAUAAUCUUUAUUUCUCAUAACCCAUCAUUGCCAGCGGCUUAUCUUACUCUGUUAAAUAGGUCCCAGAAGCGCCAACCUCAACCAAAGUGUGCUGACCAAGCUGAAGGCCAUGUACACCCUGGUGGAGCAACUCUACACCGGGUCACAACGCGCCUUGGCCGUGGUGGCCCUAUCCAAUGAGGUGCCGACUCACCUGGCAGAAGUUCUUCGCCGGCUUGCCGUUCUUCCUCAGCGUGUCCAAGAGCUGCGACGGGCCUCUGCAAGAGCCGGAGCCAUAGCUGCUCUGAGCCGGGCCAAGGUGUUCCUUCCAGAACUAGACCCGGCGGACAUUGCCCUUGGCUACCCCAGCUUGAAGGAAGACGGCACCCCCUUCGACCAAAGGGACUUUGCAGCCUGCGUGAAGAUCGUACGCCCGGUGGCCACUCUGAUUGGAAAUGACACGGAUCUGACCAAGUACCAGCCGGGUUACGAUGCAGAAAAUCAGAGGAUCCCCACUCCGCGUUAUGAAGCCAUCAGCUUAGUCCCGCCGACUCGUAAGCACACCUUUGCCCCGGAAAUUGACCCGGCCGGGUUAAUUGACGAGGAAGCUCAAUUUGAAGCUCUGAGCGGCAUUGACUGGAAAUCGUCAACUUCCCAGGUCUUGGGAACAGCUGGAGGAGCGGAGAGGGAUGAGCCGGAAGCUUCAACCCAGCAAGCAUCUUAACUCUGUAGGCGGCUUAUUCAAACAAUGCUUCACCCUUUUGGACUCGAUGAGUCUUGUAAUAGAAUAUGACCAUUUUAACUUUGUCGUGUCAUCGUGCACGUGCUGAAUGCUUAAUUCCAUUGAAGUUGUUUCCUCAUAUUCCUCCGGGUCAUAAAUGAUCAUUCAUAUUCCUUAAUCUCAAAUAGUUGUCUUUAACUAUCCUGCAUAGAAAAAUAAAUCACAAGUCUCUAGGCGGCUUACCGCACUGAGAAUCAUAGUAUUAUACAUAUAACCCGGAAUAUGAAUCACAAAAGACUGGUCCUCAAUUAUGUCCUUGAUAUAACCGUAAUAACACACUUACCGGCCAGCAAGCACACUUCCGGCUUAUAUAACUCGGGUAAUAAGGUUGGUACCUCAAUUCCGGUUUACCAGUCUUAAUAACGCCGGUUGUGUUCGACUAGUACUGUGAAUCAAAGUUAAGCCGGCCAAGUGAGACCCGCCGUGCACACUUGAAACAAUCAAAAGAAUUCGUUGCAAAUCAGAAAAGCUUAGGGGCUUCCGGUUCGAAUACGACCAGAGACCCGUCCCAGAGGGGUGAUGCUAAGAUUCGAAUGCGAUCAUAUAGCCCCCAGUGGGUGUGGCGAUGCCAAUCAAAAGGGUACCGACAGCUAUGUUCUCUUUGGUUCGAAUACGACCCAUGUUUGAACAGGAAGCCCCCAAAUGAUCUUAGGAGUUGUUUAACGAUGCUGAUUCGAAUACGAUCCACGUCGGUUCCCAAAGGGGGGUUGAACUAUGAUUCAAAUAUGAUCAAAGAAAACUCCCCAAUGAGCUCGGCACUUUGCCAAUGAAAUGGGUAUCGACAGCUAUGUUCUCUUUGGUUCGAAUACGACCUAUGUUUGGACAGGAAGCCCCCAAGUGACUAUAUUGUGUAUGGCUAGAUUCGAAUACGAUCAUAAGCCGGAUCCUCCUUCAAGUUAUCAUGUGAUCUUGCAAUGAAAGUAACACAUUCACCUUUGGAGGAGAAAAAAGGACAGAGGUCCUGCUUUAUUGCUUAUCAUAAUAUAUACAUGGCUUAGAGAAAUAUGUACAUUAUGAGAGCCGGUGGCUCAAGUGUAAUAAGGCCGAAGCUGAGCUAUGUUCCACGGCCGACGGGUCUCUUCCUCCGACUUACGUGAAUCUUUGUGCUCCCGAAUGUCAAUGAGGUAAUAUGACCCGUUGUGCAAAUUCUUGCUGACCACAAAGGGCCCUUCCCAAGGCGGGGAUAGCUUGUGCGCAUCUGUUUGAUCUUGGAUGAGCCGGAGCACCAGACCGCCUUCCUGGAAGACCCGGGAUUUAACCCGGCGACUAUGAUAACGGCGCAGGUCUUGUUGGUAAAUCGCUGAGCGAGCUGCUGCCACAUCACGCUGUUCAUCCAACAAGUCAAGAGCAUCUUGGCGCGCCUGUUCAUUAUCCACCUCAACAUAAGCUGCCACUCGAGGCGAGUCAUGACGGAUGUCACUGGGGAGGACUGCUUCCGCUCCAUAAACCAUGAAGAAAGGCGUGAAACCUGUAGACCUGUUAGGAGUAGUGUUGAUGCUCCACAACACGGAGGGUAACUCCUCCACCCAACAACCCGGCGUCCGUUGUAAAGGGACCAAAAGCCGGGGUUUGAUGCCUUUCAGAAUCUCCUGAUUAGCCCUCUCAGCUUGACCAUUGGAUUGAGGGUGAGCCACUGAUGAAACAUCAAGUCGAAUAUGCUCUCGUUGACAAAACUCCUUCAUGGCGCCUUUGGAUAGAUUGGUACCAUUGUCAGUUAUAAUGCUGUGUGGAAAGCCAAAGCGAAAUAUCACCUUUUUCAUGAAUUGAACCGCCGUGGCCGCGUCACACUUGCUAACUGGCUCUGCUUCAACCCACUUUGUGAACUUGUCAACUGCCACCAAGAGGUGGGUCUUCUUAUCCUUGGACCUUUUAAAAGGCCCAACCAUAUCAAGCCCCCAGACCGCAAAGGGCCAAGUAAUUGGGAUCAUCCUCAGCUCCUGAGCCGGCACAUGAGCCCGUCGCGAGAACCUUUGGCAACCAUCACAUUUACUGACCAAGUCCUCCGCAUCAGCAUGAGCCGUCAGCCAAUAAAAACCAUGACGAAAAGCCUUGGCCACAAGAGACUUUGAGCCGGCAUGAUGGCCACAAUCCCCUUCAUGAAUCUCACGCAAGAUCUCUUGACCUUCCUCAGGGGAGACACAGCGCUGGAACGCUCCCGUAACACUGCGGCGAUGCAACUCACCAUUGAUAACUACCAUUGACUUAGACCGCCGGGUUAUUUGUCUGGCCAAAGUUUCAUCCUCAGGCAAAUCUCCCCGGGUCAUGUAAGCCAGAUAGGGCACUGUCCAGUCCGGGAUGAUGUGGAGAGCCGCCACCAGUCGUGCCUCCGGGUCAGGGACAGCCAAGUCUUCCUCUGUAGGCAACUUAACAGAAGGGUUAUGCAGGACGUCCAGGAAAAUAUUAGGCGGCACCGGUUUUCGCUGAGAGCCCCGCCGGCUUAAAGCAUCCGCCGCCUCGUUCUUCCUGCGAUCGAUGUGCUCUACUUGAUAACCCUGAAAGUGCCCAGCAAUGGCAUCAACUUCACGGCGAUAAGCCGCCAUGAGAGGGUCCUUUGAGUCCCACUUUCCCGAUACUUGUUGAGCCACCAAGUCUGAGUCGCCGAAGCACCUUACCCGGCUCAAGCUCAUCUCCUUAGCCAUCCGAAGACCGUGGAGCAAGGCCUCGUACUCAGCUGCAUUGUUAGUGCAAGGAAACAUCAAUUGUAGCACAUAACGGAACUUGUCACCUUUAGGGGAAGCCAAUACGACUCCAGCCCCCGAGCCCUCCAAUUGCCUGGACCCAUCGAAGUGAAUAGUCCAAUAUGUGUUAUCCGGCUUUUGUUCGGGCACUUGUAGCUCUGUCCAAUCAUUGAUGAAAUCCACCAAGGCCUGAGAUUUAACAGCAGUGCGUGGUACGUAUUUCAGACCAUGAGGUCGGAGCUCUAUAGCCCACUUAGCCACUCUCCCAGUGGCCUCUCUGUUUUGAAUGAUAUCUCCAAGGGGGGCAGAACUGACCACAGUGAUGGGGUGACCCUGGAAAUAAUGCUUAAGCUUCCGGCUUGCCAUGAACACACCAUAAACAAGCUUCUGCCAAUGUGGAUACCGCUGUUUGGACUCAAUGAGUACUUCGCUGACAUAAUAAACCGGCCGCUGAACCGGAUGCUCCUUACCCUCUUCCUUGCGCUCCACCACCACAGCCACACUGACGGCUCGUGUGUUAGCAGCCACAUACAACAAUAAAGGCUCCUUGUCAACCGGAGCAGCAAGGACUGGGGGCUCCGCCAGCUGCCUCUUCAAAUCCUCAAAAGCAGUAUUAGCUGCAUCAUUCCAGACAAAGUUAUUAGUUUUCUUCAUCAACUGAUCUAAUGGCAUGGCCUUCUCCCCCAAACGGCUUAUAAAACGGCUUAAAGCAGCAAUACGACCCGCCAGGCGCUGGACGUCGUUUAUGCACGCCGGCUUAGCCAGAGAGGUGAUUGCCUUGAUCUUCUCCGGGUUAGCUUCAAUACCUCUGUUAGAAACCAAGAAACCCAAGAGCUUGCCUGCAGGAACACCAAAAACACACUUGGCCGGGUUAAGCAUCAUCUUGUAGACCCGGAGAUUAUCAAAGGUUUCCCUCAGAUCAUCUAUCAAGGUUUUCUCUUCCCUGGACUUAACCACAAUAUCAUCUACAUAAGCAUGAACAUUGCGCCCAAUCUGGUUAUGAAGACAGUUCUGCACGCAACGCUGAUAAGUCGCCUGUGCACUCUUGAGCCCAAAAGGCAUAGAUACAUAGCAGAAGGCUCCAAAGGGAGUGAUGAACGCCGUCUUCUCCUGGUCCUUAACUGCCAUUUUAAUCUGAUGAUAUCCGGAAUAAGCAUCCAAGAAGCUUAAGCGCUCACAACCCGCCGUAGCAUCAAUGAUUUGAUCAAUACAGGGAAGGGCAAAAGGAUCAGCCGGACACGCUUUGUUUAAGUCCGUGUAGUCCACACACAUCCGCCAGGUGCCGUUCUUCUUGAGCACGAGCACCGGGUUAGCUAACCACUCUGGGUGAAAGACUUCAACAAUAAACCCGGCCGCCAAGAGCCGGGCCACCUCUUCACCAAUAGCUUUCCGCCUCUCUUCAUUAAACCGCCGAAGGAAUUGCCUGACCGGCUUAAAUUUUGGAUCAACAUUGAGAGUGUGCUCAGCGAGUUCUCUAGGUACACCUGGCAUGUCAGAAGGUUUCCAUGCAAAAAUGUCCCUAUUCUCACGGAUGAACUCGAUGAGCGCGCUUUCCUAUUUUGGAUCUAGAUUGGCACUGAUGCUAAACUGCUGAGAUGAAUCACCUGGAACGAAAUCAACAAGUUUAGUCUCAUCAGCCGACUUAAAUUUCAUUGCCGGCUCAUGCUCCGUAGGCGGCUUUUUCAGAGAGGUCAUAUCUGUUGGGUCAACAUUGUCCUUGUAAAAUUUUAACUCCUCUGUUGCACAAACAGAUUCUGCAUAAGCUGCAUCGCAUUCCUCACACUCCAAGGCCACCUUUCGGCUGCCAUGAACCGUAAUGGUCCCAUUGAGACCCGGCAUCGUCAGCUGUAAAUAUACGUAACACGGCCGUGCCAUGAACUUGGCGUAAGCCGGCCGCCCAAAUAUGGCAUGAUACGAGCUUCUUAUCUUGACCACCUCAAAGGUCAAUUUUUCCACCCUGUAGUUGUGCUCGUCUCCAAAGGCCACUUCCAACUCGAUCUUGCCGACUGGAUAAGCCGACUUACCAGGUACCACACCAUGGAAAAUAGUGUUUGACUGGCUGAGGUUCUUAUCAAUCAACCCCAUACGACAGAAAGUCUCAUAAUAGAGGAUGUUGAUGCUACUGCCUCCAUCCAUGAGCACCUUAGUGAACUUAUAUCCUCCCACCUGAGGAGCCACCACCAAGGCCAAGUGACCCGGAUUAUCCACCCGGGGAGGGUGAUCCUCCCUUCUCCACACUAUAGGCUGCUCAGACCAUCGUAAAUAGCGUGGAGCCGCCGGCUCAACAGCAUUCACAGCCCUCUUAUGAAGCUUCUGAUCUCGCUUACACAGAAUGGUGGUAAAUACAUGAUACUGUGCACCGCUAAGCUGCUUUGGAUUGGUCUGAUAACCCCCCUGCUGCUGUUGAUGACCCUGGCUAGACUGCUGAUUAAAGCCCCCUUGACCGUUCUGAGGAUUAGAAUUUGAGCCGCCGCCCGGGCCAUGAAAACCGCCGGCGCCUGAGCCACCGCCCGGGCCAUUGUUGCCGUUAAAGGCGUUGGAAUUCCUAAAGGCCUUCAUGAUUGCACAAUCCUUCCAUAGAUGAGUAGCUGGCUUCUCUCUAGAGCCAUGCCUUGGACAGGGCUCAUUCAACAGUUGCUCCAGCGUCGGGCCUGACCCGCCGGCUCGGGGAGGGGGCCUCCCCUUGCGUCUCUGGCUGUUACCCUGUGAACUGGCGUUGGCCACGAACUCUAGGCUGCCUUCGGCCUUACGCUUGCCACCUCCUUGGUUCCCCGGGUUAUGCUGAGGACCCUUGCCAUUGCCAUUCUUCUUUCCCUUCCCUAUCCUUUCAUCAUCUGAAGCGGGGUCCUUGGUACUAUCAGAAUCGGCGUACUUGACGAGAGCCGCCAUCAGCGUACCCAUGUCAUUGCAGUCAUGCUUAAGCCGCCCGAGUUUCAUCUUCAGGGGCAGAAAACGACAAUUUUGCUCCAACAUUAAGACUGCAGAGCCGGCAUCCAUCUUAUCCGAUGAAUGUAUGAUCUCUUUGACCCGGCGAACCCAAUGUGUCGUAGACUCACCCUCCUGUUGUUUACAGUUAGUCAAAUCCACUAUUGACAUAGACUGUCUACAGGUGUCUUUGAAGUUUUGUAUGAACCGGGCCUUCAGCUCAGCCCAAGACCCGAUGGAAUUCGGCGGUAGCCCUUUCAACCAAGUGCGGGCAGUCCCAUCUAGCAUCAUGGUGAAGUACUUGGCCAUCGCCGCUUCACUGACCUCCAGCAGUUCCAUGGCCAUCUCGUAACUUUCGAUCCAGGCUCCGGGUUGUAAGUCAGCCGUGUAAUUAGGCACCUUCCUAGGGCCUUUGAAGUCCUUGGGUAGACGUUCAUUGCGGAGAGCUGGCACUAAACAAGGGACACCUCCAGUCCUCGUAGGGAUACCCACGUCGACGGAAGUCGUCGGAUAAGCCGGGGGAGUCUGGUAAGCCGUCAACUGAGGCACCUGCUCCACCUCUUGCCGCGCUCUGUCUUGGUCCGCUGCGUGAAAGGCUCCGUUAUGAGCCGGGCCAUGGCCAGGGGGCGGGUCAUGGCGUCGGACAUUACUUGAGCCGGUCGCUGAGACCAUGUGUCUGCUGUAACUCGGGCUCCGGCCUGGACGAGGGGUCGAGUGGAUCCUGUCCCGGCUGUAAGAGUAUGCCUCUUGCUGCGCCAGCGCUGUCUGAAGGAGUUCCCUGACCCGGCGGGUUUCAAUAGCCGUUGGAGAGUCGCCGUCAAUUGGGAGGGCCGCCAGCCGUGCUGCUGCGGCGACCAUGUUCUCCAGCGGGUUAGCAUAAUGACCCGGUGGUAUUGGCACAUACUGAGGCGGGGCAGGGCUCACCCGGGGAGGCCCCAUCACUUGUGGCUGAACAGGGGUCCCAGACCCGGGCACUAUGAUCCCUGGCGGGUUACUAGACCCUACACCUGGCGUAUUGAAGAGGUUUCGAGGAUCGUAAACCGGAGGGAGUCGAGAUUGGGCCUUUCGAUGCCUCCUUCUCAUGACCUCAUUGGACGCGUUCUGAUCCAUCGUGAGCCGGAAGGACUGCGCCUGAAUCAACUGAGCUUGGGCGUCGAGAGCCGCCCUCUCCGCAGCCAUCCUGAUCCCUUCCGCUGCCAGAUCCUCUUUGGCUUUCACUAGAUCUAACUUUAACUGCGCCACCUCCGCGUCAUGCUGAGCUUGAUCCACCGGGUCAACCGCGGCGGUCAACAGGGCCGUCAUCUUGUCCGUGAGAUCCAUCAGCACCUGAGCCGGCGAGGGCGCCGGGUUUCCCGCCCCAGCAGCAGGGUUCUGAACAGGCUGCGCACCGGCCAUGAAGAUUCCAACCCGGCUCGGCGUCUCAAACGGGUCCGGAAUACUGUCACCAUCGGAACAACCCAUUAGCCUGCCAUCUUGAAGUUGAUACAACGAGUUUGACUCAUCUGUGGAUGAUUCGCCGUCAGAGUUGGCGGCCGUCUCAUCACCAGAUCCAGAUCCACCAGAGAGCCCUCCAUGGAUACAUCCCACAAAAGCAUGCUUCAAGGCAGGCAGGGCCCGGGCGGGUCGUGCGCGCUGAGCCGUGUCGAUGAGAUCGGCGCAGAGAUCCGGCCCAGGGCCCGGCUCACCAAUCUUGCCAAUGAAAACAUGAAUUCCGCCGAAGGGGACCCGGUAUCCGUACUCAAUUGAGCCGGCGUCGGGGCCCCAGCUUGCAUCGUCGAUGUAGAGCUUGCCGCGACGACUCUUGGUCAUCCGGCCCACAACGUAUCCCUUGAGCCCUUCGAAGCUGCCCUUCAAGAACUCAAAUCCACCGUGCGCUGGCCCCACGGUGGGCGCCAACUGUCGUGGAAUUGUCACGGCAGAUGUCCUCAAGCUAGGACUUAGUCGUGGAGCCAUCGCCGCUAGGAAGCUUGAAGGGGUUAAACGGGUCAAGGAACACGAAGGUUUAUACUGGUUCGGCCCCUUACGGUGAAGGUAAAAGCCUACGUCCAGUUGAGGUGAUAUUGAUUAGGGUUUCGAUGACCAGGGAGCUUAACUGCUAUGCCUGGCUCUCGGCGAGAUCUUUCUUACCCCUAAACCGCUGCCGGGUCGUCUCUUUAUAUAGAGAGGUUGACGCCCAGCAGCUCUCAGAGUCCCGGCCGGCUCAUAAGAGUGUCCGGCUCGGACUCUCAACUGUUCUUGCCUUAUACUACAAGUUCUACCAUAACCACAGUUGUAACUAUGGGCCCUAGCCAUCUCCGGGUCUUAAGCCCAUCUUUGGCCCACCGUCUUCAAGCUUGGCGCCGGGCUUCAGGUGAUGACCCUUAUGAGUAACCCGGCCCCACCGGGCGGGUGACUCUAAGGUUUAUAUCCUCAACACUUUCCCCUCUCCCCGUUUUUCUCCAAGUCCUGAUAUUUUCACAUUAUAUCCUCAUGUUCAUUGCAUCAUAUCUCAUUGCAUACUGCUCCAUUUUGCGUGCAUGAUAUAUCAAAAUGUUCGCCUCGAGAUGCUCUUCAUUUUGUUCCAUUAUGCCAUGUUCAUUUGAGUCCACCUUGAUGCCCAAAUCUCUGGUGCAAGAGUGCUAUAUGCUGUUACCUGCUGCUACUUAUCAGAACUUGAUGUUUUGUUAUUUUUGUUGCAUUUGAUGUGUGCAUCUUAUGGGCAUGAGCUCUACAGGUAUUUUGAUUUAUGCCAUGCCAUCGUUACAGAGGUUUAUGCCAUGUAUUUUUGUGAUCUAUGUGGUGACUAGCACAAGCAUGCAAACUAGGCUUCGUGAUGUUUCUGUUUCCAGGGACUUAGAAAUUUUGCCAAGUCUUUGUCUGCUGUUAUUUUAUUGCUAUGUAUCCCUGUGGCUACAGAGAGAUCCAUACUUAUUUUGAGUAUAUUCAGUAAGGAUGUUUUGUAGAUAUAGUUGUGCUCUAUUCACCCAUGCCCCUGGUUGAAAUUAUGGAGUGCCCUAGCAUAACCAAAACUUGCUCUACUUUUGCUAUAAAAUAUUCCUGGCAGAUUGUUAACAUGAUAUUCAAUUUUGCCAAGGUUGUUGUAGUUGAUCCAUACAUGCUAUAAACUUGCUCUUGCCAUGGUUAGCUUCAUAGACAUGCCAUAUUGCUUUAGGUAUGCUUGUUUUGUCAUGCAUUGCUUUGUGAUGGGUGAGUCAAGCUCACCAAGAUGCCCUCAUAAUUUCUGUUAAUGCCAUGCUCUGUUUUCUGCCAAGUCUGGAACCUGUUAACGAAACUUGCUAUGUUUACAUAGUUGCCAUGAUAUCUUCUGAUCCUUUUUGACUCAUGGUCACUAAGGGACUUUUGUUUUAUGCAUUUAGCAAAUUCAUGUUGUGCCUUGUUUUGCUAUGUUAAGGUCCUGUAGCAUGUUGAUUUCUUGCUCUGAACAUUGCUACCUGAUGCUGUUUAUGCCAUGUCCAGUAUUUUCUCUAAGUCUGCUAUCCUGAUAUCUUUUGCACUUUUGCCAUGCUUGUUUGAACCUGUUAUGUUGUGAUCUAGCCGUAGCUCAGUGUUCAUCUUUUGUCAAGAAUCUCCUGUAGAUUAAUGCCAUAUGCUUUGUUGCUAUGUUGGGGUGCUGUAGCAUAGUUACUUGAUGUAUUCUAAGUGCUAUCAUGCUGUUAAUCGCAGAAUCGUGUCAUUCUUGUUUUGCUUGCCAUUUGCAAACCGUGCAUCCGUUUCCGGUGAUCUUUAUAUCGAUUUCGACCGAAAUCAUCUCAUCUUUCCAGUGGCAUACUUGGUUUGCCAAGUUAAUGCCUUGUUCACCCUUUUUCUUCCGGAGCACGCAUAUGCAUCGCAUACCACAUCUCGCAUAUCAUACAUGUUUUGCAUCAUGUUGGUUGUGCAUUUCCCGUGAUUGAUUGUGGUUCCGUUGCUUGUGUUCUUGUUUUUGGUAGAGCCAGGAGACGAGUUCGUGAACGAGGAACAUGUUGAGUACGCUUACGAGGAUCAAGCUUUCGACAACUCUGAGAACCUUGCAGGCAAGAUGACAAUACCCUCGAAAUCAUUUCUAUCUUUGCUUUGCUAGUUGUUCGCUCUAUUCUGCUAUGCUGCGCUACCUACCACUUGCUAUAUCAUGCCUCCCAUAUUUCCAUGUCAAGCCUCUAGCCAUCCUUUCCUAGCAAACCGUUGUUUGGCUAAGUUACCGCUUUUGCUCAGCCCUUCUUAUAGCGUUGUUAGUUGCAGGUGAAGUUGAAGUUGGUUCCAUGUUGGAACAUGGAUAUUUUUUAAUAUCACAAUAUCUCUUAUUUAAUUAAUGCAUCUAUAUAUUUGGUAAAGGGUGGAAGGCUCGGCCUUAUGCCUGAUGUUUUGUUCCACUCUUGCCGCCCUAGUUUCCGUCAUACCGGUAUUAUGUUCCUUGAGUUUGCGUUCCUUACGCGGUUGGGUCAUUUAUGGGACCCCCUUGAUAGUUCGCCUUGAAUAAAACUCCUCCAGCAAGGCCCAAUCUUGGUUUUACCAUUUUCCACCUAAGCCUUUUCCCUUGGGUUUUCGCGAGCCCGAGGGUCAUCUUUAUUUAACCCCCCGGGCCAGUGCUCCUUCGAGUGUUGGUCCGAACCGAGCAACCUGCGGGGCCACCUCGGGGAAACUCGAGGCCUGGUUUAUUCGUAGCUUGACUUAUCCGGUGUGCCCUGAGAACGAGAUAUGUGCAGCUCCUAUCGGGAUUUGUCGGCGCAUCAGGCGGCUUUGCUGGUCUUGUUUUACCAUUGUCGAAAUGCCUUGUAAACCGGGAUUCCGAGAUUGAGCGGGUCUUCCCGGGAGAAGGUUUAUCCUUCGUUGACCGUGAGAGCUUAUAAUGGGCUAAGUUGGGACAACCCUGUAGGGUAUUAUCUUUCAAAAGCCGUGCCCGCGGUUAUGAGGCAGAUGGGAAUUUGUUAAUGUCCGGUUGUAGAGAACUUGUCACUUGACUUAACUAAAAUACAUCAACUGUGUGUGUAGCCGUGAUGGUCUCUUCUCGGCGGAGUCCGGGAAGUGAACACGGUUUGAGUUAUGCAUGAGCGUAAGUAGUUUCAGGAUCACUUCUUGAUCACUUCUAGUUUCGCGACCAUUGCGUUGCUUCUCUUCUCGCUCUCAUUUGCGUAUGUUAGCCACCAUAUAUGCUUAGUGUCUGCUGCAGCUCCACCUCAUUACACCUUCUUUUCCUAUAAGCUUAAAUAGUCUUGAUCUCGCGGGUGUGAGAUUGCUGAGUCCUCGUGACUCACAGAUUCUACCAAAACAGUUGCAGGUGCCGACGAUGCCAGUGCAGAUGAUGCAACCGAGCUCAAGUGGGAGUUCGACGAAGAACGUGGUCGUUAUUAUGUUUCGUUUCUUGAUGAUCAGUAGUGGAGCCUAGUUGGGUCGAUCGGGGAUCUAGCAUUUGGGGUUAUCUUAUUUUCAUUUGGAUUUGACCGUAGUCGGUCUAUGUGUGGACUUUGGAUGAUGUAUGGAUUAAUUUAUGUAUUGUGUGAAGUGGCGAUUGUAAGCCAACUCUCGUUAUCCCUUUCUUGUUCAUUACAUGGGAUUGUGUGAAGAUAACCCUUCUUGCGACAAUACCACAAUGCGGUUAUGCCUCUAAGUCGUGCCUCGACACGUGGGAGAUAUAGCCGCAUCGUGGGCGUUACAGCAGUGCAUAGACCCCUCUCGCGCGUCCAACAGCUGUCCCGAACCCGACCCGCUCAGUCGUCACUGUUGGAUCCAAAUCAUCUUCCNNNNNNNNNNNNNNNNNNNNNNNNNNNNNNNNNNNNNNNNNNNNNNNNNNNNNNNNNNNNNNNNNNNNNNNNNNNNNNNNNNNNNNNNNNNNNNNNNNNNNNNNNNNNNNNNNNNNNNNNNNNNNNNNNNNNNNNNNNNNNNNNNNNNNNNNNNNNNNNNNNNNNNNNNNNNNNNNNNNNNNNNNNNNNNNNNNNNNNNNNNNNNNNNNNNNNNNNNNNNNNNNNNNNNNNNNNNNNNNNNNNNNNNNNNNNNNNNNNNNNNNNNNNNNNNNNNNNNNNNNNNNNNNNNNNNNNNNNNNNNNNNNNNNNNNNNNNNNNNNNNNNNNNNNNNNNNNNNNNNNNNNNNNNNNNNNNNNNNNNNNNNNNNNNNNNNNNNNNNNNNNNNNNNNNNNNNUAUAUAUAUAUAUAUAUAUAUAUAUAUAUAUAUAUAUAUAUAUAUAUAUAUAUAUAUAUAUAUAUAUAUAUAUAUAUAUAUAUAGACCCUAGUCCAUUUUGGACCAAACCCUAAAUCCUAGGACAUUUGUCCCCCCAGCCGCCACCACUGUCUUCCUCGGGAUCUCAUCCCGAUCCAAUCCACCAACCACGUCGCGCCCCUGAUCCAAAAUUCCUCUCGGUCUCCCCACCCAUCCACCUCGAGCACCCGUAGGUGCCUCCGUCCUCUCGCCACCGGAGCCCCGAGCUGCCACUGCGUCGUCCUUCGUCCUCGCAGCUGUCUUCACCUAUAACCACAGAAGCUUCCCGCGCCAUGGCUGCAGCCCGAGUCCUCCUGCCUCGCUCGAUCUGGACCAGGAGGGUCCCGAGCAUCUCCACCGUCGCCGUCUCAGUUGAGCGCCGCCCUGGUUCCCUUUCUCUCCUUCCUCCGGUCCCCUCAUCUCAUCUCUCUCUCUUUUGUGUUGCGACGCCGCUGUUUCUACAGAGCCACUGCCGCCAUGGAGCUCCAACUCCGGCCACCUCAUCUCCGUGGUGAUCUGACACCUCGGGUUCCGUCCGACCGCCGGCGUCCCAUCCUCGCCUCUGCUUCGAACACACGCGCGCGCCUGCCUCCCUCGUCUCGCAAGCCUCGUCGUGGGUCAACCGCGUCCGCCUCCAUGGGCUUCCUCAUGGAGCACCACCACCGCAUCUCCUCGGAUCCGUCGGGUCCCGACCAUCCCCGUCGUUGCUAGAAUUCUCAGCUCGCCGGAGCCCCAUGACCCUGCGCCAAGUCCCUCUGCUGCUCCCCUGCUUCGCGCCUGCUGCCUCCCGCAUCGGGCGAGGGGACGAACUCCUCCUCGGCCAGCUGCAUCAUCCGCCUGCGUUAACCGCGCCUGCGCCACGUCAGCCUAUGGGCCCCACCUUCCUGCCGCGUCCGCAGCCUGCCUCCUCUCCAGCGUCGGGCCUAAGUCCCACGUCGCCGGCAGCCGUUCCCGCCGUCCGUCGUCGUGAACCUGCUGCUGCUGUCUCUGUUCUUCAGUAACGAGAAGGAGCAGCUCGCUCGCCUCGCUCGCGUUGACCGACACUGCCUCGCUGACCCGCUCGCUCGCCAGCCGCAGCAACCGCGUCCUGGGCCUCAAGCCAGGAGCAGCCCAGGGACCGGCCUCCUCCAGCCCUUUGCAUCGAACGGGCUUUGGCCAUGGUGAGAACCCCAGCCCAGCACCCAGCAGUUUCAGCCUAGUGUUGUUUUCUUUCCCGUCUGCGAAUUUGUCUAAUUUUCCAGAGAUGACAGAUUUGCAGAAUAACCCUCAUGUUCAUGCAUUUAAUAUUUAACAAACCAUGCAUCGGAUUAAAACAACUUAUAUAUGCAAAAUGCUUAGUUUUUCAUCUAGUUUCAUAAUCUGCUACUUUCAUCUAUGUUAAAAAUGUUUAACAUGCUGCUUGUGUUUAUUUUGCAUAAUGUCAUGCUAAAAUGAUUUAUUUCAUAACCAAAUAACCGCAGCUCCAAAUUUAAUAAACUUUAUAUGCAAAUGGGGUAGCAAAAUGCAUAGUUUAACAUGGUGCCAUCACUUUGCAUGUUUAACAACUCUAAAAUAUGGUUUAGGGCAGAACAGUACCAAAUUCAUAAUAUGGACAUGAGGAUUUUUCGGAAUUGUUGUUUGUUGUUCCGGCCUCAUUUAAACUUGCAUAGAUAAGUAGUUUUCAUAUGCUUCACCCCUUGCCAUGUUUAAUAAAAUUUAAUAUUGUUGGGUACAUAAACGAGAGAGAACUAAAUAAUUGAUGUGGUGUUUCAUCAAUAUGCAACUCAUUGCAUAUUGAGCUCCACUUAAUUUGUAGUAUUGUUUGUGCACUUUGCCAUGCCAUGCCUCAUUAAACCGGACAUGCAUCAUGCUUGAUUGUGCAUCAUGCCAUGUUUAUGUGAUGGUUGUUUACCAUGAUGUUUCCUUCUUUCCGGUUUGCUUCUCUCAUUAGCUUCGGUUUCGUUUUGGAGUUCUGAGGAUUUGCUCGACUACGUCCGUUUGUCUUCUUCAUGGACUCGUUCUUCUUCCUUGCGGGAUCUCAGGCAAGAUGACCAUUAUCCUCGAUAUCACUUCUAUCUUUGCUUGCUAGUUGUUCGCUCUAUCGCUAUGUCGCGCUACCUACCACUUGUUCAUCAUGCCUCCCCUAUUGCCAUGUCAAGCCUCUAACCCACCUUCCUAGCAAACCGUUGUUUAGCUAUGCUACAGUUUUUGCUCAGCCCCUCUUAUAGCGUUGUUAGUUGUAGGUGAAGUUGAAGAUUGCUCCAUGUUGGAACAUGUUUAUGUUGGGAUAUCACAAUAUCUCUUAUUUUAAUUAAUGCAUCUAUAUACUUGGUAAAGGGUGGAAGGCUCGGCCUUAUGCCUGGUGUUUUGUUCCACUCUUGCCGCCCUAGUGUCCGUCAUACCGGUGUUAUGUUCCUUGAUUUUGCGUUCCUUACGCGGUUGGGGUUAUGUGACCCCCUUGACAGUUCGCUUUGGAUAAAACUCCUCCAGCAAGGCCCAACCUUGGUUUUAACAUUUGCCACCUAAGCCUUUUUCCCUUGGGUUCUGCAGACUCAAGGGUCAUCUUUAUUUUAACCCCCCCGGGCCAAUGGUCCUCUGAGUGUUGGUCCAAACUAGAGCCCUUUGCAGCGCCACCUCGGGGAAACUUGAGGUCUGGUUUUAGUUGUACGGAUUGCUCAUCCAGUGUGCCCUGAGAACGAGAUAUGUGCAGCUCCUAUCGGGAUUUGUCGGCACAUUCGGGUGGUCUUGCUGGACUUGUUUUACCAUUGUCAAAAUGUCUUGUAACCGGGAUUCCGAGUCUGAUCGGGUCUUCCCGGGAGAAGGAAUAUCCUUUGUUGAUCGUGAGAGCUUGUGAUGGGCUAAGUUGGGACACCCCUGCAGGGUAUAAACUUUCGAAAGCCGUGCCCGCGGUUAUGUGGCAGAUGGGAAUUUCUUAAUGUCUGGUUGUAGAGAACUUGACACUUGACUUAAUUAAAAUGCAUCAACCGCGUGUGUAGCCGUGAUGGUCUCUUUUCGGCGGAGUCCGGGAAGUGAACACGGUUUUGGGUUAUGUUUGGACGUAAGUAGUUUCAGGAUCACUUCUUGAUGACUUCUAGCUUCUCGACCAUUGCGUUGCUUCUCUUCUCGCUCUUAUUUGCGUACGUUAGCCACCAUAUUUGCUUAGUGCUUGCUGCAGCUCCACCUCAUUACCCUAUCCUACCCAUAAGCUUAAAUAGACUUGAUCUCGUGGGUGUGAGAUUGUUGAGUCCUCGUGACUCACCAGAUACUAUCACAACAGUUGCGGGUGCCGAUGAAACCAGUGCAGGUGACGCAACCGAGCUCAAGUGGGAGUUUGAUGAGGACCUUGGUCGUGACUACGUUUCGUUUCCUGAUGAUCAGUAGUGGUACCCAGUUGGGACGAUCGGGGAUCUAGCAUUUGGGGUUGUCUUCCUUUUCAUUUGUAAUCGUCCGUAGUCGGACUAUGUGUGUACUCUGAUUGAUGUAUGAUCAAUUUAAGUAUUGUGUGAAGUGGCGAUUGUAAGCCAACUCUCUUUAUCCCAGUCUUGUUCAUUACAUGGGAUUGUGUGAAGAUGACCCUUCUUGCGACAAAACCUACAAUGCGGUUAUGCCUCUAAGUCGUGCCUCGACACGUGGGAGAUAUAGCCGCAUCGUGGGUGUUACAAGUUGGUAAUCAGAGCCAUCCCCGACUUAGGAGCCCCCUGCUUGAUCGAAUCGCUGACGUUGUUGAGUCUAGAACAAAAAUGUUUUGAGUCUUAGGAUUAUAUAUAUCGGAGAGUAGGAUUCUUUUUACUCCUCAGUCCCCUCAUCGCUCUGGUGAGGUCUCUUGACGUAGAUGUUUUGACUUUCCUCUCCUCAAAUUUCACUAAUUUUUUUAGGAUCACAUGGGUAACUUGGGAUCGUUCCGAUAUUCUUGUGACGAGAACAUUGUUCUUGGUGCCUCCUGACAUUUAGGUGUUGUGGCAGUGUCCCGGGGAGUUGACCUCCGAGGUGUUGUCGUCACAAUUUUAUCGUUGCAGUUCUAGAAUACCUGAGUUUCACCGACAUCGAAAAUCUCUUUUAUGCAGUUUUUGGUGAGAUAACCUCGACGCCACCCAGUACUGGGGCGGGAGUUCGGGAGUAUUGUCAUAACUCAUAUAACGGAUGCUUUUCGAAGUUUGAGGUACACGAUUUCCGAAGGUUUCUUGGUUAUGUGUUGACGGAUGGAUACAGCUGGAUGUAGGGAUUGUUAGUUUGGGUGAGAUAUUAUGCUUUCCCUGUAUCCCCAACACCAGAUUGCAUAAUCAGAAAGUUUCGAGAGUUAAUAGGUGGGAAUUCAAGUAGCUCCUAGAAUAUCUUUUCGAUGGAUGUAUGAUUUGAGAUUGGGGUCCAACGUCUAGUGGUUCGCUUUUCACGGUCGAUUUACAGUGGUCGCGAGGCAUCUUAAAGAAUCCUUGGCUAUACCGAUUCGGGGACGUCUUGUUUGUCAUUCGUGACGUUGAUAUGUCUCCAACGUAUCUAUAAUUUUUUAUUGUUCCAUGCUAUUAUAUUAUCUAUUUUGGAUAUUUAUGGGCUUUAUUAAACACUUUUAUAUUAUUUUGGGACUAACCUAUUAACCCAGAGCCCAGUGCCAGUUUCUGUUUUUUCCCUUGUUUUAGUGUUUCGCGGAAAAGGAGUAUCAAACGGAGUCCAAGCGGAAUGAAGCCUUCGGAAAAGUUAUUUUUGGAAAGAAAGAAACACGGGAGACUUGGAGUGCACGUCAGGAAAGCAACGAGGGAGGCACGAGGCAGGGGGGCGCGCCCACCCCCCUGGGCGCGCCCUCCACCCUCGUGGGCCCCUCGUGGCCCCCCCUGACGUAUUUCUUCCUCCUAUAUAUACCAAUAUAUCCUAAAACCUUCGGGGAGCAGAAUAGAUCGGGAGUUCCGCCACUGCAAGCCUCUGUAGGCACCAAAAACCAAUCGGGACCCUGUUCCGGCACCCUGCCGGAGGGGGAUCCCUCAUCGGUGGCCAUCUUCAUCAUCCUGGCGCUCUCCAUGACGACGAGGGAGUAGUUCACCCUCGGGGCUGAGGGUAUGUACCAGUAGCUAUGUGUUUGAUCUCUCUCUCUCUCGUGUUCUUGAGGUGAUACGAUCUUGAUGUAUCGCGAGCUUUGUUAUUAUAGUUGGAUCUUAUGAUGUUUCUCCCCCUCUACUCUCUUGUAAUGGAUUGAGUUUUCCCUUUGAAGCUAUCUUAUCGGAUUGAGUCUUUAAUGAUUUGAGAACACUUGAUGUAUGUCUUGCGUGGGAUAACCGUGGUGACAAUGGGUUAUUCUACUGAUUCACUUGAUGUAUGUUUGGUGAUCAACUUGCGGGUUCCACCCAUGAACCUAUGCAUAGGGGUUGGCACACGUUUUCGUCUUGAUUCUCCGGUAGAAACUUUGGGGCACUCUUUGAGGUUCUAUGUGUUGGAUGAAUAGAUGAAUCUGAGAUUGUGUGAUGCAUAUCGUAUAAUCAUACCCAUGGAUACUUGAGGUGACAUUGGAGUAUCUAGGUGACAUUAGGGUUUUGGUUGAUGUGUGUCUUAAGGUGUUAUUUUACUAUGAACUCUAGGGCUGUUUGUGACACUUAUAGGAAUAGCCCAAUGGAUUGAUCAGAAAGAAUAACUUUGAGGUGGUUUCGUAUCCUACCAUAAUCUCUUCGUUUGUUCUCCGCUAUUGGUGACUUUGGAGUGACUCUUUGUUGCAUGUUGAGGGAUAGUUAUAUGAUCCAAUUAUGUUAUUAUUGUUGAGAGAACUUGCACUAGUGAAAGUAUGAACCCUAGGCCUUGUUUCCUAGCAUUGCAAUACCGUUUACGCUCACUUUUAUCGCUUGUUACCUUGCUGUUUUUAUAUUUUCAGAUUACAAAAACCUAUAUCUACCAUCUAUAUUGCACUUGUAUCACCAUCUCUUCGCCGAACUAGUGCACCUAUACAAUUUACCAUUGUAUUGGGUGUGGGGACACAAGAGACUCUUUGUUAUUUGGUUGCAGGGUUGUUUGAGAGAGACCAUCUUCAUUCUACGCCUCCCACGGAUUGAUAAACCUUAGGUCAUCCACUUGAGGGAAAUUUGCUACUGUCCUACAAACCUCUGCACUUGGAGGCCCAACAACGUCUACAAGAAGAAGGUUGUGUAGUAGACAUCAGACAUCCGCUGUACGUCGUGCCCGUGGGGCCUCAUCACGAACACUUUGGGCGAAAUCUCUAUCCUAUGUUUGUUUCCGGCUUAUUCUGCGAGCCAAAUCCUUUGUUUUGUUUUGAGUUGUGGUAUUCGAGUUGCUUCAAUGUCAAGUGUGAUUCCAUAUUUUUUCUAAGCGGUGUUCUCAUAUUUCUAUGGGAGUGUUAAUCCUUCUUAAUUAUCGAGAUUGUCGUCCCAAUUCUAUUUCCAACCGGUGCGCUUCUCUUCGAGAAGAUCCCAUCAUUCUCCCCACCCGCAAGAUCAAUUCUAAGUUUUCUCAACAGUGUUUGUUCCAUUUCAUCCCCAAGUUGCCUUUGUUUUUCCCGCCCUCCCACCCUUUUUCUUCAAGGACUCAAAUUUCUUAAUCAAGUAUCCAUCUUAUGGAUGUGAAGUCUCUUCAUUCUUUUCUUUCAAUGUUCUUAUCCGGUGAUUUCCCAUGAAGAUGGUUAGGAGUUUCAAGUUCAUCAUUCUUCGUUCUUUUUUCUUCUCCGGUGGAUUCAAGUCAAGUUUUCGGUGUUUAUCAUAUUCCCUUCCUCGUUUCAAAUGUUUUCUCAUGCCGGUGCACCUCUUAAUCAUCCACCUCUUGCUAUUCAUGUUUAUCUGGAGUGCUGAAGAUAUCCCAGAAGAUUCAUGUUUCUAUUCGUAAUCCUUUGAAGCUAUUUCAAGGUCUUACCUUAUUCAAGCCAUUUAAUUCAAUCGGCGAAAUCUCUCUUUUAAAUCGUUCAACGGCGUUUCUUUUGAGUGGGCCCUAACCCACAGGUCUUUUCCAGGAUCUUACCUGACUCUUCUAAUUCUUCUCGGAGCUAUUCCCAAAUUCAUUUCAAAGUUUGACGUAAGAAUGAGUUAUCAUCAGUCAAAUGUCUUUCUCCAAGAUCUUUCAAAUUCUUUUCAUCGUUCGUUCAAUCUUUCUAAUUUUCAUUCCGGAGUGCCUCAACAAUUCAUAGUGGUGUCUCUUGUCGUCAUUCUCUCCAUUUGAAAACUGAAGAAGAUUUUCUCUUAAAUCUUGCUCCGUUCUCUUAAAGAUGCGUAGUUCAAGCUUGAUGCCGUCCUCUCAUAAUUGUUUUUCGAUUGUGAGAAUUCUUUUCACCCAUCCGGUGCAAUUCAGGAGUAUUUUCAGUUUGAUUCUCCGGAGCCCAUCAUCUCAGAAUUAUUCAUUCCAGCUUUCAGCUCUUGUUCCCCAAAUCUUACCGUUCCAUCAUUCAAAUAUCCUCUAAUCAGUUCACGAUCUCUUCGCUCUCAUGUAUCUAAAUCCCCUCAAGUAUCUUCUUUCGUUUUCUAAUUCUUCCCGGUGAAUUGUGCCCUUGCUACUUUCAUUUUCAAUUCUUACGGUGGUUCGUUCAAGAUUUGUCUUCCUUCAUUAUCAUAUCAAUUUAUUCGUUGUUUCAAUCCUACCGGUGGUUCGUUGAAGAUCUUCCCAAGUUGAGCUAUAUCUCUCUUAAUCCUUUCUAUGAGAAUAAGUAGUAUGCCAAAUCCGUUGCUUGUCAUCAAUUUAAAUUGGUGAAGGAUACGCAUAAUGUAAUUCUUAUUAUUGUUUCAUCCAAGUGAUCUAGUUUCUUCUUUCCAGAGUUGUUCAUCAUGUCACAUUUCUUGAUUCGAGACGCUUCAUCUUUUCUUUUCCGGAGUUCCAAGUUUUCUGCUUUAUCUCGUCGCGAAGCUCCAUCAAAAUCAUCGCAAGGCUUCACCUUGUGCUCUCAACUUCUCUUUAUUUUUAUCAUCCUUUCAUUACCAGAGUUCUUCAUGGAGGCUCUAAUGUUGGAAAUAUGCCCUAGAGGCAAUAAUAAAAUGGUUAUUAUUGUAUUUCUUUGUUCAUGAUAAUUGUCUAUUGUUCAUGCUAUAAUUGUAUUAACUGGAAACCGUAAUACAUGUGUGAAUACAUAGACCACAACAUGUCCCUAGUAAGCCUCUAGUUGACUAGCUCGUUGAUCAAUAGAUGGUUAUGGUUUCCUGACCAUGGACAUUGGAUGUCAUUGAUAACGGGAUCACAUCAUUAGGAGAAUGAUGUGAUGGACAAGACCCAAUCCUAAGCAUAGCACAAGAUCGUGUAGUUCGUUUGCUAAGAGCUUUCCUAAUGUCAAGUAUCGUUUCCUUAGACCAUGAGAUUGUGCAGCUCCCGGAUACCGUAGGAAUGCUUUGGGUGUACCAAACUUCACAACGUAACUGGGUGGCUAUAAAGGUGCACUACAGGUAUCUCCGAAAGUGUCUGUUGGGUUGGGACGAAUCAAGACUGGGAUUUGUCACUCCGUAUGAUGGAGAGGUAUCUCUGGGCCCACUCGGUAAUGCAUCAUCAUAAUGAGGUCAAUGUGACUAAUGAGUUAGCCACAGUAUCAUGCGUUACGGAACGAGUAAAGAGACUUGCCGGUAACAAGAUUGAACGAGGUAUGGGGAUACCGACGAUCGAAUCUCGGGCAAGUAACAUACGGAUAGACAAAGGGAAUUGAAUACGGGAUUGAUUGAAUCCCCGACAUCGUGGUUCAUCCGAUGAGAUCAUCGUGGAACAUGUGGGAGCCAAUAUGGGUAUCCAGAUCCCGCUAUUGGUUAUUGGCCGGAGAGGUGUCUCGGUCAUGUCUGCAUGGUUCCCGAACCUGUAGGGUCGACACACUUAAGGUUCGGUGACGCUAGAGUUAUUAUGGGAAAUAGUAUGUGGUUACUGAAGGUUGUUCGGAGUCCCGGAUGAGAUCCCGGACAUGACGAGGAGCUCCGGAAUGGUCCAGAGGUGAAGAUCGGUAUAUUGGACGAAGGGUAUUGUGUUAGAAAUAUGCCCUAGAGGCAAUAAUAAAUUGGUUAUUAUUAUAUUUCCUUGUUCAUGAUAAUCGUUUAUUAUCCAUGCUAGAAUUGUAUUGAUAGGAAACUCAGAUACAUGUGUGGAUACAUAGACAACACCAUGUCCCUAGUAAGCCUCUAGUUGACUAGCUCGUUGAUCAAUAGAUGGUUACGGUUUCCUGACCAUGGACAUUGGAUAUCGUUGAUAACGGGAUCACAUCAUUAGGACAAUGAUGUGAUGGACAAGACCCAAUCCUAAGCCUAGCACAAGAUCGUGUAGUUCGUUUGCUAAGAGCUUUUCUAAUGUCAAGUAUCAUUUCCUUAGACCAUGAGAUUGUGCAACUCCCGGAUACCGUAGGAAUGCUUUGGGUGUACCAAACGUCACAACGUAACUGGGUGUCUAUAAAGGUGCACUACAGGUAUCUCCGAAAGUGUCUGUUGGGUUGGCACGAAUCGAGACUGGGAUUUGUCACUCCAUGUAAACGGAGAGGUAUCUCUGGGCCUACUCGGUAGGACAUCAUCAUAAUGUGCACAAUGUGACCAAGGAGUUGAUCACGGGAUGAUGUGAGUUACGGAACGAGUAAAGAGACUUGCCGGUAACGAGAUUGAACAAGGUAUCGGGAUACCGACGAUCGAAUCUCGGGCAAGUACCAUACCGAUUGACAAAGGGAAUUGGAUACGGGAUUGAUUGAAUCCUCGACAUCGUGGUUCAUCCGAUGAGAUCAUCGAGGAGCAUGUGGGAGCCAACAUGGGUAUCCAGAUCCCGCUGUUGGUUAUUGACCGGAGAGUCGUCUCGGUCAUGUCUGCAUGUCUCCCGAACCCGUAGGGUCUACACACUUAAGGUUCGGUGACGCUAGGGUUAUAGAGAUAUUAGUAUGCGGUAACCCGAAAGUUGUUCGGAGUCCCGGAUGAGAUCCCGGACGUCACGAGGAGUUCCGGAAUGGUCCGGAUGUAAAGAUUUAUAUAUGGGAAGUCUUAUUUUGGUCGCCGGAAAAGUUUCGCACUUUAUCGGUAUUGUACCGGGAGUGCCGAAAGGGGUCCGGGGGUCCACCAAGGGGGUCCACCAGCCCCGGGGGGCCACAUGGGCUGUAGGGGGUGCGCCUUGGCCUAUAUGGGCCAAGGGCACCAGCCCCAAGAGGCCCAUGCGCCAAGAGAUAAGGGAAAGGGAGAGUCCUAAGGGGGGAAGGCACCUCCGAGGUGCCUUGGGGAGGAUGGACUCCUCCCUGGCCGCACCCUUCCUUGGAGGAAGGGCCAAGGCUGCGCCCCCCUCUCCCUUGGCCCUAUAUAUAGUGGGGGGAGGGAGGGAAGCAAUAUCUAAGCCCUGGCGCCUCCCUCUCCCUCCCGUGACACCUCUUCCUCCCCGCUUGCGCUUGGCGAAGCCCUGCCGGGAUCCCGCUACUUCCACCACCACGCCGUCGUGCUGCUGGAUCUCCAUCAACCUCUCCUCCCCCCUUGCUGGAUCAAGAAGGAGGAGAUGUCGCUGCUCCGUACGUGUGUUGAACGCGGAGGUGCCGUCCGUUCGGCGCUAGGAUCAUCGGUGAUUUGGAUCAUGACGAGUACGACUCCAUCAACCCCGUUCUCUUGAACGCUUCCGCUCGCGAUCUACAAUGGUAUGUAGAUGCACUCCCCUUCCCCUCGUUGAUAGAUUACUCCAUAGAUUGAUCUUGGUGAUGCGUAGAAAAUUUUGAAUUUCUGCUACGUUCCCCAACAUAUUGGAGUCCGGAAUUGUUCCGGGGGUACCAGGCUAUGGCCAGCAUGUCCGAAAGGGGUUUCGGAGGCCCCGGCAAGCGUUGGGGGGCCUUAUGGGCCAAGGGGAAGGGGCAAAUAAGCCCACUAAGGGGCUGUGCGCCCCUUCCAACCCCUCUGACGUAACCAGGAGAGGUGGGGGCGCCACCCCUAGGGCAGCCGCCCCUCCCUGCUUGGGGGGCAAGUUUCCUAGGGGGUGGGGGAGCCCAAACCCAUCUAGGGUUUCCCCUGGCCGCCUCCUCCUCCUCUAGAUCCAUCUAGAGGGGCCAGCCCCCUCUCCCCUUCCCCCUAUAUAUAGUGAGGGGGUGGGAGGGCAGCCAUACCCUUCCCUUGGCGUAGCCCUCACCUCCUCGAACUCCUCCUCCUCCUCCGUAGUGCUUAGCCAAGCUCUGCCGGAGAACCACGAGCUCCAUUGCCACCACGCCGUCGUGCUGCUGGAGUUCUCCCUCAAAUUCUCCUCUCCCCUUGCUGGAUCAAGAAGGAGGAGACGUCCCCGGGCUGUACGUGUGUUGAACGCGGAGGCGCCAUCCGUUCGGCGCUAGAUCGGAUCUUCCGCGAUUUGAAUCGCCACGAGUACGACUCCAUCAACCGCGUUCUUGUAACGCUUCCGCUUAGCGAUCUUCAAGGGUAUGAAGAUGCACUCCCCCUCUCUCGUUGCUAGCAUCUCCUAGAUUGAUCUUGGUGACACGUAGGAAAAUUUUGAAUUAUUACUACGUUCCCCAACAGUGGUAUCAGAGGCAGAUUUAUGCGUAGAUUCUAUGCACGAGUAGAACACAAAGUAGUUGUGGGCGAUGAUUUGUUCAAUUUGCUUACCAUUACUAGUCUUAUCUUGAUUCGGCGGCAUUGUGGGAUGAAGCGGCCCGGACCGACCUUACACGUACACUUACGUGAGACAGGUUCCACCGACUGACAUGCACUUGAUGCAUAAGGUGGCUAGCGGGUGUCUGUCUCUCCCACUUUAGUCGGAUCGGAUUCAAUGAAGAGGGUCCUUAUGAAGGGUCAAUAGCAAUUGGCAUAUCACCGUUGUGGCUUUUGCGUAGGUAAGAAACGCUCUUGCUAGAAACCCAUAGCAGCCACGUAAAACAUGCAACAACAAUUAGAGGACGUCUAACUUGUUUUUGCAGGGUAUGCUAUGUGAUGUGAUAUGGCCAAAAGGAUGUGAUGAAUGAUAUAUGUGAUGUAUGAGAUUGAUCAUGUUCUUGUAAUAGGAGUCACAACUUGCAUGUCGAUGAGUAUGACAACCGGCAGGAGCCAUAGGAGUUGUCUUAAUUUAUUGUAUGACCUGCGUGUCAAUGAAAAACGCCAUGUAAUUACUUUACUUUAUUGCUAACCGUUAGCCAUAGUAGUAGAAGUAAUAGUUGGCGAGACAACUUCAUGAAGACACGAUGAUGGAGAUCAUGGUGUCAUGCCGGUGACGAAGGUGAUCAUGCCGCGCCUCGAAGAUGGAGAUCAAAGGCGCAAGAUGAUAUUGGCCAUAUCAUGUCACUUUAUGAUUUGCAUGUGAUGUUUGUCAUGUUUACAUCUUAUUUGCUUAGAACGACUGUAGCAUAAAUAAGAUGAUCCCUCACUAAAAUUUCAAGAGAUGUGUUCCCCCUAACUGUGCACCGUUGCGAAGGUUCGUUGUUUCGAAGCACCACAUGAUGAUCGGGUGUGAUAGAUUCUAACGUUCGCAUACAACGGGUGUAAGCCAGAUUUACACAUGCGAAACACUUAGGUUGACUUGACGAGCCUAGCAUGUACAGACAUGGCCUCGGAACACAAGAGACCGAAAGGUCGAACAUGAGUCAUAUAGUAGAUACGAUCAACAUGAAGAUGUUCACCGAUGAUGACUAGUUCGUCUCACGUGAUAAUCGGACACGGCCUAGUUGACUCGGAUCAUGUAUCACUUAGAUGACUAGAGGGAUGUCUAUAUAAGUGGGAGUUCAUUAAAUAAUUUGAUUAGAUGAACUUAAUUAUCAUGAACAUAGUCAAAAGGUCUUUGGAAAUUAUGUCGUAGCUUACGCUUUAGUUCUACUAAGAUAUGUUCCUAGAGAAAAUUUAGUUGAAAGUUGAUAGUAGCAAUUAUGUGGACUGGGUCCGUAAACUGAGGAUUGUCCUCAUUGCUGCACACAAGGCUUAUGUCCUUAAUGCACCGCUCGGUGUGCUGAACCUCGAGCGUCGUUUGUGGAUGUUGCGAACAUCUGACAUACACGUUUUGAUGACUACAUGAUAGUUCAGUGCGUAAUGUUAAACGGUUUAGAAUUGAGGCACCGAAGACAUUUUGAAACGUCGCGGAACAUAUGAGAUGUUCCAAGAGCUGAAAUUGGGAUUUUAGGAUCGUGCCCACGUCAAGAGGUGCGAGACCUCCGACAAGUUUCUUAAGCCUACAAACUAAGGGAGAAAAGCUCAAUCGUUGAGCAUGUACUCGGAUUGUCUGAGUACUACAAUCGCUUGAAUCGAGUGGGAGUUGUCUUCCAGAUGAGAUGGUGAUGGUUCUCCAAAGUCACUGCCACCAAGCUACUAGAGCUUCGUGAUGAACUAUAACAUAUCAGGGAUAGAUAUGAUGAUCCUUGAGCUAUUCGCGAUGUUUGACACCGCGAAAGUAGAAAUCAAGUAGGAGCGUCAAUUGUUGAUGGUUAGUAAAACCACUAGUUUCAAGAAGGGCAAGGGCAACAAGGGAUACUUCAUGAAACGGCAAAUCAGUUGCUGCUCUAGUGAAGAAACCCAAGGUAGAACCAAAACCCGAGACUAAGUGCUUCUGUAAUGAGGGGAACGGUCACUGAAGCAGAACUACCCUAGAUACUUGGUAGAUGAGAAGGCAGGCAAGGUCGACAGAAGUAUAUUGGAUAUACAUUAUAUUAAUGUGUACUUUACUAGUACUCCUUGUAGCACCAGGGUAUUAGAUACCGGUUCGGUUGCUAAGUGUUGGUAACUCGAAAUAAAAAGCUACGGAAUAAACGGAGACUACCUAAAGGUGAGAUGACGAUAUGUGUUUGAAGUGUUUCCAAGGUUGAUGUGAUCAAGCAUCGCAUGCUCCCUCUACCAUCGAGAUUGGUGUUAAACCUAAAUGAUUGUUAUUUGGUGUUUGCGUUGAGCAUAGACAUGAUUGGAUUAUGUUUAUCGCAAUACGGUUAUUCAUUUAAGGAGAAUAAUGGUUACUCUGUCUAUUUGAAUAAUACCUUCAAUGGUCUUGCACCUAAAAUGAAUGGUUUAUUGAAUCUCGAUCGUAGUGAUACACAUGUUCAUGCCAAAAGAUAUAAGAUAGUAAUGAUAGUACCACAUACUUGUGGCACUGCCACUUGAGUCAUAUUGGUAUAAAACGCAUGAAGAAGCUCCAUGUUGAUGGAUCUUUGGACUCACUCGUUUUUGAAAAGAUUGAGACAUGCGAACCAUGUCUAUUAGUAUAUAUGCAUGAAGAAAGUCCAUACAGAUGGAUCGUUUGGACUCACUUGAUUUUGAAUCACUUGAGACAUGCAAAUCAUACCACAUGGGCAAGAUGACUGAAAGGCCUCGUUUUCAGUAAGAUGGAACAAGAAAGCAACUUGUUGGAAGUAAUACAUUUUGAUGUGUGCAGUCCAAUGAGUGCUGAGGCAUGCAGUGGAUAUCGUUAUGUUCUUACUUCACAGAUGAUUUGAGUAGAUGCUGAGUAUAUUUACUUGAUGAAACACAAGUCUGAAUUAUUGAAAGGUUCAAGUAAUUUCAGAGUGAAGUUGAAGAUCGUCGUGACAAGAGGACAAAAUGUCUGUGAUAUGAUCAUAGAGAUGAAUAUCUGAGUUACGAGUUUGGCACACAAUUAAGACAUUGUGGAAAUUGUUUCACAACUAAUACCGCCUGGAACACCAUAGUGUGAUGGUGUGUCCGAACAUCAUAACUGCACCCUAUUGGAUAUGGUGCAUACCAUGAUGUCUCUUAUCGAAUUACCACUAUCGUUUAUGGGUUAUGCAUUAGAGACAACCGCAUUCACUUUAAAUAGGGCACCACACAAUUCCGUUGAGACGACACCGCAUGAACUAUGGUUUAGAGAAACCUAAGCUGUCGUUUCUUAAAAGUUUGGGGCUGCGACGCUUAUGUAAAAAAGUUUCAGGCUGAUAAGCUCGAACCCAAAGCGGAUAAAUGCAUCUUCAUAGAAUACCCAAAACAGUUGGGUAUACCUCCUAUUUCAGAUCUGGAAGCAAAAGUGAUUGUUUCUAGAAACGGGUCCUUUCUCGAGGAAAAGUUUCUCUCGAAAGAAUAGAGUGGGAGGAUGGUGGAGACUUGAUGAGGUUAUUGAAUCGUCACUUCAACUAGUGUGUAGCAGGGCACAAGAAGUUGUUCCUAUGGCACCUACACCAAUUGAAGUGGAAGCUUAUGAUAGUGAUCAUGAAACUUCGGAUCAAGUCACUACCAAACCUCGUAGGACGACAAGGAUGCGUACUACUUCAGAGUGGUACAUAAUCCUGUCUUGGAAGUCAUGUUGCUAGACAACAAUGAACCUACGAGCUAUGAAGAAGCGAUGGUGGGCCCGGAUUCCGAUGAAUGGCUCGAGGCCAUAAAAUCCGAGAGAGGAUCCAUGUAUAAAAACAAAGUAUAGACUUUGGAAGAACUACUUGAUGGUCGUAAGGCUGUUGGGUGUAGAUGGAUUUUAAAAGGAAGACAGACAAUGAUGGUAAGUGUCACCAUUAAGAAAGCUCGACUUGUCGUUAAGAUGUUUUCCGACAAGUUCAAGGAGUUGACUGCGAUGAGACUUUCUCACUCGUAGCGAUGCUAAGAGUCUGUUGGAAUAUAUUAGCAGUUACUGCAUUAUUUAUGAAAUCUUGCAGAUAGGAUGUCAAAACAUUGUUCCUCGAUGAUUUUCUUGAGGAAAGGUUGUAUGUGAUACAACCAGAAGGUUUUGUCAAUCCUGAAAGAUGCUAACAAGUAUGCAAAGCUCCAGCAAUCCUUCUAAGGACUGGAGUAAGCAUCUCGGAGCUGGAAUGUACGCUUUGAUGAGAUGAUCAAAGAUUUUGUGUUUUUACAAAGUUUAUGAGAAACUUGUAUUUCCAAAGAAGUGAGUGGGAGCACUAUAGAAUUUUUGAUGAGUAUAUGUUGUUAACAUAUUGUUGAUCAGAAAUGAUGUAGAAUUUCUGGAAAGCAUACAGGGUUAUUUGAAAAGUGUUUUUCAAUGGAAAACCUGGAUUAAGCUACUUGAACAUUGAGCAUCAAGAUCUAUAAGGAUAGAUCAAAAACGCUUAAUAGUACUUUCAAAUGAAUACAUACCAUGACAAGAUUUUGAAGGAUUUCAAAAUAGAUCAGCAAAGAAGGAGUUCUUGGCUGUGUUACUAGGUGUGAGUAUUGAGUAAGACUCAAGACCUGACCACGGCAGAAGAGAGAGAAAGGACGAAGGUCGUCCCCUAUGCUUUAGACGUAGGCUCUACAGUAUGCUAUGCUGUGUACCGCACCUGAAGUGUGCCUUGCCAUGAGUUAGUCAAGGGGUACAAUAGUGAUCCAGGAAUGGAUCACAUGACAGCGGUCGAACUUAUCCUUAGUAACUAGUGGACUAAGGAAUUUUCUCGAUUAUGGAGGUGGUAAAAGAGUUCGUCGUAAAGGGUUAUGUUGAUGCAAACUUUGACACUAAUCCGGAUGACUCUGAGUAGUAAACCGGAUUCGUAUAGUAGAGCAGUUAUUUGGAAUAGCUCCAAGUAGCGCGUGGUAGUUGCAUCUACAAGAUGACAUAAGAUUUGUAAAGCACACACGGAUCUGAAAGGUUCAGACCCGUUGACUAAUAACCUCUCUCACAAGCGAGAUAUGAACAAACCCCAUGGGUGUUGGAUUCAUUACAAUCACAUAGUGAUGUGAACUAGAUUAUUGACUCUAGUGCAAGUGGGAGACUGUUGGAAAUAUGCCCUAGAGACAAUAAUAAAAUGGUUAUUAUUGUAUUUCCUUGUUCAUGAUAAUUGUCUAUUGUUCAUGCUGUAAUUGUAUUAACUGGAAACCAUAAUACAUGUGUGAAUACAUAGACCACAACAUGUCCCUAGUAAGCCUCUAGUUGACUAGCUCGUUGAUCAAUAGAUGGUUAUGGUUUCCUGACCAUGGACAUUGGAUGUCAUUGAUAACGGGAUCACAUCAUUAGGAGAAUGAUGUGACGGACAAGACCCAAUCCUAAGCAUAGCACAAGAUCGUGUAGUUCGUUUGCUAAGAGCUUUUCUAAUGUCAAGUAUCGUUUCCUUAGACCAUGAGAUUGUGCAACUCCCGGAUACCGUAAGAAUGCUUUGGGUGUACCAAACGUCACAACGUAACUGGGUGGCUAUAAAGGUGCACUACAGGUAUCUCCGAAAGUGUCUGUUGGGUUGGCACGAAUCGAGACUGGGAUUUGUCACUCCGUAUGACGGAGAGGUAUCUCUGGGCCCACUCGGUAAUGCAUCAUCAUAAUGAGCUCAAUGUGACUAAUGAGUUAGCCACGGGAUCAUGCGUUACGGAACGAGUAAAGAGACUUGCCGGUAACAAGAUUGAACGAGGUAUGGGGAUACCGACGAUCGAAUCUCGGGCAAGUGACAUACCGAUAGACAAAGGGAAUUGAAUACGGGAUUGAUUGAAUCCCCGACAUCGUGGUUCAUCCGAUGAGAUCAUCGUGGAACAUGUGGGAGCCAAUAUGGGUAUCCAGAUCCCGCUAUUGGUUAUUGGCCGGAGAGGUGUCUCGGUCAUGUCUGCAUGGUUCCCGAACCCGUAGGGUCUACACACUUAAGGUUCGGUGACGCUAGAGUUGUUAUGGGAAAUAAUAUGUGGUUACUGAAGGUUGUUUGGAGUCCCGGAUGAGAUCCCGGACAUGACGAGGAGCUCCGGAAUGGUCCGGAGAUGAAGAUCGGUAUAUUGGACGAAGGGUAUCGGAGUCCGGAAUUGUUCCGGGGGUACCAGGCUAUGGCCAGCAUGUCCGAAAGGGGUUUCGGAGGCCCCGGCAAGCGUUGGGGGGCCUUAUGGGCCAAGGGGAAGGGGCAAACCAGCCCACUAAGGGGCUGUGCGCCCCUCCCAACCCCUCUCACGUAACCAGGAGAGGUGGGGGCGCCACCCCUAGGGCAGCCGCCCCUCCCGGCUUGGGGGGCAAGUUUCCUAGGGGGUGGGGGCGCCCAAACCCAUCUAGGGUUUCCCCUGGCCGCCGCCUCCUCCUCUAGAUCCAUCUAGAGGGGCCAGCCCCCUCUCCCCUUCCCCCUAUAUAUAGUGAGGGGGUGGGAGGGCAGCCAUACCCUUCCCUUGGCGCAGCCCUCACCUCCUCCACCUCCUCCUCCUCCUCCUCCGUAGUGCUUAGCCAAGCUCUGCCGGAGAACCACGAGCUCCAUUGCCACCACGCCGUCGUGCUGCUAGAGUUCUCCCUCAAAUUCUCCUCUCCCCUUGCUGGAUCAAGAAGGAGGAGACGUCCCCGGGCUGUACGUGUGUUGAACGCGGAGACGCCGUCCGUUCGGCGCUAGAUCGGAUCUUCCGCGAUUUGAAUCGCCACGAGUACGACUCCAUCAACCGCGUUCUUGUAACGCUUCCGCUUAGCGAUCUUCAAGGGUAUGAAGAUGCACUCCCUCUCUCUCGUUGCUAGCAUCUCCUAGAUUGAUCUUGGUGACACGUAGGAAAAUUUUGAAUUAUUACUACGUUCCCCAACAUCUACAUGGUGGUUCGUCAAGGAUUCUUUUCAUUCUUCAAUUGGUCUUCAAGUUUUCGCUUGAAGUUAAGAUCCGCCAAGCUAUACUCUCAAUAAACAUGGUGCUCAACACAUGUCUUGUUUUGAGGAGUUCAAGCAUUCUUCAUCUUGCAUUCCGAAAUGCAAUUAGUUCUACCUUAUCUUUUGAGGUGGUGUUAUGUCACUCUUGACAAUUUCCCUUCGUGUGUCAUGAUUCAACAGUUGUCAAGAAUGAGAUAGUUAAUCCCAUCAAUUUCUUCGAGCAUGAGCCCUUCUCAAUCCAUCGAUUUUUUUCAUUGGAGUUAUCUUGGUAUAGAUUCACCUAAAGCCUUCCAUUAGGAAUGUAGCUACUUGUGGUGCUUAUCAAUGAUCCGAUCUUCUCCUUCUCAUCUCGGUGAAGAAGUUUUCAUCUCCUUGUUGAUCUCAAUCCAAUCAACUGUUUUCGUUAGUGGUCGGUUGUCACCUCAUAAUUUUGAUAUGUUCUCCAUAAGCCCACAACAAGCUUAUCCUUUCGUUAUUGAUAAUCCAACAACUCCGCUCUAGCAUUUCCUGUAAGCGUGCUCUUUCAAGAUCUUGUUUCCCUCCGUUCAUUCCAUUUCAUUCUUUCAUUUCUUCCGGAGACAUUGUGAUGUUACUCUCUUCGACCCAUCAUCUUGUUUUGUCACGAUCAUGUUCUUUUAUUGCUUAUCCAUUUAACCGGUGUUUUGUGUUUUCUUUUCAAGUUCUUUUCAUCUAAUCAAGUCUUGCCUCUCUUAUCAAUUGGAGUGCUGUCCAAGUUCUGGCAUUCGUAUUCUUUGGCUAUCUCAUGAUAUCGGUGUGGCUCCAUAUUCUUUUGGUUCGUUGAGCUCUUGUUUCAUGUCUUUCAACCUACAAGGUUCUCAUGGUGUUCCUUGUUUCCGUUUACUACGGAGUGCUCUCAAUUCGCUCAUCUCCGUUGUGUCAUUUCUUUCGAGCUGUUCAACUUCCAAGGUUCUUUGGUUUCACUCGUUUGUCAAGAAGCAACUUUGUUUUACCUCUUCCUCUUCCGUUUCUCUCCGGUGCCAUCCUAGAUCUCGGGACGAGAUCCUCCUGUAGUGGUGGAGUGUUGUAACGCCCCAAGACCGACGCUCCAGAUGCCUUCCAUGUUUUGCGAGUCAGCUGUGUUAUUUGUUUUCCCCAUUAUUUACAGUAUAUCUUCCAUCCCAAAUUAUUCAGAAUACAUCUUUGUGGCCUGUUGUGGUGUGAGUGGGCCGCAGUUUAAACAGUGGGUUUGGUAGGGAGAGGGUGGAGAUUGCUCACUUAAUUAUUUUCCCCAUUAUUUGCACAAUAUUUACCACUUGGAUUUUAAGUCCUUAACAUAAGACAAGGUCAUUCUUCAAGAGUGUUGUCAGCCAACUUCUUGUUCGAGCGGAAGAAGCAGCUAUCGAGUCGUCUGCUAACAAAGAGUUUAACGAACAGGAUGCACUAAGUUCUGUGUUGCUCUUUGUGGGUGAAGUGUUAUCCCGUGUUAGCCGUCGUGGAUCUACUGGUAAGUUUUAAUAUCUCAGAAUGCAAGUUUAUGUGUGCUGUUGACUUGCUUGUUCUGAAAUAUACAUUUACGAAUGACAAAAUCAAUUAAGAAACUGUGUGCCCGAUUCUAGUUGGUGCAGUAUGAUAUCGUGCUGUAGUUAUGUUUGGUAGGAUACAAUAAUUGCAGUACAUUCAACCCUUUAUGCUUCAGUUUGGCAUGCUGAUUUUCCUUUUGUAUUAUCUGCUACUAUAGCUUGGGUGACGUAGCAGUUUCCUUCCCCCCUUUCUAAUCCUUUUGGUAUGGAUAUGAUAACCAGCACAUCAAUCAUUUGGUUGCUUUCAUGUAUUUGGCACUAAUCCGCUGUUGAUACUUGAGUGUUGUUUCUGCGCUGUUGUCCGCACUCCCCACCUCUGCAAAUUUGACUAGAUUCGGGCAUUGAGUGGGAUCUCUUGAUAGCUAGCAUAGCAAGUACCUGGUCCAUAACAAUUUAUAGUUCAUAAGAUUUGUACUCUCUGUUUAGGCAUCAAAUCAUUUCUUUCAUUCUUUGUAUGUAUGAUAAGAUGCAUUGGUCUUUUCAGGCAUUUUAGUUGCUGAAUUGAUCCCUAUGAUCCGUAAUCACUUACAAAGAUGUGUAGCACCAGACUGUAAGACGAUAAUUCCUGACAUGAUCAAGCAUGUUCCUCAGUCUCGGUUUUGGUUCACUGUGAUUGAAGCAUUGAGAGAUCAGCAUUCUAUUGAAAGAUUGACUGAAGAGAUGUUGCGCCAACUUGCAUCACACCAUUUAAAUGAUGAAGAAGCGUACUGGAUUUUGUGGACUCUGUUUAAUCAGAGUAUCAUGCAUAUUGCUGUUAUGAGGUGAGAUAGUACCUAUGUGCACUUUAAUUCUGCUAAACAUUGUAUGUGCUUGUUCUUGCUUAGCUACUUCCUUAUUUCACUUUGUAUUUGGCAUGCUACAUUACUUUGCAUAGGAAACUUAUACGUGAAAGGCUUCCUUGGCCAGGAUUUAGUUCAAAAUAUCCAAUUUGACAACUAUGCAAAACAGUAUUUCAAUGAUUACCUUUUUCUUUCUGUGAAGAUUGUUCUGGGGAUGUUGACUACUACCACCUCUGUUCCAAAAUACUUGAAGUUUUAUGUUUGUCCUAAGUCAAACUUUAUAAGUUUGACCAAGUCUAUAGAAAAAUAUCCAAUAUCUACAACAUCAUAUUAGUUUGACCAUAAAAUAUAUUUUGAAAUUAUAUAUUGUAUGAUGCUGUAGAUAUUAAUAUAUUUUUCUGUAGAGUCGGUCAAACAUAGAGAUGUUUUACUUAGGACAAACCUAAAACUUAAAAGUAUUUUGGAAUGGAGGAAGUACAUGUUAAUCUGCCUGCUGUGUGUUCAUUAAAUCUUUGGCUGUGUUUUGUGUGUCUUAGUUAUUAAUAGAUAGCGAUUGUUUUGUGGUGGCAUAUUAUGCAUGCCAUCAUUGUUAUAUAGUUCUGUGUUGCCAUGUUCAGAAACAUCCAAUAAGCUUGUCCCUUGUCUGUUUGAUGAUGGCCUUGACGGUCCUUCAUGGAAUAGUGAAUCUAUAAGACAUUGAUACAGAAGACAGAUAUCUGGGCAAAACAUGAUGCAUAAGCAUAAAGUAGUACUCCCUCCGUUCUUAAAUAUUUGUCUUGCUAGAGAUUUCAACAAGUGACUACAUACGGAGCAAAAUGAGUGAAUCUACACUCUAAAAUAUGUCUAUAUACAUCCGUAUGUGGUAGUCCAUUUGAAAUCUCUAAAAAGACAAAUAUUUAGGAACGGAGGGAGUAUUUGCUCAUGGACCUAAUAUUUUCUGGGAUUGAAAAGCUAGAUUUUGUUAAUACAGUCAUGUCUAAGGCUUUAAGCUCUUUUUUUUCUUAGUCAGCAUGUUAGGUGAUAAGGUAAAAAAUAUAGUUCAGGCCCUUUUCUUGGACAAUUUGUUGUUUCUAUUUUACUAUGAAGGACAAAUGCAUGGAUUGGAGGGAGUAUGUUCAACUAUAUUCAGUAUGUCCUAACUAGCAAUUUAUUAAAUAGCUUCUUUCUUAUAUGUUUUCUUUUCCACAAUGCUUUCUUCAGGGCAAUGUUUAUUGACAAAUUUUUGCUUUGGAAAACAUUUCCAUUAUGCUGCCUGAGAUGGAUUCUUCAUUAUGCUGUCUUUGAAUUCCCACCAAAUUCAGUCGCAGAAGCCCAAAUGCGAAGGACAUCAAACUUCCUGGUUACAUUGCAAUGUUUAGUUACUGUUUGGUCCAAGAAAGAGUUUGUUCAGUCAUAUUCAGUGGAGCAACAAGCUUGUAUCCAUUGAUGCACUUAAAACUAUAUUGUUCAUUUCUCAUGCAAGUUAUCAUUUGGCAUUGUUCUCCUUAAUCAGUAUGUAGAUAUCACUGCAGCAAUAGGGUUAUGUUUGGAGAACAUGUCAAAAGAAGAAUUAGAAAUGAAUAGAGAUGUAUUAAAUUGUAUUCUUCAAGGAGUAAGCUGUAAGUACUUCUCUUCCCUUGUGUUUGUUUACCAGGAUACGGUAAGCACAAUCAUAAUAUCUACUCACCGAAUAUUGUUUUGACUAUAGGUAGGUUAGAGAGCCCAAUUGAUUUAGUCCGGAAAAUGGCAAGUGCUGUUGCAUUGACAUUUUCUAAAGUCGUUGAUCCAAAAAAUCCUCUUUACCUUGAUGAUGACUGUUCUGAGAAUGUUGACUGGGAGUUCGGGGUUCUCUCUCCAAAGGAGAUCACAGCUCCUUCACAUGAUGUAGAAUUUGGAAGCAAAUCAAAACCAUGUCCACGUAAGAACAGGAAACAUGCUGGUGACAAAAAGGGAAAGACUAUCAAGCAUGAUAUUUCAGAUAACAGAGUAAAAAUCAUAGAGAUCAAGUCAAAACUAGAUUCUGAUGAAAUGUCUGGCGCUGCUAUAAAUUUUGAGGAACAUUAUGACGAGGAAAGCAUUAACAUUGAUGCUUCCAGUGAUUCAUCCCUGGAGCCGUAUGAUCUGUCAGAUGAUGACACUGAUUUGCAGAAGAAUUUCACACAUCUAAGUGAUCUUGCAGCUGCACUGCGAAAACCUGACGAUCUAGAUGGUGUAAGUUUCCAUUUGGUGUUUCCAGACAAAACUACUACAUGAUCCUGACCUUUCUUUCUUUUGUCUUCACAAGGUUGAAAGCGCUCUUAGUUCUGCCGAAAAGCUUGUGAGGGCAUCACCUGAUGAGCUGCGCCACUGCUCGGGUGAUCUUGUUCAAGCACUGGUACAUGUUCGUUGUUCUGAUGUCGCGAUGGAAGGCGAGGAAGAUUCUGCUGAAGAAAAGCGACAGAAGGCAUUAGUCGCUUUGCUGGUAACCAGCCCAUUUGAAUCAUUAGAUGUUCUUACCAAAUUGCUAUAUUCAUCGAGUGUGGAUAUAAGUCAGCGUAUUUUAGUUAUUGAUGUUAUGACUGAGGCAGCACAGGAACUUGCUGAAACUAAAAUUGUAAAGAGUGAACAGCGGCAUGGGAACUUGAUAUCUGAUACUUCUCCGUCUUGGCUGGUUCCUAGGGAGAGCGGACCUGUUGGGGCAAGCCCUUGGAGAGAGGUAUCAGAAACAGGAUCACUUUUGAAAAAUUGGUCACACCGGUAUGAAAGAGAAGUUCCAUCUAGACCAGGCCAGGUUAAAUCAGGAAAAUCUCGCAAAUGGGGUCUUGGGAAAGCAAAAGAUUCGCAGGUGGAGCGGUCAAAAAACAGAUUUCCUUUGUAUGCUGCUGCAUUUAUGCUCCCGGUUAUGGAAGGAUAUGACAAGAGAAGACAUGGGGUGGACUUGCUCAAUCGGGAUUUUGUUGUCCUAGGUAAAUUGAUAUACAUGCUUGGUGUCUGUAUGAAGUGCAUGGCAAUGCAUCCGGAAGCAUCAGCCAUUGCCCCAGCUUUUCUGGAUAUGAUAAGAGCCAGGUAUUCUGUGUCAGGAUAAACAUUUCAUGUAUUCUUAUUUGGCAACCAAAUGGCGUGAUUUGACAUGAAAUUUUAUUCUACAGGGAGGUCUCGCAACAUGCUGAAGCAUAUGUGCGAAGGUCUGUGUUGUUUGCAGCUUCUUGUGUAUUGAUAGCCUUGCACCCGUCAUAUGUUGCAUCAGUUCUUAUAGAAGGCAACCAGGACAUUUCUACUGGUUUAGAAUGGAUACGUACAUGGGCCUUGCGUAUUGCUGAAGCUGAUCCUGAUACAGAGUGCACAUCGGUGAGUAGAACAAUCAUUUUUAUUUUUCGGUCAUAAAUAUCAGCUCUAAAUACCUAUUGUACGCCUUCUAUACAGCCUGAGGAGUUAAUAUGAAAUAGUUGAUCGUCAGUGGGUAGGAUGUAUGGUUUUAUUGUCACUAAAAUUCACAGUUCUUAGUUGCUAAGUAGCUAACCAUCUUUUAUGCUCAUUGGGCGACUAUUCUCUCAGUGUUUUGUAAAGAGAAACGAAUUGCUAAGAUGUUGGAUAUGCAGUCUCUCUAUCCACUUUUUACUAAAUAUCUAUGCCCCACGUUUGUUUCCUAGAUGGCCAUGGCCUGCGGCUCCAUUCAGAGAUGGUGCUCCAGACAUCCCGCGCCCUGGAAUCUGCAGAACAUUCCAAGGCUGGCACCAGAGCACUACCUUCUAAGCUCGAUAACAUUAUAAUACCAUUCGCAAACAUGAUGUGAUCUGAUGCAGUCUUGAAGUUGUAAAGGGAAUUUUCUUUCUCAUUUGUGUUACCGUACUAUAGAUUUUUUUUAGUCGUGCUAUAGAAUUGCUUUAGUGUAUACUUUUUUUAGAAUAAUAACGAUUUAGUGUAUACUGCAGCAGCUAAUUCAGCUACUAAUUGUUUUAGUAUAACUGUU
This 102294-nucleotide long non-coding RNA is filed under the name Triticum aestivum (bread wheat). RNAcentral describes it as "long non-coding RNA (TAES_LNC013405)". Lineage: Eukaryota; Viridiplantae; Streptophyta; Magnoliopsida; Poales; Poaceae. The record is from RNAcentral.